UUUGAAUUUUUGUUCACUGCACAGGGAUUGAUGAUCUUAAAUCAGGAAAUUUUUUGACACUUCUAGCCCCAAAGGCAAUGUUUCUGGAUGAUCCUCGGCGUGUUCUUCGUGCUGUUCGCUUUGGUGCUGUUUUGUUUAAAUUUCGUGGAGCUUCUGUUUCUUGUGUUUAUUUAGUUCUGGAUAUUCUUAUUCAGUGUGCCUGAGACCAUUUAUAAUGCGACCCACUGCUAUUUGUUUGUUAGUAGAACAAAUGGAUGUAUAACGUAUAUAAACGUGGGAAGUCUUAUUGUAUCUUCGUCAAUGCCAUAGCUUGUUGCCUUUGGACUAGUUCCAUGAAAUUGUGUUGAGAGUUGCAUGUGACAGUCUAAUACACAUGCACAAAACAAACGCCAUCCUCCUUCUAUUCACUUCCUUUUUGUGUACCAAUGGAUGUAUUACGUGGGUAAACACGUGACUGCAUAUGUAGGUAAAAGGUUUUAAUCAAGAAACUAAUGAUCGCACGAAAGAUAUACCUGCAAUACAGAGUGCGAGAAACAUGAGCCUACUGUUUGUGCUUUAUGUAUGAUUCUUCUCUUUCGAAGACUCUUGGAUCCUCUUGCAUCCUCACAAUCCCUGAAUUGGAAAUGCUUAAUGAUUUCAUUAUUAGAUGAGCUUUGUAAACCUUGCGUUUUCACAGCUCAUCCUACAAAGAAGCUUUCUUUUUUUUCUUUUUUUCUUUUCAUUCUUCUGCCAUGUAAUGUGGAUGCUCACUUUUCUUUAAUUUGUACAAGAGUUUUGCAAGAUCAAAACGGAGCUUUCUGCUAUUUUAUCUAUUGUCUGGCCAUAUUUGUGCAUCCAUGUUCACAAUCUUAUGUUUAUUUGAGGCGCAAGGAUGAGAUUUACGAUGGAUGAAGUGCUGAAGAGAGUUGCUGCAUCCAAUGAUGUCAUAGAUGCACUUGGAGCUAAAAUCAGUAGAGAGCGCAUUGGAAUAGAAGCAUGUGUCUAUAACAUUCCUCUAUUGGCUGCUUUAUCUCAUAUAAAUGUUUUUUUGGUUGAAGUUCUUCUUGUACAUGUGGCCUUUAUCUUUUCUCUCAACAUUUUUAUAAGAUUUGUAUUUUCCGUUUGAAUGUUACUUCUCAUCGAUGAGAUGGGAUCAAUGUUUUUCCCCUUCUCCGGUAUGGCAGGUUGAUCUGAUGACAUCUGGCAGUGAACCAGUUAAAGCUAUUGCUUACAUCUAUGAGUUGCGAUUGUUCUGAAUUGUCUUCAGUCUACCUCAUAGACAUGAAUCGACAUUACCAGAAGAGUGCUAUAGUUGGUUUGUUGGAUUGGGUCCACAAUUGACCAUUUCUCUAAGAGUAAUUCAGGCCAAUAAUGUUAAAAACCGAUGGUUUCGGACUCAUGGAGUGACAAAUAUAUCGGGUGAGAAGUAAACUUUCUUGUAAAAAAUAUGAUUUUGUAAUUAAGUGAAUGUGAAAUCAUUGAAAAAAUAAAUGAGGAAUAAUAAAAGACCCAAAGGUUUAGGUGAUUCAGUUCAAGUGUUAGUUGUUAUAUCAAUGGAGGGAGUAAGUAGCAAAAAUCUGCUAUAAUCGAAGAAUUAGAGUUACAAUAGCUUAACAUGUUCACAUGUUUACCAUGCCUAAAAUAAACCUAAACCAUGGUAUUAACAAAUAAAUAAUUCAUUUUGGAUGUGAAAAAUUUACGGCACGAAUUAUACGCUUCGUUCGCGACCAAUUAAAACAGCCUAAAAUGAAGGAUCUCGUUUGUUCUUGAUUUCCUUUCUUCGCGGCACGGCUUUCCAAGAUGUCACUGGGUAGCCAUCAAAUCCUCCCUUUUGACGUAAGUGUGUGCCCCUUUCUUUGGUGCGGCCAAUCUGCAGUACUUUUAAAGUCCAACUCUUGGUAUGGGUUAAACUUGCAUAUUGGGUCGGAUUUUGCCGUGUAAAAAGGUGUAUUUUGGCUAAUGGAAACGCAUAUACUUUUGAAGGUCUUCAUUUCUUAUUUAGUUCAAUCUAAAAGAGACUUUGCUUGCAACUUGUUAGGACAUAGAACCCACUCACAAUGGAAAAGCAUAUGGCGAUUACAUUCCUAUUUUUUUGCGUCCAGCUCCUAUCAUGGGCGAGUCUAGCGAUGGAAACGAACCAGACGGAUUGGCUCGCUUUAAUCUACUUCAAAGAUAGUGUGGAUGAGGAUCCGCUCAGAGUCUUGAGCUCGUGGAAUGACUCUUCUCAUCACUGUGAGUGGCAAGGUGUUGUAUGCGGUAGACGACAUCCUAAAAGGGUCGUGUCCCUUAACUUGAUGUCGAAAGGCUUGGGUGGUCUUCUAUCGCCUCAUGUCGGAAACCUCUCUUUCCUAAGAAGCCUCUUUCUACAGAACAACAGCUUUCAUGGGGAAAUUCCACAAAGUAUUGGUCAUUUGUUUUGCCUUCGCCUUCUCAUUCUUAGUAACAACUCUUUUGGUGGACCAAUGCCCACCAAUCUUUCUCAGUGCUCAAACCUUGUAACUUUAAAUCUCAUCGAUAACCGACUUGUGGGCAAAAUUCCUCAUGAGUUCGGCUCGUUGUCAAAGCUUCAAGCUUUCAGUUUGUCUAAAAAUAGUCUUACGGGAUCUAUUCCUCACUCUAUUGGAAAUCUCUCCCAACUUUCCACUCUCUCUGUCGCAUUUAAUGGGUUGCAAGGAGAGAUUCCCCAGACAUUGUCCAAGCUUCGUGGUUUGAAGUAUUUUCAAUUGGCGUUUAACCAACUCACGGACGAAAUCCCUCUAGCAAUCUUCAACAUCUCUGGCAUUAUCUAUUUCAGUGCCGGCGACAAUCAAUUGAGAGGGAGCAUCCCCCCUUAUAUUGGUGAUACUCUUCCUUCUCUCACUUUCCUUAAUUUUAAGAGUAAUUUUUUUACUGGCAUUAUACCUCCAUCCUUAUCGAAUGCCUCCGGCCUUCAGUACAUCAACUUUUUAAAUAACAGAUUUCACGAAUUGAUGCCUGCACAUCUUGGAAGGCUGAAAGCUCUAGAAGUAUUGCUCCUUGCUUCUAACCAGUUGCGAGAUGACUUGAGUUUCAUUACCUCAUUGACUAAUUGUUCAAGGCUAGAAAUUAUUGAUGUAAAAUGCAAUUUUCUUGAAGGUCCAUUGCUAGAAUCCAUUGGCAAUCUUUCCAACAAUGUUAGAGUAAUUUCUAUGUCGCACAACCUAAUUUAUGGAACCAUUCCUCCAGGAAUUGGCAAUCUCUUCAACCUAUCCUUUCUUGGCUUAUUAAACAACUCGCUUGGUGGUUGUGUUCCUUCUUCUAUUGGAGCACUCCAUAAUUUGCAUGAAAUGUACUUAAGUAGAAAUGUGCUAACGGGAGAGAUUCCGUCAUCGAUCGGCAAUUUGACGUUAUUGAAUCGCCUUUGCCUACUGUUCAACAACUUUUAUGGGGAAAUACCGCAGAGUCUUGGUAAUUGCAAGAAGCUAAUCCAGCUCAAGCUUUCCAAUAAUAAUCUAAGUGGUUCGAUCCCAUGGGAGGUUCUUGGCCUUUCUACCAUUUCGAUUAUUUUCAGGUUGGCACAUAACCAGUUGAGUGGAUCUCUUCCAUUUCAAGUUGGGUCCUUGACUAAUCUUGUUGAACUAGAUUUGUCUUAUAAUAAGCUAACAGGACCAAUUCCUAGCUCCAUCAGCAAGUGCUUGCUAUUGGGGAGGCUCAGCUUGGCAGUCAAUUCCUUUCAUGGCAAAAUUCCUCAGGCUUUAGGCACAUUAAGAGGCUUACAAGAGUUGGAUGUUUCCCAUAAUGACUUAUUUGGUGAAAUCCCGAGCUUUCUCGCUCAACUUACGGAUCUAAUGUAUUUGAAUCUAUCUUCAAACAAGCUUGAAGGAGAAGUUCCGAAGCAAGGAAUAUUUCUCAAUGCUAGCGCAGCGUUUGUUUAUGAGAAUAAGAAUCUCUGUGGAGGUAUCGCAGAACUAAACCUUCAUUCUUGCAAAUUGAAUACCUCUAAACCAUUACAGAUUGAAAAAGUUAGAGUAAUCGCCACAGUGGCGGCCGUCUUGUCAUAUUUCAUUAUGUGUCUUUGCUUGUUUAUCUUUUGGUAUCGGGGAAAGAAGUCAAAAAAGAACACCUCUUCAACUAAAUUGCCAUUUGAACACAAAUUUUCAAUGGUUUCUUAUGAAGAGCUUUUUAGAGCCUCAGACGGAUUCUCUGAGAUUAAUGUGAUCGGUAAAGGGAGAUAUGGUACCAUCUAUAAAGCAACUACACAAGAAGGUGGCUGGGUGGCGAUUAAAGUGCUCAACUUGGGUCACAAAGGUGCUUCAAAGAGCUUCAUCUCGGAAUGUCAAACCUUAGGGGCUAUAAGACACCGAAAUCUUGUGAAGAUAUUGGACGUAUGCUCAAGUGUGGAUCAUCACGGCAACGAUUUCAAAGCUCUAUUAUACGAAUACAUGGCUAAUGGGAGCUUAGAGAAUUGGAUACACCAAGGAAAUGAAGAGGACAUUGAGCAUGAACGUGAACAUAGAAAGCCAGGACAUUUGAGACUAAUGCAGAAGUUAGACAUUGCUAUUGACAUAGCUUCCGCAAUCAAAUAUCUUCACAAGGAUUGCAGCCCAAUGAUUGUACACGGAGAUCUAAAGCCAAGUAACAUCCUUCUAGACAACGAGAUGAUGGGGCGAGUUGGGGAUUUCGGGUUGGCGACGAUCUGCUUUGCUGUGACAACAGAGGCCACAGACAUUGACAACUGCAACAACUCAAUGGCAGUGAGGGGUUCCAUAGGCUAUGUCCCUCCUGGUAAGAAAUUUUUCUCAUUAAUUGUCUAAGUUUUAUAUGUGUUGGCCUUUUAGAUGAAAUACUUAUUUUCAUUGUAUAUUGCUUGAUGCACACUAUUUUAGAGUAUGGCAUGGGGGACAUGGUAUCCACACAAGGCGAUGUGUAUAGCUAUGGUAUUGUUUUAUUGGAAAUGUUAACCGGGAGGAGACCCACGGAAGAGGCUUUUAAGGACCAUUUAAAUCUCCACAACUUUGUCAAGGUGGCUCUGCUAGACCGAGUGAUGGAGAUCAUGGACUUAGCCAUUUUUAACGGAGAAAGUGAGAAUGAUAUGGAGAAGAUGAGAGAUUGUGUUGCCUCCGUCCUAAGGAUUGGAGUUGCGUGUUCGAUGGAGUUGCCAUGGGAUCGGAUGGACGUGGCUAAUGCCCUCAAGGAACUACAUAAGAUCCGAGCUAGGUAUAGAUCCAAGUAGAGGCUUGGUUGAAGCAAGUUCAGCUUAUUAAUUUUGCUUUUUGAACAAGAAAAAUUUGGAUGCUUCUAUUAUUCAUCUUGGUUUUAACUCUUUUCCACUUGGCCUAAAGCCAAACUCAUAUACUAGUAAAUGUAUGUAAUCUAUCUCCAUCUCUAUUCCCCCUCCCCUCUUUACGAACUCAGUAUUCUCUUUAUAUGAAUUUUCUGUUUCUAGUUUUUUCUCUUAAAAGUCCAUCUCUAAUAAUUUUCUUUAGAUGCAUAAUUUUAAUAUGUAUUUAUAGAUUUAUAAAUUUAGAAAAAUAUAAAGUAGAGAUGUAUCUUAUAAUAGGUAUUAAAUUAUGUCAAUGCCUAUUAAUUUUUAAAUGAUAAUUCAUAUUGUGAUUAAUAGGAGAAGUAAAAGUAAAGUCAAUGAAAUUAUUUUGUUUCGCCAAGGUUGAUUUUAGGUGGCGGUUUUUUUUGUACUUUUGUAUUUUUUGUUGCCAUGGGAAGAUGGUCAUUUUAACAAUAUAAAAUCUUAGGUGAUACACUUAGAUGUUGAAAAUUUGAAAAUUCAAUUGUAUAAUUUAAACAAGUUGAAAAACUAACAAUAACAUUAUUACUUUUAGGGUUAAUAUUACGAAAAAAACCCCGAAUCGGUAUAUCUGUGAUACCCAACUUGAUUUAUUGACUAUAAAAAACUUUAAACUAUAUACUUAUGACAAAUUUACCUUCUGUUUUGUGAAAUUUUACUUUCGAAUUGCUUAAUUAGAUGGCUUGAACGGUUUGAGGUUUUACCAUCCAUUUAUUACAUGUGUACAAAUUUGUAAUUUUUCAUGAUAUUAAUAAAAUUUAACGGAAAUUAAUGAAAGAUAAAUUUGCCACUAGUGUAUCAGUUUAGAGUUUUUGGUGGUAUAUUAUAGGUAUAUCACAUUGAAAUUUUUAAUGAAUCAAAAAAUUGAUUUGAAGUAAUGUUAUAAUAGAGGUAUCAAUUUAAGAUUUUUCAUAUUGUUAAUCGAAAAUUUUAUUAUGGCUUUCUUAUCACGCGUCAUCGUCUGGAAGUCUUCAUCUCUAGGCGUCGGUCUGUCUCUCCCGCCCUCGCCGUUGCGCUUCUACUCAGCCCAUCGUCGCCGCGUCGCCUCCACUCGUCACUGUCUAAUUCCUGCCUUCGCCUCCGAAGCAGCCGCCAUCUUUAUGCUUUCAACGCCUCCAGGAACUCCUCAUUGCCUCCUCUCUCUCUCUCUCUCUCUCUCUCUCUACUACGACAUGCUCCGGAGGCUUUUUGCCUGCGGAGUAGGCUCGGCGGUCGUUAAAUAUAUAAAAUUGAUCCUUAGUAUCAUACAGUGUGCUCGUGAAAAAUUGAAACUUUGUUUCGGCUUAUUAGAGUUGCGAUACUCGAUUGUGAAGGGAAAAUGAAUUCGGUUUUUUACCCUCCCCUCGCGAGCGCCGAAUUCUCCUAGCGACGGAAGGGAAAAAUCGAGUGAAUUGAAGCGAGGACGUUUCCAGCAUGUGUCUCGGUCGUAUUGAACGGCAACAGUGUUGGAGAAAUCUUCUUGAAGUGUUUUGAAGUUGACAAAUCGUUUCUAUCAGUCUAGUCUAAAGGCUUGCAGACUCUGCUAUUUAAAGUCUGAAGACCUUGGGACAGCCAGACUCAAGACUCAAAGUCUAUCUUCAUUGACAGUCUCUAAUCCGUUGAAGAAAGGUUAUCCAGAACUGGAUGUUUCGUUGAGGAUUUAACCUUAUCAACUGGAGAAGAUCUCAUGGCUGGAGAAGACAUAAAGAAGAGUCAGUCUAUGGAGGAGUCAAUGAAUGUCAAAUUCCAAGACUCAACGCAAGAUGAAUCAAGUCAGACUCAUCAAGAAGAGUCUGAACCUGCUCCAGAUCUUCCAAAGCUUACAUCUCAAGAAGCAUCUCAGACUCUGGAAAACCAGCUUCAAGAUGUUCGUGAAGAUCCAAACAAAGAAAGAGAUCAUCAACCAGACAGAUCAACGAGUAACUGGAAGCAUAAGUCCAGUCAUCCCAAAGAUCUUAUAAUCGGCGAAAUGAAUGAAGGAAUUCGCACCAGAUCCAAAAGGCGAGAAGAGUCUAGUGCUGUGGCUCUCGUUUCUGAAAUUGAACCAAAAAGCAUAGAAGAAGCUUUAUCUGAUGAAAGCUGGAUUGAAGCUAUGCAAGAAGAGCUCAGACAGUUUAGCAUUAAUGAUGUCUGGGAAUUGACAUCCAAACCAAAAGGUAAAACUGUUAUUGGAGCUAAAUGGGUGUUCAGAAACAAGAUGAAUGAGAAAGGAAAAGUCGUACGAAACAAAGCAAGACUCGUGGCCAAGGGAUAUACGCAAGAAGAAGGAAUAGACUAUGAUGAGACUUACGCUCCAGUAGCAAGGUUAGAAGCUAUUCGAUUAUUACUUGCGUUUGCUUGUUAUAAGAAUUUCAGGUUAUUCCAAAUGGACGUCAAAAGCGCCUUCCUAAAUGGAGUCAUCCAAGAGGAAGUUUAUGUGGAACAACCACCAGGGUUUGAAGACCCAAAGAAGCCAAACUUAGUCUUCAGACUGAAGAAGGCUCUGUAUGGUUUAAAGCAAGCACCUCGAGCUUGGUACGACAUAUUAAGUAAGUUUUUAAUACAAAAUGGUUUUGUCAAAGGUAAAGUGGAUACUACUUUAUUUAUCAAAAAGGAGAACAAAAGUUUCUUACUUGUUCAAAUAUAUGUGGACGACAUUAUUUUCGGAUUUUCUAAUGAAAAUAUGUGCAAGAAAUUUUCUAAGUCUAUGCAGGAUGAAUUUGAAAUGAGUAUGAUGGGAGAGUUAACAUUCUUUCUUGGUCUUCAAGUAAAACAAUUGAAGGAAGGAACCUUUAUUUAUCAAGAAAAAUAUGUUAAUGAUCUUGUCAAAAGAUUUGGACUGGAAAAGUGCAAAAAGACCGACAUACCGAUGUCAAGUUCUUUGAAGAUAGACAAAGAUGAAGAAGGGAAGAAAGUUGAUCAAAAGCUGUACAGAAGCAUCAUUGGUUCACUCCUUUAUCUUACUGCUUCUAGACCUGACAUCUUGUUGAGUGUUUGCAUCUGUGCUAGGUUUCAAUCAGAUCCUAGAGAAUCCCAUCUCAGUGCUGCGAAACGCAUCAUUAAAUACGUUGCUUCAUCAUCAAGCAUCGGGCUUUGGUAUCCUAAGAAGGGAGACUUUAAUCUUCUAGGAUAUUCAGACGCAGAUCUGGCCGGUUGCAGAGUUGAUAGAAAGAGCACUUCGGGAACUUGCCAGUUGCUUGGAAGAAGGACAGUGUCUUGGUUUUCAAGGAAACAAAGCACUGUGUCUCUUUCAACAACAGAAGCAGAGUAUGUAGCUCUGGGAAGCUGCUGUUCGCAAAUUCUAUGGAUAAAACAACAGCUAAGAGAUUUUGAAAUUGAAGACUCAUGCACGGAGAUUAAUUGCGACAACACCAGCGCUAUCAACCUCACCAAAAAUCCAAUUCUCCACUCAAGAGCAAAGCAUAUAGAGAUUCGACAUCAUUUUAUAAGAGACCAUGUUCAAAAUGGAGAUGUUUCAAUUCAAUUUGUUGACUCAAAGAAUCAACUGGCGGAUAUAUUCACAAAGCCUUUGGAGAAAAAUCAAUUUGAGUCUAUACGCUCGAGACUCAACAUUUUGAGGUAUGAGGAUAUCAAAGUCUAAAGACUUUCAGACUCAGACUUACAAGACUUUAUCUGAAAGACAGUCUUGGUACGUCCGUCAGACUGUAAGUCUUUCUCUCUUGAAUCUCAACUUGAAAAGGUACGAUUGUCAGACUGUGUUUAAAUUGUUGCUAUAUUUAAUUGACGAAAAUAUUGCAUCGUUUCAUUUUCAAAAGGGAAGUUAUUUUUGAAAUGGCUAUUUUUGCGGAAAAAGACAGUUAUUUUGAAAAGGCAUAUUUUUAUUUCCUUUAUGACGGUUCGUUUAUCCCUCUUUUAACCGAUCUUGAACUGUCGAUUCCUCUUCAAUUUUCUCUCAAAAACCCUAGAAAGCAUCGAUCCUCCAUUCCCGUUUGUCUUCUUCGUUUAAUCCUAAAAAAGUUGUCAUCUUUCCUGGGAAAGUCAAGCAAGGAAUCUUCCAAAAACUGAGAAAGAUGUCAUCUUCAAGAAAGUCUUCGAGAAUUGCAAGCAGGGGACCACGGCGGAUGAGUGAGGGGCCUACGCACUUCGAUCUUACUGAAGAUGAAGUGACUCCAGAUCAGCAAGCGAGCCCACAACAUUCUCAACAGCGUCAUUCUCCUCCAUCUAGUCCUCAAGGCGUUGAUCAACAACAACAGGAAGAAAUCAUCGAGGAUGCAGACCCUGUAAGAGUUCAAAAGCCCGCCUAUAUUUAUCAGUUAUAUCGUGCCCUAAAAGGAAUUCGUACUCCUUUGAACUACAUUGAUGAUUUUCUUAAAGACAAAGGACAUGGGAACGAAUAUAUCUUUCUGAAAAAAAUGGAAAGUUUGGGAAUUGCUCGAAAAGGGGUAGCUGAGGAAACCCUUGCAAAUAUCCCAAGUGAUCCUCGUGACUGGGGGCCGAAUCCUGUAGAUGGGAAUGAUGAUGAUAAAUUGUACAGUCAAUUCCAACCGAAAAUGGGUGUUGCGGUUGAUAACCAAGGAAAAAGGGGAGAUUUGUUCAGAUCAAAGGAGCAAAAGGAUCUGUACUCGAAAUUGCUGAAGCGUGGGGUGAUAAACCCUAUGAGUGUAGAUUUCGAUUUUCUGGAUGCUGUGAAUAUGAACUUGAGGGAAAAGUUCAGUUAUCUUCAACUUGAAAAGUUCUGCUCUGACUCUACAGAGACCUAUGCUGAAUUAACUGCAUAUUUCUAUUCAAAUCUAAGCUUUUUGGAUGUGAAUAGAUUCUCGUUCAGCGUUAAAGACCAAGAUUAUGUUGUGGAUAUGAAUAUGCUGUCAGAUGUGUUAGAAGUCGAAAGAGGAAGAUAUCAACCAAUCAAAGUUUCCAUUGCUCGGGCCACUCUUGAACUGGUGAAGGACAGGAGAACAGAUGAAAAGAUCACCUACUUAAGGAUGGGUGCAUUCAACAUCUUGCUUCACAAGAUUGUGAUUAAUUGCCUCCGACCGAAAUCGACUUCCAAGACUGAUGUUUCAAGUUCAGAGGCCAAGUUGAUGUAUGCCAUUCUCUUUGGUAAAAGGUUUUCUCUCCCUCACACUGUGAUGUUUCACAUGUAUAGAGCAAUGAUGAAGGACAGAGGUCAACUCCCUUAUCCAAGCCUUGUUACGAAGUUAUUCAGACAUCUGAAUAUUUAGCCUCCACAAAUCUUUUGUGUUCGACCAUGCGAUCAUAUGGUGGUAGGUCUGAAAAUGGUGACCAAAAUGCGUCUGAAGGAACUGAGCAAGGAGUUGGAGAAAUUCAAGGAGAAGACUCCUGCAAAAUCUCAUCAUAUAUCUUCUGCAGCUAAAAGAAAAGGGAAGGAGCCCAUGGUUGCUCCAUCCAAGAGAAGAAGAGCUCUCCUUGUUGAGGAUGAAGAUGAUGAGGAAGACAUCACCAUCUCUGCAUUGGCUUUGAAGAAUUUAAGUCGUCCUGUUCCACAGAAAGAAUCGGAGCAAAUGACGAAAGAAGCAGAGGAGAAGGAAGAAGAAGAAAUAGAAGCUGAAAAAGAAACAGAGGAGGAAAGGCCUGAAGAAGAAAGAAGAGAAGAAGGAGAACCUGAAGAACACUCUUCUCCACCUGUAGGCAUGGAAACAGGGGGAGAUCAGGAGAAAGGAGUGAAGUCUUCAUGUCCUGAUGCAAGUGAAGGAGUCAGUCGCUCACCAGCAGACCCAGAGGGUGUUUAUGCAUCUCAAUUUCCAGAAGAAGGUCAUGAAGUUUCAUCGCCAAACCUGCAAGAUUAUGCUGAUCUACCAUCAUUUGCAUUUACUCCAUCAGAUCGAGCCGAAGCAAGUACUCAAACUGAUAAUGGAGCAGAUUUUCGUAGAAUCAUGGAUAUUCUUUUGGAGAUGCGAGGUCAGAUUUAUGCCUUGGGAUGCGAAGUUCAAAGCUUGAAGAAUGAAGGUCAAGCUUCUUCCUGUUCAUUGAAUGAUAAAAUGCAAGCCCUCUCUGUUCAGAAUCAGGCCAAUGCCAAGAGUGAGGAGAUUGCACAGCUAAAGGAAGACUUUAAAAGGCUGGAAGGCAUCGUUCAGUCUAUGGAAGAUUUCCAGCUUGUCCGCGUUUCCAAGCAAUCUUAACUUCAUCUCAUCCUUUUUAAUGAUGACAAAAAGGGGGAGAGAUGCAAGAUUUGAUCAAAAACCUUUCAUUCAACUUUUAAUUGUUUUUAUUGGAUUGUUUUGUGGUUUGAAUUUGUUUGACUUUGGUUUGUGUUUGGAUGAGAACUGAACUAGACUUGGACUUGACUGCUUCUAUUAACUAAUAUUGAUAUCUUAUGGAUGGCUUCAUCAUAUAUUGGACUAACCUAUUUUCUGUGGUUGCAGAUUCUAGUGUUAUUCUGUUAAGACAUUUACCUCUAUAAGAUAUGCAUAUGUGUUUGAGAAAUGUUUUGCAGGUCAAAGAUAUCCAAAUCUGCAGGAAAGUUUUGUCACCAUCAAAAAGGGGGAGAUUGUUGGAGAAAUUUUCUUGAAGUGUUUUGAAGUUGACAAAUCGUUUCUAUCAGUCUAGUCUGAAGGCUUGCAGACUCUGCUAUUUAAAGUCUGAAGACCUUGGGACAGCCAGACUCAAGACUCAAAGUCUAUCUUCAUUGACAGUCUCUAAUCCGUUGAAGAAAGGUUAUCCAGAACUGGAUGUUUCGUUGAGGAUUUAACCUUAUCAACUGGAGAAGAUCUCAUGGCUGGAGAAGACAUAAACGGAGUCCUUUGAUUGAUCGAAGAUUGAUUCGAUAAUUGAAGAUCCGGUGAUUGCCUAAAUAUUAUUGGAAGGUUCUGCUUAUGGAAACCGAGAUCCUGAUUGUAUGGGCGAACAGGAUUGAUGGGCUAUCAACACGUUCCAUUUAUAGCUUGGACAAUCUUCCUAAUUGAUUCCGUCCAACGGGUAGAUUGGAGGAAUUCCUUUGGUAAGUGCCAACGGGUAUGAUGGCAUAAAGGAGUAUAUAAGGAAGACUGUCUUAGUUGUUCAAGGUGUGCGCGAUAGAAGAAUUCCAAAGUCUGAAGCUCCUUUUUGUUUAGACAAAUCCUCUGAGCGAAUACUUGUAUACGAAAGAGAGAGUCUAUAUUUGUGAGAAAUCUUGAGGAGGUGUGGUAGAACAUCUACACUGUGGAAUCAAGGCAAAGCUGUGCUGUAACCUCUCUCUUGUUCAUAGUGGAAUCCAGCCAAUAGGCUGUCAGUGAAGAAGAGUGGACAUAGGCUUGAUAUAAGCCGAACCACUAUAAACCGCGUGUUUAAUUUUCUCUUCUCUCAGUCUUACUGUGAUUAUCGUUUCAUCCAACUGUCUAGUAUUGUGCAAUUGCUUGAGAAAAAUUCUUUAUAUACCUAUUCACCCCCCUCCAGGUACUCAUACUAGCAAUAUCAAACAGUUCCGGUCUUUUUCCUCUCGAGGCGCGAAACCUGACUAGAACAGCAGGGCUCUUGAGUUGCAAAUCGAUGUCGAUGAAUUCGCCGGUGGUGCGAGUGAAGGAGAAGAUCGAUUUGAUGGAGAAGGAGGAGAUGAUUUUUGAUAGGCUCCUCGCCACUGUUCGCCAUUUUGAUCUCCCUACCCAGCUGUGGGCGCGCUGGUGGCUGGGUCCAUGAUAAGGUCGAUGUAUUUGCUAGUGCAGUAGGUUGUUUUGUGUUUCUUUUAGACAUUUUGUCCAAUUACAUGUUUAGUUAUAUUCCGUUCAAGUUCUUACUUUCCCUUCCCAUCAAACACGUUUUCAAUUUGUUUGAAUGGGGGUUUGUGCUAUCGUUUAUUAAGGUACUGGGAUUGAGACUGCAUUUUUUUGAUUAUUUAGUCAAUGGGCAUUACGAGUUACAACAGUAAUGUGAACUUCAUAAUUUUGAAGGCUGUUUUUGGGAAAUAUAGGCAUCUGCUAGUUUUUCCGGCAAUUGCCUCGGCAGUCAGCGCUAUUAGCCAGUGAAGUAAGAUGUUUACCUAAUCCACAUGAAAAACACCUAAAUACAAAAGAAAAAUAACAAGAUGUUCUCUAUUAGAAAGUCUACAAUAGCCUAUUUUCCAUGAGUACUUGCCAUUUUCAGAGGUUUAUUACUCUCAGCCUCUGCCAUUUCUAGCCAGCUGGGUGCCUAGGUGUCACGUAAUAUUUGUGAUGGACAUUUAGACUGGUGAAUUUACUUCUAUGAAGAGUUAGGAUUACCUUGGCACCACAUUUAUGAGUUACUCUCUUAUGUAUUUGCACACAUUCAUCUUAUAUAUGCUACUGAUUACUAAAUUUGCAUCCCCAUAUCAUCGCUAUAGCUUGUUAUUGCGUGGUGACGCCCCUUUGCCACAACCCUCAAUAAAUAGGACCUUUACCAACCUUCGACAAGGUGCCAGGGUGGUUAUUUGAGUAGAGAAUGAUUAUGUUUUCCUAGAAAGGCCCCAGGAUGCUUUCAAACUGUUAUAAAUGAUCUAAUGUCUGUCAUUUUAAGCAAAUUUUUUUGCUCAGAAUCAUUUAUCGCAUUCAAGCUAAAUGAUUUGAAGAGAAACGAUACAAUUAUUGUACUUGAAUCGAAGUAAUGACAUUGUGAAAAUUGGUGGAUUUAUUAUGUUAAACCUAUUCUUUGAAAAAGAUGAUGAACAAACUCAAGUUAUCUCUUCUUCACAGCUUCUAGGGAAAGAGUGUUAUGAUAUUGAUAAUGCACUUGAUGACAUGUUGGGCCGUACAUUCGUGGAUAAGGUUACCCAAUAUUUGGCAUUAACAGGGGAAGAGGCGAGGGCUGGCUGAUAUCCCAAGGUUCAUUAAGCUUUGUACUUGCCUUUUGCGGUCAAAUAUUAGCUUUCCAUAUUUUAAUGUGUGAAUGUAUGAUUUGACUUGAAGUUUAUGUGGGAGUGUCGGUUAUUUGUUUAUUCUGCACCGGAAGCUUAUAAUGUGAGCAGUGGUUAUUUGUUUAUUGUGCACUUCUUCGUCACUGAAAAAAGGAAAGGCUGGAAAGGAGUGUUCACUAGAGUAUAAAAUAAAGAGGAACAGGUCCACAAUACCUAGACAAAUAACUAAGACCUCGGGAUCAAGCAAUGCUAGCUAAGUGCGAAGGAAGAGGAUUAAAAGAGUGUUUUGAAGGCAUAGACAUUGCUGUUAUGAAGAUGCAAGACUCUUGAUUCUUCAUGAUUAACUGGUUCUUUUACUUCAUGAAAUUUGACGUAGUAGACAUUUAUAUACAGUGGAUUCUACAUCUUGAAUGUGAUCUAUGUGUUAGGGUUGGCACGCAUGUGUUUUAGGUCGUGCCAAACCCUUGUAGCUUUCAGUAAGUUUCACUGUCCAUUUCUAUCUGUGUGGUCACACUGCUUUUCACAGACCUCAAAACCCAAUCAAAAAACUAAUAAGUAAAUCAAAUAAGUCAAAGAAGGGUCCCAAUUGCCUAACUCAUGCAUAUCUUACGAACUCUAUAUCCCUUCAAAGAAAGAUUGUCGUUAGAAGUUCAAACAAGGGCUGGGCGACCUCGCCGGCCGUUGGUAAGGGCGGGCGAGGGCCUGCAAGCCCUCACUGGCCGUCGGUGAGGCCACCCUUGCUAGAUUUGGCAAGGGCCAGCCUCCCCUGGGGCCAACGAGGGCUGACCUCGCAAAUGGCCCAUAGGUGAGGGUCGCCAAGUCCAAGCAAGGCCGUCCCUCACUUGUGGCCGGCGUGGAUGGCCCUCACCGGUGAGGGCGACCCUUGCCUAGCCCUUUGUGGGCAUCAUCGGUGGCCGGCCAGCUGGCCACCAGUGAAGAGGAAGAAGAACUAGAAAAAAAAAACGGAAAGAAAAAAGAAAAAAAGGAAGAAAAAACGGGAAAAAAUGACAAAUAAUGAAAAUACUAUUGAUCGUUGGAAAGUCAGGUCCUUAUUUGAAACGGACAUAGUUACUUUAGGUCUUCGUUUGAAACAAUAUGCACUUCAGAUCUUUAUUUAAUAAAGUGAUGGCACUUUAGGUCUUUAUUUGAAAUAAAGUCCAAUUUAAACUCUUAUUUGAGAAAAAAGAGGACACUUCAGGUCCCUUUUUGAAAUUUUUCCUUUUUUCCGAUUGGUGCCGGCUUCCACGAAAUUUGUUUUACAUGCUGCUGCUUUAAUUGAGAGCAUCUUCUCUCACUGGACAUGCUAACAUCAGAGGCGCAAUUGGGGAUCCACUACGUGUACACAUGGAUCUGGAUGCUGGACGAAGGAGAUCAGACCGAGAAGAUACCUUCAUCAGUUACCAUGCAAAAGAAGAUAUCCAGUCAACCUAUGCUGGAUCACUUUUCCACAAUGGUUGAAAUUACCACGUGUCUUCUUGUAAGGACAAUGUAAGCUAUCAUCUCGUCAAUCCUUCUCGAGUCUCAUCUCGAUUCUCUCCCUAUUAACUUAUGAUCCCCUAAAUGCAUUAAAUCUUGUUUUUGCACCCCAGGAGACGCUGGGUCAUUGGUCUUCCUCUCGUUGCCUUCCUCAAAAGAACGAACUUGCAGAAAAGCUCCUCAAGUUGCUGCCUCACCAUUCAUUUGGCAAGUGCUUAAAUAAUGUCGGCGGUCUCGAUAAGGCACUUUCUUUCUAUCCCGAGUGUGCCAACGAUGCCAGUGGCACUCCAAAAUGGUGGGACAAUUUGCACUGCGCUAUGUCUCAUUAUAAGUUUGUUCUCGCUAUUGAGAACACCUGAACAGAAAGUUACGUGACGGAGAAGCUAUUUUAUGCUCUGAAUUCCGGGGCGCUCUCCAUCUAUUUCAGUGCCCCCAACGUCAUGGACUUUGUCCCUCCAUGUUUAAUCAUUGACCGGAACAAGUUUAGCUCCAUAAAGGAAUUGGCAACUUUCGUGAAGUCCCUAGCAAACGAUCCGGUGGCGUAUGCCGAAUACCAUGCGUGGAGAAUAUGUGGUGUAUUAGGUAAUUAUGGAAACUCACGAGUGGCAAGUCUCGACAGCUUGCCGUGUCGGUCAUGGGAGUUCAUUGGCAAAAAUUGUGGCAGGAAUGCUAGAGCUUUAUGAAGAGUUGAUUCUUUUUGAACACCUGUUUUGUUUCCUAAUCAUCCCAUUGAUGCGCGGUUUUUUAUAAGUUAAUCCAUGGACAUUGACGUAUAUAAAGAAAGAGUUGGAUAUAUUAGGAGAUGGUAAAUUAGACAUUGAUGUAAACAGGCCACUAAAAAAAUUCAUCAUGUUAAUGAAUACAAAGUCAUUAUGAACUUAAAGUGUUUGGACUUCUCUCCGAUUUUGUUAAGCGAAACCAGACUGGACUUCCCUCCGAUCGGUUGUUGGCGCACUUGUUUUGUCAUUUUUGAGUUCACACUGUCUUUCUGGGUCGCUUGCAACUCAUAUGAUCGAGGAUUGGAGAGGAGAGGUGGAAGAAAAGGGUUGGGAUGAAUUUAGGAGUUUUUGCGCGAGCCGUGUGCAGUGUGUGAUGAGAGUUGCACAAAAGGUAAGGAGGGGGGUCCACGUCUAUGCUGAGAUACAUCGUCUUCUCCUCAAAGUGUUGUACAAUCAUAUUAUGUACGCCUACUUUUAUGGGUUGAUGGUGUGAAACAAUUGAGAAGAUUUCAUUUUUCGCUAGGCCAUGUUUCCACUAAGAAGUGGUCUUCCUUUGGGUGCAUGACUGACCUUUUCUAAAAGAGCAAUUCACACGAGACAAUAAUUUCAUGGUAAGCAUCCACCCAUUCUUUCUCAGUCUCUUCUCUUCUUUUUUCUAAAGCAAGAUUCGAUUUGCCAUUUGUUGACCCACCAAAUCGAUAGCUCUUCGCUUUCUCGACUAGUUCCUUUGGGUUCACAACUGAACCUUUCUCAAAGAGCAAUUCAUACCUAAAAUGUUGAAAACCAGGACCCAUGAAAUGACAAUAUAUCAUACGAGAGGUAAACCUUUGUUGUAGAAUUAAUGAACGUGGAAGCUAAUGAAGAUCUUGUUAGAAUAUAAUAUAUGGAAACGAUAAAAUCUUACAAUUUAUGUUUACGCAAAGUCACUAAAGAAAUAAAAGAGAAAUAAUAAGGACAUCAGUCCGAGUAUUAGUACCCACGUCCACGGAGAGAGCCAGCAGCAAAUGAUUCACUAUAAUAAGAGAAUUAGAGUUUAUAAUCGCUCAUACGCUCAAGUGUUUCCUACAACUAGAUUUAGUCCCAAACCCAAACUGUUUAUAAAUAAAUAACUUACUUUGAUAUAAACUCACGACAUAAAAUUACCGUGCAUUUAAGCUCAAAGUAAAACGUUCUACGUACACUAAAACAAGAACUUGACGUUUGUCUCUUCUCCACAUACGUAUAGCUUCACGUUCUCUACCUCUUCAAGGCUUGUGCGGCUGGAUGUGUGGACGUGCUACUCCUUUUUUUUUUUUUUUUUCUCUCGUAGGGCUUCUACGGCUCCUCUUCUUUUCCGCUUUUUAUAUGUGUGUGCCCAACGUCAACAGUUUGACCUGGGCCCACCUACUUUAGUCUUCAAUGUGAACAAGGCUUUUGCAAAAGAAAGAAAUCUUACUUUAUCUUUUAUUUUAAUUCCUCAUUUGUCAUGUACUGAUAGAUUAACUUCCUUAUUUUGUUUCCUUACUUAUUUGCACGUCCGAAAGAAAGUCCAAUAAGAAGAAAAACUUCUUCAUCCGAUUUGCAAUCCGCUUGAAAAAUCUUCCUCAACAAAAUUCAGUUUAAUAAAUCUUAUCUAAAUUCAAAAUCGAGACAAUAAUUUAACAGAUCUUACAAUUAACCCAAUUUGAAAUCACCGAAGAAAUAAAUGAGGAACAAUAAGAGCCAAAGAUUUACGUAACAUCCACGAGGAGUGCUGACAGCAAAAAUUUACUAUAAUUAGAUAAUCAGAGUUACAAUCGCUCAACAUGGUCGAGUGUUUCCCAUGCCUAAAUUAAACCCAAACCUAAGGUAUUAAUAUAUAAACAACCUCAUUUUGGAUGUAAAAAACUCACAGCACAAAUUAGAUGCUUUGCUGUGACCAAAUAGCAGCUCUCUUUGAAACGGCCGCAAAUCAAGGACCUCGUCUGUUCUUGAUUUCCUUUCUUUGCGGCACAUGUGGCUUUCCAAUUGUUGCAAAUAUAAAAUUAGACAAGCAUGUGUAUGCCCCUUUCUUUGGUUCGGCCAAUCUGCAUUACUUUUAAAGUCCAACUCUCAGUCUAGGUCUUAGUCUUGGUUAAACUUGCAUAUUUUUCCAAAUGGGUGGGGUUUCGCCGUGUGAGAAGGUGUCUUGAUCAAUGGAAAAGCAUAUGCUUUUCAAAGUCAUAAUUUCUUAUUUAGUUCAAUCUGGAAGAAACUUCACUUGCAGCAUCUUAGAACACAGAAACCACUCACAAUGAAAAAGCAUAUGGCGAUUAUAUUCCUAUUUUUCCAUGCCCAACUCAUACUAUGGAUGAGUUUAGCAAUGCAAACCAACCAGACUGAUCAGCUCGCUUUAAUCUACUUCAAAGACAGUGUGGAUAAGGAUUCGCUUGGAAUCCUGAGCUCAUGGAAUGACUCUUCUCAUCAUUGUGAGUGGCCAGGUAUUGUAUGUGGUGGACGACAUCCCGAAAGGGUCGUGUCCCUCAACUUGAUGUCGAAAGGCUUGGGCGGUCUUCUAUCGCCUCAUGUCGGAAACCUCUCUUUCCUUAGAAGCCUUGUUCUACAGAACAACAGCUUUCGUGGCAAAAUUCCACAAAGCAUUGGCCACUUGUUUCGCCUGCGCCGUCUCGUUCUUAGUAACAACUCUUUCAGUGGACAAAUGCCCACAAAUCUUUCUCAGUGCUCAAACCUUGAGGUUUUGAAUCUCAUUGAUAACCAACUUGUGGGCAAAAUUCCUCAUGAGCUUGGCUCUUUGUCAAAGCUUCGAGCUUUAUUUUUGGCUAAAAAUAGUCUUACAGGAUCUAUUCCUUGUUCUAUUGGAAAUCUCUCCCAACUUUUCUCUCUUUCCGUCGGACGUAAUGGGUUGCAAGGAGAGAUUCCCGAGACAUUGUCCAAGCUUCGUGGUUUGAGGAAUGUUCAAUUGGCAUUUAACCAACUCACUGGCAAGAUCCCACCAGCAAUCUUCAACAUGUCCAGCAUUAUCUAUUUUAGUGCCGGUGACAAUCAAUUGAGAGGGAGCAUUCCUCCUAAUAUCGGUGCUACUCUUCCUUCUCUCGAUUAUCUUGAUUUUUCUAGAAAUUUGUUUACUGGCGUUAUACCUCCGUCCUUAUCGAACGCCUCCAACCUUCAGUACAUCUCCUUUGACCAUAACAAUUUUCAUGGACCGAUGCCUACAAAUCUUGGAAGGCUAAAAGCUCUUGAAGAAAUGUUUCUUAUGUCUAACCAGUUGCGAGAUGACUUUAGUUUUAUUACCUCAUUGACUAAUUGUUCAAUGCUGGAAAUUAUUGGGGUAGAUCAUAAUUUUCUUGAGGGUCUCUUGCCAGAUUCCAUCGGCAAUCUUUCCAACAGUGUUAGACUAAUUGCUAUGUCAUCCAACACAAUGUAUGGAACCAUUCCUCCAAGUAUUGGCAAUCUCUUCAACCUGUCUUAUCUUGACUUGUCAAACAAUUCGCUUAGCGGCCAUGUUCCUUCUUGUAUUGGAGCACUCUAUAACUUGCGCAAUUUGUACUUAAGCAUUAACAUGCUAACAGGAGAGAUCCCGUCAUUGAUCGGCAAUUUGACGUUAUUGAGUCUCCUUUACCUACCGUUCAACAACUUCUACGGGGAAAUACCGCAAAGCCUUGGUAACUGCAGGCAGCUAAUCGAGCUUGAGCUUUCAAACAAUAAUCUGAGUGGUCCAAUCCCGAGGGAGGUUCUUAGUCUUUCCACCAUUUCGAUUAUCUUCAACUUGGCACAUAACCAAUUGAGUGGAUCUCUUCCGUCUCAAGUUGGGUCCUUGACCAAUCUCGUGGAACUAGAUCUGUCUUACAAUAAGCUGACGGGACCAAUUCCUAGCUCCAUCAGCAAGUGCUUGCUAUUGGGCCGACUCAACUUAGCAGUCAAUUCCUUUUAUGGUGAAAUACCUCCAGCUUUAGGCACAUUACGAGGCUUACAAGAGUUGGAUGUUUCCCAUAAUGACUUAUCUGGUGAAAUCCCGAGCUUUCUCACUCAACUUAUGGAUUUAAAGUACUUGAAUCUAUCUUCAAACAAGCUUGAAGGAGAAGUUCCGAAGCAAGCAGUAUUUCUCAAUGUUAGUGCAGUGUUCGUCUAUGAGAAUAGGAAUCUUUGUGGAGGUAUUGCAGAACUAAACCUUCCUUCUUGCAAAUCGAAUACCUCUAAACCAAUACGAACAAAAAAAGUUAGAGUAAUUGCCACAGUGGCGGCUGUCUUGUCAUCUUUCAUUUUGUGUCUUUGCCUAUUUAUUUUUUGGUACCAGAGAAAGAAGUCGAAAAAGAUUACAUCUUCAACUGAAUUGCCAUUUGAACACAAAUUUUCGAUGGUCUCUUAUGAGGAGCUCUUUAAAGCCUCAGAUGGAUUCUCUGAGAUUAAUGUGAUAGGUAAAGGGAGAUAUGGUACCGUCUAUAAAGCAACCACACAGGAAGGCGGCUGGGUGGCAAUUAAAGUGCUCAACUUGGGCCAUAGAGGUGCUUCAAAAAGCUUCAUCUCGGAAUGUCGAACCUUAGGGGCCAUAAGACAUCGAAAUCUCGUGAAGAUAUUGGAUGUGUGCUCAAGUGUAGAUUAUCAUGGCAACGAUUUCAAAGCUCUAUUGUAUGAAUACAUGGGUAAUGGGAGCUUAGAAAAUUGGAUACACCAAGGAAACGAAGAGGAUGUUGUGCAUGAACAUGGACAUGGAAAGCCGGGACACUUGGGACUAAUCCGGAGGUUAGACAUUGCCAUUGACAUAGCUUUCGCAAUCGAAUAUCUUCACAAGAAUUGCAGCCCAAAGAUUGUACAUGGAGAUCUAAAGCUAAGUAACAUCCUCCUGGACAACGAGAUGGUGGGACGAGUUGGGGAUUUUGGGAUGGCGACGAUUUGCUUUUCCGCGACAACAGAGGCCAUGGACAUUGACAACCACAGCAGCUCAGUGGCAGUGAGGGGUUCAAUAGGUUAUGUCCCUCCCGGUAAGAAAAUUUUCUCAUUAAUUAAUCUAAGUUUAUUUGUGUUGGCCUUUAGAUGAGAUAUUUAUCUUCAUCGUAUAUUGCUUGAUGUACACUAUUUUAGAGUAUGGCAUGGGGGACACAGUAUCCACACAAGGUGAUAUGUACAGCUACGGUAUUGUUUUAUUGGAAAUGUUAACUGGGAGGAGACCCACGGAAGAGGCUUUCAAGGACCAUUUAAAUCUCCACAACUUUGUCAAGGUGGCUUUGCCAAAUCGAGUGAUGGAGAUUGUGGACUCGGCCAUUUUUAAUGGAGAAAGUGAGAAUGAUAUUGGGAGGUUGAGAGACUGUGUCACCUCCAUCCUCAGGAUUGGAGUUGCAUGUUCGAUGGAGUCGCCACGGGAUCGGAUGGACGUGACUGAUGCCCUCAAAGAACUGCGUAAGAUCCAGGCUAGGUAUGGAUGAAGCAAGUUAAGCUCCUAGACACCUGCACUAGACUUUGUCUUAGGAUUAAUUUUGCUUUUUGAACAAGAAAAAUUCGGAUGGUUCUAUUCUUUGUCUUGGUUUUUAACUCUUUUCCACUAGGCCUAAAGCCAAACUCAUAUACUAGUUAAAUGUAUGUAAUCUAUCUCCAUCUCUAUUUCCCCUCCACUCUUUACGAUCUCACUAUUUUUUUUUUUUAUGCGAAUCUUCCGUUUCUGAUUUUUCCUCUGAAAGUCCAUCUCUAAUAUUUUUCUUUAGAUGCAUAAUUUUAAUCUAUAUAUUUAUAUAUAGAUAAAGUAGAAGAAUAUAGAGUAGAGGUGUAUCUUAUAAACGGUAAUAAAUUAUGUCAAUGCCAAUUAAUUUUUAAAUGAUAAUUGAUAUUGCGGAUUAAUAGGAGAAGUAAAAGUAAAGUCAAUAUGAUUAUUAAAUUUCACCAAGGUUGAUUUUAGGGGGCGGCCUCUUUUUUUUGGGGGGGGGGGGGGUAUGGGAAGAUGGUCAUUUUAACCAUAUAAAAUCUUAGUUCACGCACUUAGAUGUUAAAAAUCUGAGAAUUCAAUUGUAUAAUUUAAAUAAGUUGAAGAACUACAAAUGAGAUUAUUAAUUAAUUUAAUAUCAUGAAAAAUCUCAAAUUGAUUUACUUGUGAUAAAUUUAUUCAAAUCAAUUUUUUGAUCACUAAGAACCCUAAAUUAUACACUUAUAAUGAAUUUAUUCUCCGUUAGUAUCCGAGUCAAAUUAUUUAUUUAAAUAAUAUGUGACAAUAGAUACUUGUAUUAAUUUGGGGUUUUACUUUUUAUUUAUCAAAUGCGUAUCGAUUUGUAAAUUUUGGUGAUAUUAAUUUAAUUUAAUUGAAAUUAAUUGAAGAUAAAAUUGUCAUAAAUAUAUUAAUUUAAUAUUUUUGGAAAUUUAUUGUAAAUGCACUUUGAAAUUUUUCGUGGUAUUUAACCCUAAAUUUUAUUAUCACUUCCUUGUCACGCACCACCGUCUAGAAGAGCUUUUCAGUUUCUCUUCAUAUCUGGGUGCGUCUGUCUCUCCCGCCCUCGCCGUUGCGCUUCUGCUCAACCUGUCGUCGCCAUGUCGCCUCCGCUCGUCGCCGUCUAACCAUCUGAUUGCCGAAUUCUCCUCCCCAACGGAAGGGAAAAACUGAGUGAAUUGAAGCAAGGACUUUUCCAGCAUGAGCAAGGGGGGAAAAUGAGAGCGUCCUUAUUGAACGGCAACAGUUCCGGUCUUUUUCUUAGAAGCAUCGUCCGUAGUUGCAAUUCUCUUGCUUUAGGAAGCGUUUGGAGUCCUCUUAAGGCGUGAGACCUGACUAAAACGGCAGGGCUCUCGAGUUGUAAAUCGAUGUUGACGAGUUCGCCGGUGGUGCGAGUGAAGGAAAAGAUCGAUUUGACAGAGAAGGAGAAGAUGAUCUCUGAGAGGCUUCUCGCCAACGUUCGCCAUUUCGAUCUCCCUACCCAGCUGCGGGUGGCUGGUUGCUGGGUUCGCUUCGAUGUGCCUUUAAGUUCUUUUGCAGUACCAAUCGUGUAAAAGCAUUUCGAUCUCCCUACCCAGAAUCGUUUAUCACAUUCAAGCUGGAAAGUUUUGAAGAGAAACGAUACGAUUAUUAUAAUUGAACCGUUGUGAAUGACAUUGUGAACAAUGGUGGAUUUAUUGUGUUAAACCUAUUCUUUGAAGAAGUUGCUGAACAAGCUCCCGUUAUCUCAUCUUUACAGCUUCUAGGGAAAGAGUGUUAUAAUAUUGAUAUUGCACUUGAUGACAUGUUGGGUAGUACAUUCGUGGAUAGGGUUACCCAAUAUUUGGCAUCAACAGGGGAAGAGGCACGAGGUCUAGCUGUUAUCCCAAGGUGCAUUGAGUUUUGUACUUGCCUUUUGCCUUCAAAUAUUGGCUUUCCAUAUUUUAAUGUGUGAAUGUAUGAUUUGACUUGAAGUUUAUGUGUGAGUGUUGGUCAUUUGUUUAUUCUGCACCGGAAGUUUAUAAUGUGAGCGGUGGUUAUUUGUUUAAUGUGCACUCCAUUUCUUGAAUUGUGAUUUCCUCGUCACUGAAAAAAAAAAAAAAAGACCGGAAAGGAGCGUUCACUAGAGUAUAAUAUAAAGAGGAAUAGGUCCACAGUACCUAGACAAAUAACUAAGACCUCGGGAUCAAUCGAUGCUAGCUAAGUGCGAUGGAAGAGGAUUAAAAGAGUGUUUUUAAGGCAUAGAGAUUGCUGUUUUGAAGAUGCAAGACUCUUGAUUCUUCAUGAUUAACUGUUUCUUUUACUUAACAAAAAUUGAAGUGAUCCAUGUGUUAGGGUUGGCAUGCAUGUGGUUUGGGUUGUGCCAGACCCUUGUAGCUUUUAGAAAGUUUCACUAGAAACAAUCCAUUUCUAUCCCUGUGGUCACACUGCUUUUCACUGACCUCAAAGCACAACCCAAAAACUAUGAAGUAAAUCAAAUAAGUUAAAGAAGGGUUCCAAUUGCAUAUCCCGUCCAUAUUUUACAAUCUCUAUAUCCCUCCCAAGAAAGACUAUCGUCAGAAGUUCAUUACCUCAUGAUUAGUAAAGCAGCCUCCCAAGAGAUAAAGCCACCCGGAGGGAAUCGACUUUUGCAAAUCUUUUCCAUAUUGAGAUUAAUUGGCCCUCUUACGUUUAUUACUCCAAGGGCUUCGAAAUAUGAUUAAGUGAAGAACAAAUGGUUCACUUUAAGUGGAAUAAGGAGUGUGUGCAGGGUAAGUACGUGCUUUUGAGAAUACCCCUUUUCUGCUCCAUCUUUUGCCCCUUGAUAUUUCUUUCCUGGGUCUUAUUAUCUGGUAGGUCUAUUGUCUUCAUGAGCUCUGUAGAAGGGCUUUUCUUUUUCGUCUCCUGCAAUUCUCUCUUAACUUGUUUUUGUAUGUUAGUCGUGAAAUAUGGUCUUGUUGGCAUAGUUGAAUUUGGAACUUCUUAUUGCAUGAAUAUUUGCCCAUAUUUUCUUUGAAUUAGGUUGUGGUACGUUAUUGUGGCAGAUGCUGUCUCCAUUCUGAUUGGGUAUUUGAAGACAUUUUUACAUAAAAUUAGUUUUGCAGCAACCCAGACCGGUCAAAACAUUUGGAAACAGCGAGGAUGCGUCUCCAUGAUAUAUGAAUAGAUUUUGUGAACUCAAGGUCUGAAAAGUACAGUGACAAUAGCCGCAUUCCCACGCAGAUGGUAUGCAGUACAGCUUAGGGGUGAUCGGGUCUAGGGUGGGUAGGGUCUAGACCUAGACCCUGUACCCGACCUUGUUAUAACCGGUUCUCUUUUUCUGGACCUUGUUCCCGACUUUGUUUGCAUUGGACUCUGUUCCCGACCCACCCUGUUUUUCCGGUCCGGGUACAGGGUUAACCCUGUUUAUAUUGGAACUUGUUUUGCAAGGCUGGCGAGCAGCUAGGAACCGGGUUGACAGAGGCGGCGUUCCGAUUUCUGGGGGCGCGAAGCAGGGUGAGGCGGAGUGGCGACGUCGGGAUCUCACGGGCUGCAGGUGUCGUGGGAGGAAGGCGACGGUGGGCGAGCGGAAGCAGUGUUAGCGCUCGGAUGGAACAAAUUAGGGUUUGCUGGUGUCAGUCAUUGGCAGAAAUGAACAGAGCAGAGGGCAACGCCAGGUCGUCGGAUCGCUGGAUCUGUGGUGUCAGGUCACUGAUUGGAGGUCGUGGUGGUUGGAUCUAGCUAUAGGAGUGGAGCAAGGCGAGCAUGGUGGUGUGGCACGGUGCAGGUGUUGGAGAAAUCUUUCCAGAAUAUUUUGAAGCUGACAAAACAUUUCUAUCAGUCUAAGUCUGGAUAUCGAUAGUUAAAGUCUCAAGAAUUUAUAGUCUCAAGACUUUGUUAUCUCAAGACUCAAGACUCAAGACUCAAGACUCAAAAUUAUUCUCACUGACAGUCUUUCUAAUCCAGUGUUGAAGAAAAUCCAAAGUCGAGGUUUAUGGUUGAGGAUUUGAUUCUAUCCUCUGGAAUAGAUUCUUUGGUUGGAUAAUCAUUUCGGAUUCUUUAAUUCUUAUCUAAGAUCAAUUGAAGAUCCGAUGGUCGACGAAAUAAUCUUGGAUUAUUCUAUUCUUGGAAACCGAGAUCCUGAUUGUAUGGGCGAACAGGAUUGAUGGGCUAUCAUCAGAUUCCUUAAAUAGCUCGGAUGAUCUUCUUGAUUGAUUCCGUCCAACGGGUAGAUUGGAGGAAUUCCUUUGGUAAGUGCCAACGGCUAUGAUGGCAUGAAGGAGUAUAAAAGGAAGAUGUUCUAGUUGUUUUAAGUGUGUGAUCGAUAGAAAAAUUCCAGAGUCUGAAGAUCCUUGAUUGUUAGUCGAGACUGAGCGAAAUUGUACACAGAGAGUGUUUGUACUUGGUAACGCCUUGAGCGAGUGUGGUAGAUCAUCUACACCUAGAAAUCAAGGAAGAUCAACACUGUAACAACUCUUUGAUCAUAGUGGAAUCCAGCCAAUCGGCUGUCAGUGCAGAAGAGUGGACGUAGGCUUGAAUCAAGCCGAACCAUUAUAAACUGAGUGUUCAAUUCUCUCUUUCCUUUACUCAGUCUUGCGAUUGAAUUUUUAACUGUUGCAAAUUCUUUAAUUGUUUAAAUAUCGUGCAAGCUUCGAGAAAUUUUUUUAUAUACCUAUUCACCCCCCCUCUAGGUACUCGUACUAGCUAUUUCAAUUGGUAUCAGAGCCCGUGUUCUUACUUUGUUUGAAGUGUUUUACUUCAGAGUAAAAGAUCCAUGGCUAGUAUGCUAGCACCAGGGCUGAUGGAGGGGCAAAGCAAUACCAGACCUCCCUACUUCGAUGGAAAGGAUUACAACAUCUGGAAAAACAAGAUGAAAGCUUUCCUACGAUCAAAGGAUCCUCUGGAAUGGGACGUAGUGGAAAAAGGAAUCACUCCUGCUGCUGCAUCAAUCACUGAAAGAGGAAAAGAAACCGUUGAAACCAGCGGAAUGUCUCAAGAAGAAAUAAACAAGAGACAAGCACUCGAUGCUAAAGCAAUUUAUUCUUUAUAUUGUGCUUUGUCACCAACUGAAUAUAACAGAAUAUCUUCUUGUGUCACAGCAAAAGAAGUCUGGGACAGGUUACAUAUCACUUAUGAAGGGACAGAUCGAGUGAAGGAGACCAGAAUUAACAUUCUUCUUGGUCAAUAUGAAUCCUUCAAAAUGAAACCAGGAGAAUCAAUAACUGACAUGUUUAGUCGUUUUACAGAUAUUGUCAAUGGUCUUGAGAACCAAGGACAAAAAAUUUCUGAUCCCAUGAAGGUGAACAAGCUUCUACGUGGACUCUCCAAGGAUUGGAAUCAUAUAAAGACUUCAAUAAGAGAGACGCAAAGAAUCAUGCCAUUAUCUGUAGACGAACUGAUUGGAACUCUUCAGUCUUACGAAGUGGAACGAAUUAAUGAAGACGAAGAUCCAAGAGGUAAGAAAUCUAUUGCACUAAAAUCAAAUGAUGAUUCUGAUGAUGCAGAUUCUGAAGAUGAUAUGGAUGAUGAGGAGCUCGCCCUCAUGAUAAGAAGAUUCAGAAAACUGAAUAGAAAAGGCAGAAGGUUCAUCCCAAAGAAACAAAGUUCUCAGAGACAGCAGACCAAGUCUGUUGAUGAUGAGGAACCAAACAAAGAAGUAGUUUGCUUCGAAUGUAAAAAGAAGGGACACAUCAGACCCAACUGUCCUCUUCUGAAAAAGAAAAGAGGAAAAGCUGAGAAAUUUCGAAAAGCUCUUAAAGCCGAAACCUGGAGCGAUACAGAGUGUGAAGAGAGUGAUGAGGAAUAUGCCAACCUGUGUCUAAUGGCGCAAUCAGACUCAGACUCUGGAUCAGACUCAGACAGUGAAUUUGAGGUAAGUGAUUAUAAAAUCCCUGUCAAAGUCUCUAAAUAUAUUGAUGAGUUAUGUUUUAGUCUUAAGACUUCUCUUAAAAGGAUUUCCGAACUUAAAAAGGAAAACUCAGUUUUAAAACAAAAGGAAAACAUUUUAGAAGAAAAGGUAAAAAAUUUAGACUUGAAUGUUUCUACUCUUAAAGAAAGUGAAGACAAUCUUUCAAAAGAAAAUGCUUUCUUAAAAACUGAUUUAUCAAAUAUUUCAAAGAAAUUUUCAAUAGGGUCCGAAAAACUUGAAAAAGUCCUUUCAAUCCAAAGACCUUACUUUAAUAAGUCGGGUCUAGGUAUGACAGUUGAAACAAUCCCUUUGAUUGAUUUUCCGAAAGUAAAAGAAAGAAUUAAGAAAAGACCAUCGAGAGAGGCUUAUAAAAAUCAUUUCAAAAGAGUUUUUGUAAAGCCUGUAGGUCGAAAUGCCUUAAGGUGUUCUAAGUGUAACAGUCAGGAUCAUUUUGAAAAAGAGUGUCCUAUGGUUUGGAAGCCUGUUAAGAGAGUAUGGCCUAAUAAUGCUCAUCCUACUAACACGAAAGGACCCAAGAAAAUUUGGGUACCAAAGAAAGCUUGAGACUCUUUUUUGAAUGUAGGUCUCUGUCAAAAAGAAGGUAAAGUGGUAUCUUGACAGCGGAUGCUCAAGACACAUGACAGGAGACUCAAAAUGUUUCAUAAAGCUUAUUAAAGUAAAUGGUGGAAAAGUUUCAUUCGGAGGAAAUAGCAAAGGAAGUAUUGUGGGAUUCGGAAUUGCGAAAAUUGGAAAUCUCACAAUAAGCAAUGUCUCUCUAGUGGAAGGACUCAACUACAAUCUACUCAGCAUUAGCCAAUUGUGUGAUACUGGUUACAAGAUCUUCUUUCAAGAAGGCAUAUGUUCUAGAAUUAGCAAAGAUUCGACUUAGUCUUUCAUGGGUCGAAGGCAUGGAAACAUCUACCUCCUUGAUGUAAAGCCAAAUGAAGAACAAUGCUUAAUCUCAAUUCAAGAUGAAGCAAUUCUAUGGCACAGAAAACUUGGCCAUAUCAACAAGAAGCAAUUAGCCAAAAUCUCUUCAAAACAGCUUGUUCGAGGUCUACCUAAACUGCAAUACCAAAAGUCUGACUUAUGCACUCCAUGCAUUCUGGGAAAGCAGGUAAGAAAUUCAUUUAAGCAAAUAAAUCAUGUAUCUACUAAUCAUGUAAUACAGUUGCUUCAUAUGGAUCUCUUCGGACCAACAAGAACCCAGAGCAUUGGAGGUAAGAAAUAUUGUCUAGUAAUUGUAGAUGAUUACUCUCGUUUUACCUGGGUAUAUUUUCUUGCAAAUAAAUCAGAAACCUUUUCGUACUUUGAAAAGUUUGCUAAAAAGGUUCAAAAUGAAAAAGGAUGUGCUAUUUCUAGUAUAAGAACAGAUCAUGGAAGUGAAUUUGAAAAUCAAGAUUUUACGAAAUUCUGUGAUAAAUCUGGUGUUAAUCACAUAUUUUCCUCUCCGUAUACUCCAGAGCAAAAUGGAGUUGUGGAAAGAAAGAAUAGAUCUCUUCAAGAAAUGGCUAGAACACUUUUAAUUGAAAGUAAAAUUUCUUCACGAUUUUGGGCUGAAGCUGUUUCAACUGCUUGCUAUAUUAUAAAUAGAGUCUUUUUAAGACCUAUUCUUGAUAAAACCCCCUAUGAAUUGUUCAAAGGUAAGAAGCCUAUUGUUUCAUACUUUCAUGUGUUCGGUUGCAAAUGCAUUAUUUUGAAAAAUGCAAAUGAUCGAGUUGGUAAGUUUGAAGAAAGAUCAGAUGAAGGCAUCUUCCUUGGAUAUUCUACAUCAAGCAAAGCCUACAGAGUCUACAACAAAAAAAGCCAGUCUGUGGAAGAAUCAAUGAAUGUCAAAUUCCAAGACUCAGUGCAAGAUGAAUCCAGCCAGACUCAGUACGAAGAGACUGAAUCCGCUCUAGAUCUUCAAAUGUCUACAUCUCAAGAAGCAUCUCAGAUUCUGGAAGUCCAUCAUCAAGACGCUCAUGGAGAAUCAAAUAAAGAAAGAGAUCAUCAACCUGGUAACUGGAAGCACAAAUCCAGUCAUCCCAAAGAUCUUAUUAUUGGCGAACUUAAUGAAGGAAUCCGCACCAGAUCAAAAAGGCAUGAAGAAUCUAGUGCUGUGGCUCUCAUCUCUGAAAUUGAACCAAAAAGCAUAGAAGAAGCUUUAUCUGAUGAAAGCUGGAUCGAAGCUAUGCAAGAAGAGCUAAGACAGUUCAAAAUCAAUGAUGUCUGGGAAUUGACAUCUAAACCAAAAGGUAAAACUGUUAUUGGAACCAAAUGGGUAUUCAGGAACAAAAUGAACGAAAAAGGAAAAGUCGUACGAAACAAAGCGAGACUCGUGGCCAAAGGGUAUACGCAAGAAGAAGGAAUAGACUAUGACGAGACUUACGCACCCGUUGCAAGGUUAGAAGCUAUUCGUCUAUUACUUGCGUUUGCUUGUUACAAAAAUUUCAGGUUAUUCCAAAUGGACGUCAAAAGUGCUUUCCUAAAUGGAUUUAUCCAUGAGGAAGUUUAUGUGGAACAACCGCCUGGAUUUGAAGACCCAAAGAAGCCAGACUCAGUCUUCAGACUGAAAAAGGCUCUGUAUGGUCUAAAGCAAGCACCUCGAGCUUGGUACGACAGACUAAGUAAGUUUUUAUUACAAAAUGAUUUUGUCAAAGGUAAAGUAGAUACUACUUUGUUUAUCAAAAAGGAAAACAAAAACUUUUUACUUGUUCAAAUAUAUGUUGAUGACAUUAUUUUUGGAUCCUCUAAUGAAAGUCUUUGCAAGAAAUUUUCUAAGUCUAUGCAGGAUGAAUUUGAAAUGAGUAUGAUGGGAGAGUUAACAUUCUUUCUUGGACUCCAAGUGAAACAAAUGAAGGAAGGAACUUUCAUCCAUCAAGAAAAAUAUGCGAAUGAUCUUGUCAAAAGGUUUGGAUUGGAAAAAUGCAAAAAGAUCGACAUACCAAUGUCAUGUUCUCAGAAGAUAGACAAGGAUGAAGAAGGGAAGAAAGUAGAUCAAAAGCUGUACAGGAGCAUGAUCGGUUCACUUCUUUAUCUUACUGCUUCUAGACCUGAUAUUUUGUUUAGUGUUUGUAUCUGUGCUAGGUUUCAAUCAGAUCCUAGAGAAUCACAUCUCAUUGCCGUGAAACGAAUUAUCAAAUACGUUGCUUCAUCUUCAAGCAUCGGUCUUUGGUAUCCAAAGAGGGGAGACUUUAAUCUUCUAGGAUACUCAGAUGCAGAUCUGGCCGGUUGCAGAGUCGAUAGAAAGAGCACUUCUGGAACUUGUCAACUACUUGGAAACAGAACGGUGUCUUGGUUUUCGAGGAAGCAAAGCACUGUAGCUCUUUCAACGACAGAAGCAGAGUAUGUAGCUCUUGGAAGCUGCUGUUCGCAAAUUCUAUGGAUAAAACAACAGCUACAAGACUUUGGCAUUGAAGACUCAUGCACAGAAAUCAGAUGUGACAACACCAGUGCGAUAAAUCUCACCAAAAAUCCAAUCCUUCAUUCAAGAGCAAAGCAUAUUGAGAUUCGACAUCACUUUAUUAGAGAUCAUAUUCAAAAUGGAGAAAUCUCGAUUCAAUUUGUUGAUUCAAAAAGUCAACUAGCGGACAUAUUCACAAAGCCUUUGGAGAAGAAUCAGUUUGACUUUAUCCGCUCGAGACUCAACAUUUUGAAGCUUGAAGAAGUUAAAGUCUAGAGACUCACCAACUCUAAGACUCUGAUCUCUUAGACUCUAAGUCCUGAGACUCAGACAUUCAUGGCUAAAGACUGUAAGUUGUAUUUCAUCUAAAAGGUACUAAUUAUCAUUUAGUUAUAAUUAACUCGAAAAGGUACGAUCUUUUGCUUAAUAAUUUUGGCAGUUAUCGAUUUUGAAAAGAAGUAAUCGUUCACUUUCCUUGCACCGAUUGAACUUCCUUUUUCAAAAACUGAGUUAUAUAUAUACAGUUUUUUCCUUUCCCCAAUUUUCAAAACCCUAAAAAGCACUCUCCUCUCGAUACUGUUUCUACUCUUUGUUCAUCGUCGAGAAAGUGGUCAUUUUUCUUGGGAAAGCAAGUGAAGGAAUCCUUCAAUAGACAAAGAAAGAUGUCGUCUUCGAGGAAAUCAUCAAGAAUCGCAAACAGGGGACCACAAAGAAUGAAGAAGGGACCGACACAUUUCGAUCUCACUGAGGAAGAAGACUUACCAAGUCAGCGUCAGAGUCCGAUUCGCUCUCCUCCACGUCAUUCAGCAUCUCCUGCCCCACAAAGUGCAAGUCACAAUCUGGAAGAAGAGAUAAUCGAGGAUGCCGACCCAGUAAGAGUUCAAAAGCCCUCCUUUUUGUAUACUCUUUAUCGUGCAUUGAAAAGCACAGGUACUCCAUUGAACUAUAUAGAUGACUUCCUUAAGGACAAAAAUUAUGGGAAUGAGUAUCUUUUUCUGAAGAAAAUGGAGGAAUGGGGAAUUGCCCCGAAAGGAAAAGCAGAAGAAGCACUUGCGAACAUUCCAAGAGAUCCUCGUAUGCCAGGACAAAAUCUGAUUGACGGGAACGAUGAUGACAAAAUGUUCCUUGAAUUUAAACCUAAAAUGGGUGUGGCGGCAAAGGUGAAAGGAAAUCGGAUGGAUUUGUUUAAAUCCAAGGAUCAGGAAAAAGUGUAUUACAGUCUGUUGAAAAGAGGGGUAAUCAACCCUAGAAGUGUCGAUUUUGACUUCCUGGAUUCCAUCAACUUGAACCUAAGAGAGAAGUUGAAUUUGCUUCAACUUGAGACUUUCUGCUCUGACUCUACAGACGGGUAUGAUCAUCUGACCGCUUAUUUCUAUUCAAAUCUUAGCUUUUUGGAUGCGAAUAGAAUUUCAUUCAGUGUUCGAGACAAAGUCUAUGUGGUAGAUGUGAAUAUGUUGGCGGACAUAGUUGGAGUUGAACGGGGACGCUAUCUCCCAAUCAAAGUCUCACCUGCUCGAACUACUCUGGAUCUUGUCAAAGAUAGGGAUGUAGAUAAGAAAAUUAUCUAUUCCAGGAUGAAUGCCAUCAACAUUGUGCUUCACAAGAUUGUGAUCAAUUGUCUCAGACCUAAGUCUACUUCAAAGACUUCUGUGUCUCUUUUUGAAGCAAAGUUGAUGUAUGCGAUCAACUCAGGACGGAAGUUCUCUCUCCCGCACACUAUUCUUUUCCAUAUGUACAGAGCAGUGUCAAAAGACAAAGGACAAUUGCCUUAUCCUGGUCUGGUGACCAAGAUCUUCAGACAUCUGAAUAUUGAACUGCCACAUACUUUUUGUGUUCGACCGUGUGAUAAAAUGGUGGUAGGGCUGAAAAUGUUAAUGAAGAUGCGUCUGCAAGAACUCUCUAAGGCAAUGGAGAAAUUCAAAGUGAAAUCUCCAGUCCAGUCUGCUUCAAAAGGGAAAGGAAAGAAGGCCAUUGGUGCUUCUUCGAAAAAGAGGAAAAGAACUCUUAUUCUAGAGGAUGAGGAUGAGGAUGAAGAUAAUGAAGAUCCCACUAUUCCAGCACUAACAAGAACAAGACGUUUUGUGUCUUAUCCGACAGAACUUCAGCAGAGCAGAGAAGAAGAAGAACAGAGAGAGAAGGAGAAAGAAGUUGAGGAAGAAGAAAAAGAACAGUCUGCUGAUAAAUCUGGAGAGAAGGGAAAUCAAGAGCAUGAUCAUCACUCUUCCCCUUUCGAUGUCCUAGAGACAGGGGGAGUUAGCGAGCAAGAGAGGUCUCCACCUCAUGCUGCUGAAGAUCUAAGACAAUCUCCAGAAGACCCAGAAGACGUUCAGGUCUCUCAAUUGCCUGAAGAAGAUGAUACGACGAUUCCAAAUCUGCCAGACCGUUCAGAAGCGCCAUCGUCUGCACACACACCAUCUGAGAAAGCUAAUGCCAGUACACAGACGGAUGAUUCUGUAGAUCUUCGUAGUAUCAUGAAUAUUCUUCUGGAAAUGCGUAAUCAGAUAUAUAUUCUGGACUGUGAAAUCCAAGCUUUGAAGCAUGCUGGACAAGCAUCUUCAGUCUCUCUGGAAGAUAAAUACAAAGACCUCGCUCUGCAACUUCAAGCCAAUGCGAAGAGAGAAGAGGUAGCUCAUCUGCGAGAAGAUCUGAAGAAGCUCGAAGGAGUAGUCCAGUCAAUUGGGGAUUUCCAGAUCGUGCGCAUUCCCAAGCAGACAUGACUCCUUUCUCACCCUCUUUUUAAUGAUGACAAAAAGGGGGAGAACCAAUUUGAACAAACAUUAUUUUAAAACUUUAUUUGAAGUGACUUUUGUGUUUAUGUUUAUUUUUGAGUAUGACUUGAGAACUUGAACUUGAGUGUUAGACUGAAUUGGUUGUGGAUUUUGAUGCUUGACUGGUUGCAUUUAUAUCAAGUAUUGUUACAUGGUAUUACUCAUGAAAGACUAACCAAUUUGCUGUGGAUGCAGAGUCUGGUUGUUUAUUAAUCUUUAUGAGUUAGCCAUAUUGCUUGAGAAAUGUUUUUGCAGGUCAAAGUUGUUCAAAUCUUCAAGAAAGUUUUGUCACCAUCAAAAAGGGGGAGAUUGUUGGAGAAAUCUUUCCAGAAUAUUUUGAAGCUGACAAAACAUUUCUAUCAGUCUAAGUCUGGAUAUCGAUAGUUAAAGUCUCAAGAAUUUAUAGUCUCAAGACUUUGUUAUCUCAAGACUCAAGACUCAAGACUCAAGACUCAAGACUCAAAAUUAUUCUCACUGACAGUCUUUCUAAUCCAGUGUUGAAGAAAAUCCAAAGUCGAGGUUUAUGGUUGAGGAUUUGAUUCUAUCCUCUGGAAUAGAUUCUUUGGUUGGAUAAUCAUUUCGGAUUCUUUAAUUCUUAUCUAAGAUCAAUUGAAGAUCCGAUGGUCGACGAAAUAAUCUUGGAUUAUUCUAUUCUUGGAAACCGAGAUCCUGAUUGUAUGGGCGAACAGGAUUGAUGGGCUAUCAUCAGAUUCCUUAAAUAGCUCGGAUGAUCUUCUUGAUUGAUUCCGUCCAACGGGUAGAUUGGAGGAAUUCCUUUGGUAAGUGCCAACGGCUAUGAUGGCAUAAAGGAGUAUAAAAGGAAGAUGUUCUAGUUGUUUUAAGUGUGUGAUCGAUAGAAAAAUUCCAGAGUCUGAAGAUCCUUGAUUGUUAGUCGAGACUGAGCGAAAUUGUACACAGAGAGUGUUUGUACUUGGUAACGCCUUGAGCGAGUGUGGUAGAUCAUCUACACCUAGAAAUCAAGGAAGAUCAACACUGUAACAACUCUUUGAUCAUAAUGGAAUCCGACCAAUCGGCUGUCAGUGCAGAAGAGUGGACGUAGGCUUGAAUCAAGCCGAACCACUAUAAACUGAGUGUUCAAUUCUCUCUUUCCCUUACUCAGUCUUGCGAUUGAAUUUUUAACUGUUGCAAAUUCUUUAAUUGUUUAAAUAUCGUGCAAGCUUCGAGAAAUUUUUUUAUAUACCUAUUCACCCCCCCUCUAGGUACUCGUACUAGCUAUUUCAGCAGGGACAUGGGCUCGUAUGCGAGAGUUCCGGCGAGAUGGGAUAGCGAUGGCUUCGUGGGUUCGGGGCAGAUCUGAUGGGCGUUGGAGCAGGAGUGUCGCGGGUGGAGGCUCGAGCAGAGGUGUUGGGCUCGUGGGUGAGGCACAGCGCAACGGUGCUGGGUUGAGCUGCUGCGGGGAGCAUUGGCGAAGGAGAUCGGAGGCGCGAGCGUUGUGGCGAUCGGCUCAGAUCUAUUGGCGUUGGGCUCUUCUAUGGUGUAGUGACAGCAGACGCGAGGACGAGCGAGCGUCGGCACUCGGACGAGCGAGCGUCGGCACUCGGACGAGCGAGCGUCGGCACUCGGACGGAGAGGUAGGUGCGGGCUCACCGGUGAGGCGGUAGCGCGAGUGGUGUGGCGUUGCUGCUUGGAGGCCGGUGUUGCAGGGAACCGGCGGUGCAGGGAAUCGGCGGAGGUCGCAAGCUCGGGGAAAUUUACGGGUGUGAGAGCAUAUAGAACAAUCUAGGGUUUUGGUUUUUUUGGGUUGGUUCUCAAACCGGUUCCCAAACAGGUCCGGUCGAUCCGGUUUAUGGGUGGAUAAUCCCUCCGAACCGGUUCCCGUACCGGUUCAAACCAAUUUUGCAUUUUGGGAACCAGUUCCUGGACCCUGUUUUCCGGGUGGGCUGAUCCAGGAACCGGGUUAACCUGGUCCAGUUGCAGCAACUUAGUACAACUGUUAAUUGAUCUAUCAUAUGUUUUCUUUCCACUUGUAUCUUAUUAUCUUGUUUAGGUGGGGCUUACUAGACGGUAUCAUUUCCAGUAAAAAGCAAAAAUAGUUUUUAGCUCUUUCGUGUUCUUUUUUUUUUAGGGAAAGAAAGACAAGCAAAUUAGUUAGGUGGUAUCAAUGGGGCAGCCGCUUGCAUGCUCUGUGGUGGUACUCGUACUUAAGGAAUGCAAGCGUACAAAUGACAAUUAUGUAGCUCAUAAUCAACAGUAAAGUGACUUGAAUUCUGACAAUGACAUGUCUCUUCUUGAACAGUCUCGGCCCAGGGACUUUCUUCUAAACUAUUUUUCUUUCUUCUGCUAAUUGAGAGACUUGUUGAACAAACAUUAUUUUCUUAUAAGUGUCGAGUAUAUCAUCAUAGAUAAGAGGGCCUAAGAAUCAUCAUGAGAGCUAAAUGCAAUGAGCUCAAGGCCUUUUACAUUUUGUGUCCAUGGCCAUUCAUUUGCGACAUUAGCACAGUAUUUUCUCUUAGAUUGUCAAUGCUUGGAGCAAAUUUUUGUUUACUUAUUGCUUUGUCCCCUCUCUCCAUGCACUGGUGCGUCCGAUGUGAUUGCGCUGUUGUUCAACUAUUUAUCACCCAAAAAUCUUGCUAUUUUUUGGUAGUUACUUUUGUGAAUGGUCGUCCAAUUUGACUUCUCUUACAGGAUUUUGGCACUGCAGAAGAGGAUGCUUACUGAAAGGAUUUUACUAUAAACAGGUAUCUCUUCUCAUUUAUUUAUCUGGUAAAUUGUUCUCAAACAAUCCAUUGCUUUGUUUUAGGUGGUAUUUAAUCUAACGCCCAUUAGUUAAAUAUAUUUUGAAUGAAUCAAAUCAUUCUAUUACUCUAUAAUUGAUACAUAACAAAUUUUUUUGUUACCCUAUCCAACCUUAUUUCCAGUUACUAAUAGUGGAGAUAGUCUGCUCUUCUGUGAAGCAUAUGUAGCUCGAAACUUACUGCCUGUUGAUAAUCUAAUGCCAAUUAACUAGAUGACAAUAAAGAGGAAUUGCUGGUCGUUUUGAUUUUCUGGUCAGCUGGCAAGAAGUCAUGGAAUGUACAGUCUUUCAAAUCUUUAUUUGGAUAUUGCUCUCUCUCUCUCUCUCUCUCUCUCUCUCUCUCUCUCUCAGCUAAUGAAGUGGUUUAGCACCACAUGCCUUUCAUUAAUUUGUGAAAUUUGUAUGUUAAUUGAGGUAGGAUUCUGAAGACUAUAGUCCACUCUCUAUUUUAGACAUGACUGGACGUCCACAUAACGGUUGCUUCUUUAUAUGUUUAAAUUAUGAAGUUUGUUUACUUCAAUCCGUUACUUCAAACAGCUUGCUACUCUUAUUUGUAUCGUUCCUCUCUACAUUGGUCCAGAUGUUUGAUGACCUAAAUUUUUAUCUGAAAGCAUGUUUUACAAUAUCAACACCAGCUCAGUUGAAGAUUUAAGUGGGAGAGGUUAGAAUAGAUCUUUUGACUUGAUUUUCUUUUCGUGAGACUUUUUUGGGGAAUUACACUGUUAAUUCUUCUGCUUUUUUAAUUUUGUUCACUGUACAGGGAUUGAUGAUCUUAAAUCAGGAAAAAUUGUGACACCUUUAGCCCCAAAGGAAACGUUUCGGGAUGAUCCUGUGCGCGCUCUUCGCGCUUUUUUCUUUGGUGCUGUUUUAUUGAAUUUUCUGUUGAGCUUUUGUUUCUAGUGUAUAUUUAGUUCUGGAUAUUCUUAUCAGUGUGCCUGAGACCAUUUAUAAUGCGAUCCAUUGCUAUUUGUUUGUUAGUAGAACAAAUGGAUGAAUUAUGUAUGUAAACAUGGGAAGUUCUAUUGUAUUUUUGUCAAUGCCACGGCUUGUUGCCUGGGGACUAGUUGCAUAAAAUUGUGCUAAGAGUUGCAUGUGACAGUCCGAUUACACACGCAUGCACCAAAUGCUGUCUUCCUUCCAUUCUCGUCAAUGCCAUAGCUUGUUGCCUUCGCGCUAGUUGCAUGAAAUUGUGUUACGAGUUGCAUGUGACAGUCUAAAUACGGCAAAAGAACGCUUCAAGUGCCAUAACUUUGCCCAAAGGGACACUUAAGUGCCAUAACUUACGAAAUGUACACUUAAGUGUUACAUUCGAAGAAAAACGGAUCAUUUGAGUGCUAUUCCGGCCAAAGUCCGGCCAAAAUGCCGACGUGGCAUUUUUCCGGCGAAGCGUGCCCAAAACGACGCCGUUUUACACGCUGAUGUGGCCAAAUAAUGCAAAAACGGCGUCAUUUUUGGUUGACGUGGUAAAAAAAAUAAAAAAAUUAAUUAAANNNNNNNNNNNNNNNNNNNNNNNNNNNNNNNNNNNNNNNNNNNNNNNNNNNNNNNNNNNNNNNNNNNNNNNNNNNNNNNNNNNNNNNNNNNNNNNNNNNNCCUUACGGUCGCCAGCCCUUCCUGGCGGCGCCAGCGGCGGCUAAGGGUUGAUCCCUUAGCUGCCUCCCCCCGUUCCCUUUUUUUUUUUACAAUUUAAAAUAUUUAAAAUAUUUUAACUAAAUUUAAUUAUUUUUUUUACCACGUCAGUCCAAAACAACGCCGUUUUUGCAUUAUCUGGCCACGUCAGUGUGCAAAACAGCGUCGUUUUGGGCUCGGUUUUUCGGAAAAAUGUUACGUCGGCAUUUUGGCCGGACUUUGGCUGGAUUGGCACUCAAGUGAUUCCUUUUACUCCGAUUUUGGCACUUAAGUGUACCUUUCAUAAGUUAUGGCACUUAAGUGUUCGUUUGUGCAAAGUUAUGGCACUUGAGAGGUCCGCAUGUCGUCUAAAUACGCAUGCAUGCAACAAAUGCUGUCUUUCUUCUAUUAGCAUCUUUUUUCUGUACAAAUGGAUGUAUUACGUGGGUAAACACAUGACUGCAUAGGUAGGUAAAAGGUUUUAAUCAAGAAGGUAAUGAUCUCAUGAAAGAUAUACCUAGAAUAGAGUGUGCUAGAACCAUGAGCCUACCGUUUGUAUUUUAUGUAUGAUUCGUAUCUUUGGAAGACUUUUGGAUCCUCUUGCAUCCUCACAAUCCCUGAAUUGGGAAUGCUGAAUGAUUUUAUUCUUGGAUGAGCUUUGUAAACCUUGCAUUUCGCAGCUGAUCCUACAAAGAAGCUUUCUUUUUUUUUCCAUUCUUCUGCCACGUAAUAUGGAUGCUCAUUUUCGUUUAAUUUGUACAAGAGUUUUUUUUUUUUUUUUUUUGGUAAAGGAAUUUGUACAAGAGUCUGCGCGGUCAAAAAGGAGAUUUCUGCUACUUUAUCUAUUGACUGGUCAUCUUAGUGCCUCCAUGUUUAUAAUCUUGUGUUCAUUUUAGGCGCAAGGUUCAGAUUUGCGUUGGAUGAAGAGCUGAAGAGAGCUGCCACAUCCAACGAUGUCAAAGAUGCACUUGUAGCUAAAAUCAAUAACGAGCACAUUAGAACCCAAGGAUGUGUUUAUAACAUUCCUCUAUUGGCUGCUUUAUCUCAUAUAUAUGUUUUUUGGUGGAAGUUCUAGUACAUGUGGCCUUUAUUUUUCUCUCAACAUCUGUAUAUGAUGUGUAUUUUCCGUUUGAAUAUUACUUCUCAUCAAUGAGAUGUGAUCAAAGUUUUUCCCCUUCUUCGGUACGGCAGGUUGAUCUGAUGAUGCCAGGAAAUGAACUAGUUAAAGCAAUUGCUUACAUCUGUGAGUUGCAAAUUAUUUGGGUAAGUCUUCAGUCUACCUCAAGAACAUGAACCGACAUUGCCAGAAGAGUGCCGUAGGUUGUUAUUGUGGAUUGGGCUCAGAACUGACCAUUUCUCUAAAAGCAAUUCACAUGACACGAAAGAUCCACGGUAGGCAUCCACCUGUUCUUUGUUCGUCUCUUCUCUUCUUUUUCUAAAGCAAGAUCCGAUCUGCCAUCUAUUAAUCCGCCAAAUUGAUAGGUCUUCUGUGACACCCCGAACUUCCUCAAGGAGCCACAGGCACCUAAUGCUACACCUAAUUACAUCUCUUAGAAGAAGCGUCAAAGUUCAUAGACUUUUUUUUUUUUUUUUGAAACGGUCCCAGCGCGACUCGUUAGCGGAAGCAAAAUAUAAUAUUGCCAUCUCUCACUCCAACGACCAUGAUACAAUUGCACACCACUAAGUACCAUAGGAAAAGAUAGAGCCAUGCCACUUUGAUUUACAUAUUUUCGUGAUGGAUAUUUUGCGGGUCGAUACAAUAAAAGAAAGCCAAGAUUUCCAGCUACACUUGGCCACAUCCCAAAAAAAUACUACAACCCCUAAAGUAAUCACAUGACGUCCUCCAUCUAACAGCGGCGGCUACUCCCAAAAAGAAACUCCAGCUCUCUACCUCUCACGCAACCAUCAUACCCAUCCUGGCGCGUCGGGUGGUGGUAGCGGCAACAUCCCCCUAAAUACUCCGUCUCGGCGAACAUGAACUGACAUGAACUCCUGGAUGAUUGGGCCCCCAGCCAGGCCCAUAUUGUACAUAACCAGCACUCGCACUCACACAAAAGUCAAUCCAGGGACGGUGACGCAGUUGAUCUCCGUACAUUCUACUUCUACAUCCGAGAAGAGGCCAUAGAAGGUACCUCGCGUGACGGUAAGAAGCGGCAUCUUUCUAAUCUGAAAUGUUGGUCCCCAAAAAGGGUGAGUACAACCACUCAGCAGGUAAAGGACCAAUAAACCACUCAAUGCAUCAUACAAUACAAUCGCAACAUAAUACAUGUCAUUUAUGCAUCCAAGCCUACUUACCUUGAAGCCAUGCAUAUAGCAUCAUACAUCCUCAUCACAAUCAUAUCACAUACAUGUCAUCAUGCCACAUGUGAUCAUCAUCAUAUCAUAUAUGUAAGUCAUCAUGCCAUAGGUGAUCAUCAUCAUCAUCAUAUCAUAUAUGCAUAUCAUCAUGCCAUAGGUGAUCAUCAUCAUAUCAUAUCAUAUAUGCAUAUCAUCAUGCCAUAGGUGAUCAUCAUCAUAUCUUAUAUACAUGUCAUCAUGCCAUAUGUGAUCAUCAUCCUAUCAUAUCAUAUGUGUCAUCAUGCCAUAGGUGAUCAUCAUCAUAUCAUAUAUGCAUAUCAUCAUGCCAUAGGUGAUCAUCAUCAUAUCUUAUAUACAUGUCAUCAUGCCAUAGGUGAUCAUCAUCAUAUCAUAUCAUAUGUGUCAUCAUGCCAUAAGUGAUCAUCAUCAUAUCAUAUAUGCAAAUCAUCAUGCCAUAGGUGAUCAUCAUCAUAUCAUAUCAUAUAUGCAUGAUUCAAUUUCCACUUUUAACUUUCAAUUCGAUCACCACAUCACUCUUUCUCGGGAUCUUCAAUUUCAUCCCAUACUUUACACUUGCACCCCAUCUUGGCAUCGUGAGAAAAACCUCCGGCAUUUAGCCAUUUAAGGCCACCGGGCAUCCAGCACCCCCACAUUCCAGGCAUCUCGCAUCCCAACUGGCAUCAUGAGGCAUCCCCUCGGGCAAAGACCUCCGAGGCUUCCGGCACCCAACCAUUCCGGGCAUCUCGAAAUUCCCGAGGCCAUCCCGCCAUGUAUCUCUAUACAUUCCGGGCAUCCGGCACCCCCCAUCCCGGGCAUCCUGAUACUCCCAGGGCAUUAUCAUCCGCCUCGAACAGUUUCCUCAUUUAUCAUUGUUUAUGUUCACCAAUUUAGGUCUCAACUCAGCAUGGCACAAGAUGUAAUGGCAAACAAAAUCACUUCCAUCCUUUACAUGCAUCUCUAGUCAUCAUCAUACAUGUAGCAAGACACAAUCAUUCAUAACAAUAAAAUUCACGGAAUUCGUACAAUUUAGAAUAGUCCAUUUAUCAUGCCUUUUUGAAGUUUAUUUAAAUUCCAACUUGUACCAUUUUAGAAAAUAUUUAAAUUAAAUAUCCAUAUGAUUCUCAAAAAUCAUGAAAUCAAGGCACGUGAUAGACAAGACAAUAAGAUAAUGAUUUCAUGAAAAACACAUGGCCAAUAGAGUUCCACACAAAAGAUAUAAUUCACACAAAUACAGCAUGCAAUUUCGGAUAGAAACAGAAUGUGCAGUUUUUGAAAUAAUUCGAUUAAAAUACCCGAACGACCUCCAAAAAUUAUGAAAUUUUACCAGGUUAUAUUUAAGACACUAAAGUAAAUUUUUUAUGAAGACUUCUAGGCCAGAUUCGUUUUAGAUAUUUUCCUAUAGUCGUCCGAAGCUUCUGGUUUUCACACCGAAACGUCCAGUGUAGUCAUCUCCGAAAUACCGAGUUUUUACCCACUUAUUCUUCUUCGUUUCUCUGAAAUUUGUAUAUGUUUUACUUCAAGAGGUCCCCUACAACUUUAAUUAAGGGAUCUAAGUCAAAUUUCCAAAUAAAAGUCACCAUAUGGGUCCAUGAAGUCUCGGGUGUCCAGUACCGCAUCUCCAGAUUUACCGUCUUCAAGAGUAAGUCGAUUCACUAGGCUACACUUGUUCAUUUCACUUCAAAUUUGAGUAUGUUAGUAUUUAAGAUGUUCUAUACAAGUUCCAUGAAGAAUUAUAAGAUAUAUUCUUGAUAAAAAUCAACAUGCAACCGCAAAUCUACCAAAAGGUCAGCAAAACAGUUCCAGAUCUAGUGUCUCUGUAGGAUGAGGGUUUGACCCCUUAAAUCUCCACCAUUUUGCACCAAAUUUUAGUAUGUUGUAUUUUAAGAUGUUGGCUACAACUUUCAUGAAUGAAUCAAAGUAAAAAUACAAUUCGAAACAUGCAUGCAAGCUCUCACAAGAUUCUGGUUCAGGCGGUUCAUACGAAAACAGCAACAUCACUCAAGAACAAGUCACAUUCUAGCUUCGGUUUUGUCUACCCUAGCAUCCGAAACCUACCACCAACAAAUCACACAUGCAAGGCAAACAUGCAAGAGUGGAAAUCAGUCCCAACUUGCCUCUAAGACCGAACGAAUGGCAGCAAAAGGGACAGCACACCGGCGAGGGAUGGACGGCGUGCAGGCGGCGACGGCUCCUCCUCCUCCUCGGUUCCUCUCCUCUCGGCGCCCUUCUCUCUCUCUCGCAAUUCUCUCUCUCUCUCUCUCGGACGGAAACCAACUGGCCACUCUCUCUCCUUCCAUUUUAUUCCCCCAAAUUUUCAUCAUUUGCCAUCAUCACAUGCCUCUCCACAAGCCAAUGCAUGAAGACCUCCUUGCCACUUGGCAAAGCCCAUGCAAUGGGCUUGGGGUAUUUGGGCCGGCCACUCCUCUUGGGCCUCAAUUGGGCCGGCCUCCUUGUGGCCGAUGACAGCCCCUUUGUGGGCUUCAAUUGGGCCGGCCAUUCGGCCCACCAAAAUCCACCCCUUGGGCCUAAGGCCCAAACCUAAAUAAAAAUAAAAAUUUUCCCUUUUAUUCUUUCUUUUAUAAAUUUUAAAUUCCACAUGGCCAAAAUCUUGUAACAUUUUAUUUAUAGGAAUUUAGUCUAUGAGGUGCAUAGCCAAGCAUAGAUUAUUCUCAUUAAUUUAUCCUAUAGUUCUAAUUUAAAAAAUUCAUGAACACAAUCAUAUAUCACUUAGCCUUAAGAGAAAACUAAUGGCUAAAGCAUAAACCAUAGGUAAUUUCAUUACCUAAUUAUGGGUUUUAAUACACCUUAGAGGUUGUCUUGAAUUUUUGGGAUGCCACAUCUUCCCUUUCCUCAACAGUUCCUUUGGGUUCACAACUGACCCUUUUUCAAAGAGCAAUUCGCACCUAUAAUGUUGAAAACCGAUGGUUUAAGACUCAUGAAAUGACAAUAUAUCAGGUGAGAAGCGAACAUUGUUGUAAAAAUAACGCUUGUGGAAGCUAAUAUGGAUUUUAUGAUUAAGUCAAUGUGAAUUCACAAAAAAAAAUAAUCGAGGAACAAAGACUAAAGAUUUAUGUGAUUCAAUUCAAGUGUCGGCACCUAUAUCUAGGAGGAGAGCCACUAAUAAAAAUCUAUUAUAAUCGGAAAAUCGGAGUUACAAUCGCUUAACAUGCUCAAGUGUUUUGCAUGCCCAAAGUAAACCUAAAUCCAAGGUAUUAACAGAUAAGCAACUCAUUUUGGAUGUAAAAAAACCCGCAACACAAAUUGCACGCUUUGUCUGCGACCAAGUAGGAGCUCUCUUUGAAACGGCCGGCAAUCAAGGACCUUGUCCAUUCAUGAUUUCCUUUCUUCGCGGCAUGGCUUUCCAAGAAGUCACUGCGCAGCCAUCAAAUACUCCAUUUUGAUGUGCGGCUACAACUCGAACGUGAGUAUGUGUUUUGAGGUGUGUCCCCGUGUGUGUGUCCCUUUAUUUGGUUCGCCUAAUCCGCUGUAUGUGUGUGCCCCUUUAUUUGGUUCGCCAAAUCAGCAGUACUUUUAAAGUCCAACUCUUGGUUUGGGUUAAACUUGCAUAUAUAUCCGAUCCGCUUAGGUUUUGCCAUUUAAAAAGGUGUCUUAAUCAAUAGAAAUACAAAUGCUUUUGAAGGUCUUCAUUUCUUAUAUAGUUCAAUUUGGAAAGAGACUUUGCUUGCAACUUAUUAGGACACAGAAAUCAGUCAUAAUGAAAAAACAUAUGGCGAUUAUGUUCUGUUUUUCUAUGCCUAGCUCCCAUUUAUGGACGAGUUCAGCAAUGCAAACCAACUAGACCGAUCGUCUCACUUUAGUCUACUUCAGAGACAAUGUGGAUGAGGAUCUACUCAAAGUGUUGAGCUUGUGGAAUUACUCUUCUCAUCACUAUGAGUGGCAAGGUAUUGUAUGGGGUUGAUAGCAUCCUGAAAGGGUUGUGUCCCUCGACCUAAUGUCGAAAAGCUUGGGCAGUCUUCUAUCACCUCAUGUCGGAAAUCACUCUUUCCUAAGAAGCUUUGUCCUACAAAACAACAGCUUUCGCGGUGAAAUUCCACAAAGUAUUGGCCACUUGUUUUGCCUUCGUCAUCUUGUUGUUAGUAACAACUCUUUCGGUGGACAAAUGCCCACCAAUCUUUCUCAAUGCUCAAACCUUGAGAAUUUGGAUUUUAUCAGUAACCAACUCAUGGGCAAAAUUCUUGAUGAUCUUGGUUCCCUGUCAAAGCUUUGAAUUUUAUAUUUGCCUAAUAAUAAUCUUACAGGAUCUAUUCCUCAUUCUAUUGGAAAUCUCUCCCAACCUUUUGCUCAUUCUAUCAUGGGAAUGGGUUGCAAGGAGAGAUUCCGGAGGCAUUAUCCAAGCUUCAUGGUUUGGGCUUUAUUCAAUUGGCAUUUAACCAACUCAUCGGUGAGAUCCCUCCAACAAUCUUCAACAUCUCCGACAUUUUCUAUUUUAGCGCCAAGGGCAAUCAAUUGAGAGGGAGCAUUCCCCCUUAUACGGGCAAUACUCUUCCUUCUCUCAUUGGUCUUGAUUUUAGGAGCAAUUUGUUUACAAGCGUUAUACCUCUGUCCUUAUUGAAUGCCUCUGGCCUUCAAAACGUCAACUUUGGCCAAAAUAGUUUUCACAGAUCGAUGCCUGCAAAUCUUGGAAGGCUGAAAGCUCUUGAAGUAACGUCCCUUGGUUUUAACCAGUUGCGAGAUGACAUCAGUUUCAUUACCACAUUGACUAAUUGUUCAAGGCUGGAAAUUAUAUGGGUGAGCGUCAAUUUUCUUGAACGUCCGUUGCCGGAUUCCAUAAGCAAUCUUUCUAACAAUGUUAUAGUAAUUUCUAUGGCGUCCAACCCAAUGCGUGGAACCAUUCCUCUAGGUAUUUGCAAUCUCUUCAACCUGUCCAUUCUUGACAUAACAAACAAUUCACUUGGCAGCCAUGUUCCUUCUUCCGUCAGAGCACUCCAUAACUUGCACGCAUUGUACUUAUCGAAUAACAUGUCAACAGGAGAAAUCCUGCCAUUGAUAGCAAUUUGACGUUAUUGAAUCGCCUUUAUCUAUUGUUCAACGACUUCUACGGGGAAAUACCCAAGAGUCUUGGUAACUACAUGUAGCUAAACGAGCUCGAGCUUUCAAACAAUAUUCUGAGUGAUUCAAUCCCAAGGGAGGUUCUUAGUCUUUCUACCAUUUCAAUUAUCUUCAGCUUGGCACAUAACAAGUUGAGUGGAUCUCUUCCAUUUCAAGCUGGAUCUUUGACCAAUCUUGUCGAAUAGGAUCUAUCUUACAAUAAGUUGAUAGGAUCAAUUCCCAACUCCAUCAACAAGUACUUGCUAUUGCAGCAUCUCGGCUUAGUAGUCAAUUCCUUUUGUGGUGAAAUUCCUUUGGCUUUAGGCACAUUACGGGGCUUACAAGAGUUGGAUGUUUCCCAUAAUGACUUCUUUGGUGAAAUCCCAAGUUUUCUCGCUCAACUUAUGGAUCGAAAGUACUUGAAUCUAUCUUUAAACAAGCUCAAAGGAGAAGUUCAAAAGCAAGGAGUAUUUCUCAAUACUAGUGCUGCCUCCAUCUUUAAGAGAGGUAAGUAUAGUAUAAGUAUCAAACUUUUUUUCGCUCACUUAAGUACCACAAAUUUAAAAAAUCGAUCUCUUGAGUGCUACUUCCAAUUUGGCCUACCAGAAAAGCUGACGUGGCUACCAGAAAAUAUUAUUUUAAUAUUUUUAGUAUUUUUAGUAUAUAUUGUUUUUUUUUAAUUUUUAAUUUUUUGCUUUUCCUUUUGUUUUUUUCUCUUUAGGGUUGACAAGGGUCAUCGGUGACCUUUGCCAGUCAUGGUCACCUCGCCUAGAUUGGGUGAGGGCCACAUCGCCCUUGGCUGCGAAGGUCUUGGGCAAGGCUGCUAGGGCCACUCUAAGCGACGUCCAACUUUGGGCAACCGCAAGCGAUGCCACCUAGAGAUGAAGAGGGCCGUUGUGACCUUGCCAGCGAUUGGCAAGGCCACGCCGGCCUUACCUAGGGCCUUGGUGACGAGGUGGCCCUCGUGUAGAUCUGGCCACCCUUGCCAUGAAGCCCUAGGCGAGGCCACGAUGACCCUCACCUGCUUUGAGUGGUGUUGCUUGUGGCUAGCGAGGGCCCUUGCGGCCUUGCCUAGAUUUGGUCUCCCUCAUCGUGAAGGCCUUAGGCGAGGCUGUUGGGGCCUUGCCGAUCGCUAGUGAGGCCAUGAUGACCCUUGCCUGCUCUAGGCAGCAUCGCUCGUGGCCACCUAGCGACUGGCAAGGGGCCUUACCCAAUCUGGGCACGGCUGGCGAGGGUCACAACCCUUGCUGACCCUAAAGGGGAAAAAAAAAAGCAAAAUACAAAUGGAAAUAAAAAAUUCAAAAAAAAUUACAAAGUAAAAAAAAAAAAUUCACAUUGGACAUUUGGUCAUAAUUGGCACUCAAGUGAUCGAUUUCUCUCCGUUGUGGCACUUAAGUGAGCGAAAAAAAAAGGUUUAGCACCAAAGUGAGUGUUAUACGAAAGUUUUGAUACUUGUACUGUACUUACCCCUCUUUAAGAAUGGAAAUCUCUAUGGAGGUUUUGUAGAAUUAAACCUUCCUUCUUAUCUAAUACCUCUAAACCAUUUCGGAAUGAAAAAAUUGAAGUAAUCAUCACAAUGGUGGCCAUCUUGUCUGUCUUCAUUCUAUGUCUUUGCCUGUUUAUCUUUUGGUAUUGAAGAAAGAAGUUGAAAAAGAAUACCUCUUCAACUGAAUUGUCAUUUAAACACCAAUUUUCAAAGGUCUCUUAUGGGGAGCUCUUUAGAGCCACAGAUGGAUUCUCUAAGAACAAUGUAAUCAGUAAACAUAGAUAUGGUACUAUCUAUAAAGGAACUGCAUAGGAAGGUAGCUGGGUGGUGGUUAAGGUGCUCAACUUGGGCCAUAGAGGUGCUUUGUCUUAGAAUGUCAAACCUUAGGGGGUGUGGAAAACCAAGACAUUUAGGACUAAUGCAAAGGUUAGACAUUGCCAUUAACAUAGCUUCCGCAAUCGAAUAUAUUGCAGCCCAAAGAUUGUACAUGAAGAUCUGAAGCUGAGUAAUGUCCUUCUAGACAAUGAGAUGAUGGGGCAAGUUGGGGAUUUUGUGCUAGCAGACAUCAACUCCACCAUGAAAAUGAAGGCCAUGGACAUUGACAACUGCAGUAGCUGAGUGGUGGUGAGAGGUUCUAUAAGCUAUGUCCCUCCCGGUAAGAAAAUUUUCUCAUUUAUUGUCUAAGUUUUACUUGCAUUGGCCUUGAAACCAAAUUUGAAUUUGAAUUUUCAUUGCAUAUUGCUUGAUGUACACUAGUUUAGAGUAUGGCACGGGGAAGAUGAUAUCAACACAAGGCGAUGUGUACAACUAUGGCAUUUUUUUAUUGGAAAUGUUCACUGGGAGAAGACCCACGGAAGAGGCUUUCAAGGAUCAUUUGAACCUCCACACCUUUGUAAAGGUGACUCUGCUAGACCAAGAGAUGGAGAUCGUGGACUCAGCCAUUUUUAAUGGAGAAAGCGAGAAUGACAUUGAAAGGACGAGAGACUACAUUGCCUUUAUCUUGAGGAUUAGAGUUGCAUGUUCAAUGAGUUAUCGAGGGAUCGGAUGGACAUGGCCAAUGCACUCAAGGAACUGCAUAAGAUCAAGGCUAGGUAUGGAUCUGAGUAGAGGCUCGGUUGAAGCAAGUUCAGUGCAGAGCUGCUUGGACUAGACUAUUCUUAGGAUUAAUUUAGUUUUGCACAAGAAAAAUUCGCAUGGUUCAAUAUAAGUACCCUAUCAAAAAUUCAGAUGGUUCAAUAUAAGUACACUAUCUCCAUCCCUCUCUCUCCCCGCCCCUUCUCUACGAUCUCACUAUUUUCUUUAUGUGGAUUAUCUGUUUUUAAUUUUUCCUCUAGAAGUCCCUCUCUAAUAAAUUUUGAGUGAUUCCCAUUAUCCUUAAGUUUUUUAAGAUUAGAAAAUGUGAGUGCUGCGUGCCUUUCAUCACAAAAAGAGGGUUUUAUUUGAGGAUUGAUGCAGAUGAUCUCGUACUAUCAUUAUCAGAAUAUUACCAAGAGAUUGCGUCAGAUUUAACGAAAUUAAAGUUGACUAUGUAAUUUUGCUUAUAUGCCUAGGUAAAUAGUUUUCUUAUUAGAUUACUUUCGUUCCUUUACAUAUUGUUCUAAUACUUUUUAAUUGCAAUACAUUAUUGCAUCAAUCCGAUCAAAUCUCCGAAUAUUUUGAUAAUAUCAUAAUAUUUCUCCCCAAGCUCAAGAUUGUCCUUAGGAAAUCGACUGGAGUUUGGAAACUAGAAAAUCAAGCAAGAAAAAGAGCCUUUGUAAGACCAUCCCGAGUUUGAACAUCCGAAUGGACAUGAACAAGAUCAACAGUUCCUCGAGAAAUAUGUUGUCGAGUAAAGUGAGGGUUUUCUCAAUAUUUGAAUCCCCAGAUGAGGGAGACUCAACCCAAAGGCAUGGCAGUAAGUCUGUGGGAACUUACUCGAGCCCCGUGGAAUCUGGACUUGGGUUAUCCUAGAAGGAACAAAAUAUAAGGAUUAGUAAAAUAAGAUAUGAAAGUUGAAGGGGCGUGUUCUUAAAAAAGAACAUGACCAGAGAUUUAAAGAUGAUUAGAGAGAGGAUUCCAACAUCUAUAUCCCUUAUAUUCGAUAGUAGGUCCAAGGAAACAACAAAGUCGUCCAUGCCGGCUCAAGUUCGAUGCACUCCUGAGGUCGAAGAAGGGCAAAGCACGGACGACAAAUAAAUUCAAGAGGAGGAUAACAAGGGGGAGUGUCGUGCAAGAGUUCAAGGGGGGAUUUUAUCUAUGACCGGUGAAGGAAGAUGGUUAGUAGUGUACACGGCGGUGAAGGCAGCUUCCCCCGAGCUGCUAUCGCUGCUUGCCCCUCUGGUCUAGUGGCUUUUGUCUUUUUCGAUAUUCUAAACUGCUUGUUUAGAAAGAGAUUGUCUACUAUAAUAUAAGGGAAAAAAGAAGACAUGAGAUCAAGUGAGAACUCAAGAAGGUUCUUUCUAGACACACGCAUAAUACAACUGAAAUCUAACUUAUCUAUUUUUAUACAAAAUAGUGCAUAUUGAUUUUGGGCUAAUAGGAUGGUAUAAAUUAAAAUUGCCAUGUUUGCAUGCUUUAUCAAGAUCAACAUGAAUCCAUCAACUGAGUUGACAUAAUAAGACCUUCAAUAAAGUAAACUAAAUGGAGACAUAGGCAGUUGUGCAGAAUUAAUAUGCCCAUAAAUAAUAAAAUAAAUUAUUUCAGAAAAUUUCUGGCAAAUUAUAUAGAUAUGAGUGUAAAAAAAAAAUGGCAAGUUAGAAUCUCUGUAGCCAUCCAACGAAAUGUGGAACUACGUAUCGGGGCAAAAACAUGUUUCAAUAAUAACUUUCUAGUGGAUAACUUUUCAUCGGACCUCGAAGAACGUUGAAAGAAAAGUUAAAAAGGAAAUUAAAAAGAACAGGUUAGAAAGCUGGCAAUCAAAUUUAUCUUUCUUAACAUUCUCCCAAAAAAGUUAGAUCAAAUUAGAAAAGGAAAAUCGUUGAGAAUUUAUAUAAUUUUUGUAAUGGGGAAAGUACCUGUAGAUAUCAAAUAAGAAAUUACUAUCAGAAUUAACAAAAUUGAGCUAAGCCAUUUGAACUCUGCAAUCUCUAAUACUGCCAUUAAAUUGAACUGAAUGACUCUUUAGAAGUUACAAGUACAUGCAUACAUACUAUACAAAAGUCCUAUGCGACACUUUUCUCUAUUUGUUCUCAAAUGAUUAAGAGAUGGAUAGAUGCAUAAUUUUAAUAUAUAUAUUUAUAGAUUUAUAAAUGUAGAAAAAUAUAAAGUAGAGGUAUAUCCUAUAAAAGGUAAUAAAUUAUGUCAACGCCAAUUAAUUUUUAAAUGACAAUUAAUAGGAGAAGUGGAAGUAAGGUGAUUAGGAUUAUUAACUUUCGCCAAGGUUGAUCUUAGGUGGUGGUUUUUUUUUUUUUUUUUUUGGGCAAGGGGAAGAUGGUCAUUAUAAUAAUAUUAAAUCUUCGGUCAUAUUCUCAAUUGUAUAAUGGGAAAAUUUCAAUUAAGAGCCUAAAAUGAAACUGUUUUCUAAAAAAAGAGCCCAAAGUGGACAUUGUAUCAAAUAAUGACCCAAAGUGAUCGAUUUAAUCUCAAAUAAUGGUUUCAACUUGAAAACCAGUCAAAUCUUAUUUGUAGCUAGGGGUAUUUUCGUCUAAAGAUUUUUUUUUCUUUUUCCUUUAUAUUUUUCUUUUCUUUCUUUUUUCAUCAUGCUCACCUCCUUUUUGACAAAUGUAUCAGACUCCUCACGCACGAGCUUGCAUAGGUGCAAAACAAUCUGAACAAUUUAGAAAAAGAAGAAAAAGAAAAGAUAUUCGAGAAGUUAUGCAGUUUUGCAAAACUGCAAAUUGCGUGCUUCAGUUCUAUAGUCUCCCCAUUAGCAAACUUCAAAGCGCAUGCUCUACAUUAUGCAAUUUUGCAUCCUCACCCAAGAACUCAUCAAUUUCGGCAUAAGCCGGUUUUUAAGUUAUUCGCCACCACCACUCACCUUCUCCGAUGACGAUAAUGAACUUGAGAAUCAAGAAAUAUCCAUUAGUGGGUUUUGUUUUUAUUCAAUUUGCUUGUAGAAACUUAUUAUGGCAAUUAAAGUAACAGUUUCAUGCUCUCCUCGCCAAUGAAAUUGUCUAUGCCACAAUAACUUUCACUCGUAGCUUCUUGGGAAUGUUUUAUUGGGUUCGGGUUGGAUUAUUCAUAACAUUCAUAGACGCAGCUUGCAUUGAGGUGAAAUAUGUGGUUUCUUGAGAGGGUCUAAUUGUGUUGUGGAUGCUAGUUAUUUUCAAAGGCUGCUGAAUCAUCAUGACCUGUGAUUGAAGAUACUCGUCUUUGGUGGCAAUUCAAAUCAGACAACACUAAAUCUAAAAAAUGAAUGACUCUAGUCUACAUAUGUUCAAACAAAUUUGCCUCUCUAAUUUUGAAAUAUUAUCUACACAAAUUUGAGAGAGAAUAACAAGAUGAAAAAAGUGCAAAAUCGCUCAAAAAUUCUCAAAACCACAUAUUUCACUGAACAAAUCAAUUCAUAUGAGUAUCAAAGAGAUUCCUCAAAAACCUCUAAUAAAUUUGGCUUAUACUUCAAUCUGGCUUCUCCUCGCUAAGAUCGAUCAUAGCUUGUGUGAGCACCGAUUUGAAUUCAAGGAUCGACAACAACGAGGGCAGCAAGCUAAUGGCUUACACCUCAUCAUGCUUCGUGCUUGACCACGACCACAAGAUGUGGGGAUCGAAUCGAGCUGAGCGUCACAUCUUGGUCCACUCGUGCUCGAUCUAGGGCUUGGAUUGACCUCCAUCUUUCAACAAAGGUACUGGAAUUGCUGUUGAGGGCAAUGACAAAUAAGGUUGAGGGUGUUGAUGGCUAAUUCGGCAAGGAAGAUAGAGAUGGACUUUGGAGAACGUGAUCUAAAGAGUGGAAAAGGCGAAGGCACAAUGAUGAUAAAGAAAAAAAAGAGAAGGAGAAAAUAAAUUUAAAAAGGAAGGAAAAAGGACAAAAAUACCCCUGGAUGCAAAUAAAAUUUGGUUGGCUUUUAAGUCGAGGUCUUAUUUGAAACUAAGUUGGUCACUUCAGUUUCUUGUUUGAGACAAUAUCCAUUUUGAGUCAUUUUUUGAAAAAACAGUUCCACUUUAGGUCUUUAAUUGAAUUUUUUCCUUGUAUAAUUUAAUUAAGUUUAAGAACUAAAAAUGAGAUUAAAUAUUAGGUUAAUACUAUAAAAACUCUAAAUUAAUAUAUUUGUAAUAAAUUUAUUUAAAUUAAUUUUUUGACCAUUAAAAACUCCAAACAGUACACUUAUGACAAAUUUAUUAUCAAUUAGUAUCCGUGCCAAAUUCUUGAGUUAGAUAACUCAUGGAACAGUUCGGAGAAUUUGUGAUUUUUGGUAACAAUCAAAUCAAACGAAAAUUAAUAGAGAUUAAAUUUGUCAUAAAUAAAUGUAUUAAUUUGAGGUUUCUUACGGUAAAAAAAUUAUUAGGACUUUCUAAUCACGCGUCAUCGUCUAGAAGAACUAUUCAGUUUCUCUUCAUCUCUGGGCAUCGGUCUGUCUCGCCCGCCCACGCCGUUGCGCUUCUGCUCAGCCCAUCGUCGCCGUGUCGCCUCCACUCGUCGCUGUCUAAUUCCUGCCUUCGCCUCCGAAGCAUCCGCCGUCUUUAUGCGUUCAACGCCCCUCCAGCUACUCCUCAUCGCCUCCUCUCUCUCUCUUUCUCUCUCUCUCUCUACUUGGACAUGCUCUCGCGGCUUUUCGCCUGCAAGGUAUCGGUCGCUGUAUUUUCUCUCAAUUUUUUCUCGUCUGGAACUGUAAGUGGGCUCGGUGGUCGUUUCAUAUAUAAAAUUGAUCCUUACUUUCAUACAGUGUACUCGUGAAAAAUUGAAACUUCGAUUGGGCUUUUGAGAGUUGCGAUACUCGAUUGUGAAGGGAAAAGGAAUUCGGUUUUUUACCCUCCCCUCGCGCAGCGCUGAAUUCUCCUAGCGACGGAAGGGAAAAAUCGAGUGAAUUGAAGCGAGGACGUUUCCAGCAUGAGUUCAGGUCUUAUUGAACGGCAACAAUUCCGGUCUUUCUCUUAGAAGCAUCAUCCGUAGUGGCAAUUCUCUUGCUUUAGGAGGCGUUUGGAGUCCUCUCAAUGCUCGAAACCCAACUAAAACAGCAGGGUUCUUGAGUUGCAAAUCAAUGUCGACGAAUUCGCCGGUGGUGCGAGUGAGGGAGAAGAUCGAUUUGACGGAGAAGGAGAAGAUGAUCUUUGAGAGGCUUCUUGCCACCGUUCGCCAUUUUGAUCUCUCCACCCAGCUGCGGGUCACUGGUGGCUGGGUCCGUGAUAAGGUUAGUGUAUUUGCUAGUGCAGCAGGGUGUUCACUUCGAUGUCCCUUUAAGUUCCUUUGCAGUACUAAUCGUGUAAAAGCAUGUUGUUUUGUCUUUCUUUUAGAUAUUUUGUCCAAUUACAUGUUUAGUUAUAUCCAGUUCAAGUUCUUACUUUCCCUUCCCAUCAGACGUGUUUUUAAUUUGUUUGAUUGAGGGUUUUUGUUUCUUUGGAGUGCAAAUUUUAGAAAAUGCAAUACUUUUGUUAUCACUUAUGAAGUUUUGUUUCUAAUCAGUUGGAAAAACGACUAAUUGAGGUCUUUAUCAUUGUUGUUCUAUUGUUUAUUAAGGUACUGGGAUUGAGACUGCAUUUUUUUGGUUAUUUAGUCAAUGGGUGUUGUUAUUUGCUGGUGAUAACUCUAUAGUGAUUUACGUAAUAAAUCUUCAAGUUUAAGAAUGCAAAUGGUUGAUUUGACAGUCUUUUUUGAAUAGAUUUAGCAUUACAAGUUACAACAGUAAUGUGAACUUCAUAAUUUUGAAGGCUGUUUUUGGGAAAUAUAGGCAUCUGCUAGUUUUUCCGGCAAUUGCCUCGGCAGUCAGCACUAUUAGCCAGUGAAGCAAGAAGUUUUCCUAAUCCACAUGAAAAACACCUAAAUACAAAAGAAAAACAAGAAGAUGUUCUCUUUUAAAAAGUCUACAAUAUCCUGUUCUCCAGGAGCACUUGCCAUUUUCAGAGGUUUAUUACUCUCAGCCUCUGCCAUUUCUAGCCUGCUGGAGGCCUAGGUGUCAUGUAAUAUUUGUGAUGGACAUUUAGACUGGUGAAUUUACUUCUAUGAAGAGUUAGGAUUACCUUGGCACCACAUUUAUGAGUUACUCUCUUAUGCAUUUGCACAUGUUCAUCUUAUAUAUGCUACUGAUUACUAAAUUUGCAUCCCCAUAUCAUCGCUAUAGCCUGUUAUUGUGUGGUGACGCCCCUUUGCCACAACCCUCAAUAAAUAGGACUUUUCCCAACCUUCGACAAGGUGCCAGGGUGAUUAUUUGAAUAGAGAAUGAUUAUGUUUUCCUAGAAAGGCCCCAGGAUGCUUUCAAACUGUUAUAAAUGAUUUAAUGUCUGUCAUUUUAAGCAAAAUUUUUUGCUUAGAAUCGUUUAUUGCAUUCAAGCUAAAUGAUUUGAAGAGAAACGAUACAAUUAUUAUACUUGAAUCAAAGUGAAUGACAUUGUGAAAAAUGGUGGAUUUAUUAUGUUAAACAUAUUCUUUGAAAAAGAUGACGAACAAUCUCUUUCUAGGGAAAGAGUGUUAUGAUAUUGAUAUUGCACUCGAUGACAUGUUGGGCAGUCAUUUGUUUAUUCUGCACGGAAGUUUAUAAUGUGAGCAGUGGUAUUUGUUCAUUGUGCACUUCGUCGUUACUGAAAAAAAGAAAGGCUGGAAAGGAGUGUUCACUAGAGUAUAAUAUAAAGAGGAACAGGUCCACGACACCUAGACAAAUAACUAAGACCUCGGGAUCAAGCAAUGCUAGUUAAGUGCGAAGGAAGAGGAUUAAAAGAGUGUUUUGAAGGUGUAGAGAUUGCUGUUAUGAAGAUGCAAGACUCUUGAUUCUUCAUGAUUAGCUGUUUCUUUUACUUCAUGAAAUUUGAUGUACUAGACAUUUAUAUACGGUGGAUUCUACAUCUUGAAUGUGAUCUAUGCGUUAGGGUUGGUGCGCAUGUGUUUUAGGUCGUGCCAGACCCUUGUAGCUUUUAGUAAGUUUCUCUGUCCAUUUCUAUCUGUGUGGUCACACUGCUCUUCAUGGACCUCAAAACCCAAUCCAAAAACUAUUAAGUAAAUCAAAUAAGUCAAAGAAGGGUCCCAAUUGCCUAACUCAUGCAUAUUUCACGAACUCUAUAUCCCUUCAAAGAAAGACUGCGUCAGAAGUUUUUUUUUUUUGGUAAUAAGACUGCGUCAGAAGUUCAUCACCUCAUGAUUGGUAAAGCAGUCUCCCAAGAGAUAAAGCCAAUCUGGAGGGAAUCAAAACUUGUAAAACCUUUUUCAUAUUGAGAUUAAUUGGCUCUCUUGUGUUUAUUUCUCCAAGGGCUUCGAAAUAUGAUUAAGUGAAGAACAAAUGGUUCACUUUAAGUGGAAUAAGGAGUGUGUUUAUUUCUCCAAGGGCUUUAAAAUAUGAUUAAGUGAAGAACAAAUGGUUCACUUUAAGUGGAUUAAGGAGUGUGUGCAGGAUGAAGUAUGUACUUUUGAGAAUACCCAUUUUCUGCUCCAUUUUUUGUCCCAUUAUUUUUUGUUUGAUCUUUUUAUGCGGUAGGUCUACUGUCUUCAUGAGCUCUGUAGAAGGGCUUUUCUUUUUUGUCUCCGGUAAUUCUCUCUUAACUUGUUUUUGUAUGUUAGUCAUGAAUUAUGAUUUUGUUGGCAUAGUUGAAUUUGCUACUUCUUAUUCAUGAAUAUUUGCCCAUGUUGUCUGAUUGAAUUAGGUUGUGGUAUAUUCUCGUGGCAGAUGCUGUCUCCAUUCUGACUGGAUAUUUUGCGGCAAACUAGACCAGUCGAAACAUCUGGAAAGAGCGAGGAUGCGCCUCUAUGAUAUAUGGAUAGAUUUGUGAACUUAAGGUCUGAAAAGUACAAUGAGAAUAGCCACAUUCCCACCCAGAUGGUAUGCAUUAGUACAGCUGUUAAUUCAUCUGUCGUGUGUUUUAUUUCCACCCAUAUCUCAUUAUCUUGUUUAGUCAGAGCUUAUUAGACAGUAUCAUUACUAGAAAAUAGCAAAAAUAGUUUUUAGCUCUUUUGUGAACUUUCUUUUUUAGGGAAAGAAAGACAACCGAAUUUAGUUAGGUGGUAUCAAUAGGGCAGCCACUUGUAUGCUCAAUGGCGACACUGGUACUUGAGGAAUGCAAGUGUACAAAUGACAAGUAUGUAGCUCAUAAUCAACAGUAAAGUGAAUUGAAUUCUGACAAUCACAUGUGUAUUCUCAAGCAGUCUUGGUCUGGGAACUUUCCUCUAAACUAUUAUUCUUUCUUUUGCUAAUUCACUUGAGUGACUUGUCGAACAAACUUACUUUCUAUAGGUGUCGAGUACGUCGUCAUAGAUAAGAGGGCCUAAGAAUCGUCAUGAAAGCUAAAUGCAAUGAGCUCAUGGCCUUUUACAUUUUGUAUCCAUGGCCAUUCAUUCGUGACAUUAGCACAGUGUUUUCUCUUAGAUUGUCAAUGCUUGGAGCAAAUAUUUGUUUAUUUAUCGCUGUGUCUUCUCUCUCCAUGCACUGUUGCUUCCAAUGUGCUUGCGCUUUUGUUCAACUAUUUAUGACCCGAAAAUCUUGCUAGUUUCUUGGUUGUCACUUUUGUGAAUGGUCGUUCAAUUUGACCUCUCUUACAGGGAUUUGGCACCGCAAAAGAGUUUUGCGACAUCAAAAAGGAGCUUUCUGCUACUUUAUCUAUUGUCUGGUCAUCUUUGUGCCUCCAUGUUCAUAAUGUUGUGUUAAUUUCAGGCACGAGGUUCAGAUUUACGUUGGAUGAAGAGCUGAAGAGAGCUGCCACGUCCAAUGAUGUCAAAGAUGCACUUGCAGCUAAAAUCAGUGACGAGCGCACUAGUAACAGAAGCAUGAGUCUCUAACUUUCCUCUAUUGGCUGCUUUAUCUCGUAUAAUUGUUUUUUGGUGGAAGUUCUUGUACAUUUGGCCUUUAUCUUUUCUCUCAACAUCUGUAUAUGAUUUGUAUUUUCCGUUUGAAUGUUACUUCUCAUUAAUGAGAUGCGAUCAAAGUUUUUCCUCUUCUUCGGUAUGGCAGGUUGAUCUGAUGAUAUCAGGCGAUGAACCAGUUAAAGCUAUUGCUUACAUCUGUGAGUUGCAAUUGUUUUGGUUUGUUGGGUUGUGUUCACAAUUGACCAUUUCUGAAAGAGCAAUUCAUGCCUAAAAUGUUGAAAACCGAUGGUUUAGGACUCACAGAGUGACCAUAUAUCAGGUGAGAAGUAAAACUUCUUGUAAAAUUAACUAAUGCGAAAGCUAUUAAGGAUUUUGUAAUUAAGUUAAUGUGAGAUCAUCGAAAAAAAUAAAAGAGAAACAAUAAAGGACUGCAAAUGUUUACGUGAUUCAGUCCGAGUAUUGGUAUCUAUAUCCACGAGGAAUGCUACUAGUGAAAAUCUACUAUAAUCGGAGAAUUUGAGUUACAAUUAUUCAACAUGCUCUAGUGUUUCUCAUGACUAACUUAAACUCAAACCCAAGGUAUUAACAAAUAGACAACUCAUUUCGGAUUUAAAAAACUCAGUACAAAUCGCACGCUUUGCCCGCGAGCAAGUAAAAGCUCUCUUCGAAAUGGCUGAAAAUCAAGGACCUACUCUGUUCUUGGUUUCCUUUCUUCGUAGCAUGACUUUCUAGGAAGUCCUAGGAAGUCCUAGGAAGUCACUGUGCAGCCGUCAAAUCCUCCAUUUUUCUGUGCAGCUACAACUCUAAAACAACAUGAGUACGUGUUUGUGCCCCUCUCUUAGGUUCGGCCAAUCUACAGUACUUUUAAAGUCUAACUCUUGGUUUGGGUUAAACUCGUAUAUUUAUCCAAUUGGAUUGGUUUCGCCGUGUAAAAAGGUGUCUUGAUCAAUGGAAUGCAUUUGCUUUUGAAGGUCUUCACUUAUUAUAUAGUUCAACCAGGAAGAGACUUCACUUGCACCUUGUUAGGACUCAGAGCUCACUCACAAUGGAAAAGCAUGUGGUGAUUAUGUUCCUCUUUUUCUAUGCUCAGCUCCCAUUAUGGACGAGUUCAGCGAUGCAAAUGAACCAGAUGGAUUGGCCCAAUUUAAUCUAUUUUAGAGUGUGUGGAUGACGAUCCGCUCAGAGUCUUGAGCUUGCGGAAUGACUCUUCUCAUCACUAUGAGUGGCAAGGUGUUGUGUGCAGUAAAUAGCAUCCUAAAAGGGUUGUGUCCCUCGACCUGAGGUCGAAAGGCUUGAGCGGUCUUCUAUCUCCUCAUGUUGGAAACCUCUCUUUCUUGAGAAGCCUUAUUCUACAAAACAACGGUUUUUGUGGCGAAAUUCCACAAAGCAUUGGCCACUUGUUUCACCUACCCCUUCUCGUUCUUAGUAACAAUUCUUUCGGCGGAGAAAUGCCCACCGAUAUUUCUCAGAGUUCAAACCUUGUUAUUUUGAAUCUCAUCAAUAACCAACUUGUAGGCAAACUUCCCUAUGAGCUCGGCUCUUUGUCAAAGCUUCAAGCUUUAGAUUCGGCUAAAAACAGUUACAAGAUCUAUUGCUCAUUCUAUUGGAAAACUCUCCCGAUUUUGCACUAUUUUCAUCGUAAAAAAUGGGUUGCAAGGAGAGAUUCCCGAGACAUUGUCCAUGUGACAUCCUAAAUUUUUAGUACUGUUUUCAAUUGAAUAAAUCAAGCCUUUCAUCGAUGCGUCUAUGGCGCUAUUCUCAGAGCCGAUCACUCGUGAGAUAACUAAACUAUCUGGGAAGUCAUCAAGAGAUUUUAAUGCAAUGGACUUGAGAAUUCAAUCAGAAGUCGAUUACUCGACCAUACUAGUCUGCAAAGGUCAUUACGGCAUUGUCAAAAUCGAUCCGAAAUCAGGGAUAAAUUGAUUCAACUGAGAUAUGUGAUCAGAGUGUGGGUGAUUCCACUUGAUUGCAAAAUUCUCGUCAAUCGGUACUAGAUCGAUUUUCUGUCGUUUUGGGUACCAUGUGCCCGUAAUUGAAACUUGAGAUUUUCACGACCACUGAGAGUCGCAAAUGUGUCGAGUGGGUUCAUUGUGGCUCAAUGAAAAUCGAACACGAGUCAUUUGUACUAAAAAUUUCUGAAACCUACCAAGUAGCCUAGGUCACACUAAAAACGCGUUGGAUUGAUAUUAAUCGCGAAUUUGAAUCCGAUUUCAGAAAUUGAAGAUUCUAUCAUGUCAUAAUAAAUUCUAGGAGCGUCAACUCAGUCUCAAAAGAUUUUUCUGCAACCCGAGACUUUUUGGAAAAAAGUCAGCGUGGGACCGUUUUUGAUCGCGAAAUUAGGAUGUAAGAUGGUUCAAGGGAUGAGGAAAAAUAUUAGAUUGAGUAUUGACUCGACCACGGGAUUUGUUGAGGUUGAAUUGGAUUGAAUUAAGCACAAACAGGUGUCCAAUUAAAGCCUUUUGCUUGGAAUUUCGUACGCCCCCACCACCCUUAACAUUUGGACCACCAUAAGCUUCUAGAUGGAGGCCACCAUAAGCUUCUAGAUGGAGGCCUUAUUGGCUGAAAGAGGGCCAAGGGACCAUACUUGGCCAAGGAAGAGUCAAGGGGACAAAGCAUUGGAAGAAUUGGCCAAUGAGACCCCACCAAAGCCAAGCUUGUCCCUCACUCCAUCUCUCUCUUCCUCUCCAAGCCAAUCGGCCAGCCUUCCUCUCCCUCCAUCCUUGUUGUUUGAAGACCACCCUUGUUGUUUGAAGACCACCAGUAGCUAAGGAAGUUGCUGGAGCAGCCAAACCACCGCCGGAUCAUUUUCCUCAUUUUUUUUUCUUUUCUGCUGGUUUCUGCUCCAGUUGACCUUUCGCCAAAGAUCUGAGUUGAAAGUGGUCUUCCUGAACGAAUUAGCCAACAAUCCACCCAUCACCAUGACCAACACAUCCAGACCGUUCCAAAGAGCCUGACCUCACCCUGAAUGGAGCCGCCGGCCGUCUUGUAUGGCUGUCGCAAGCCGCCAAUCGCCGGUCCGUUGGUCCCCUGCUCACCUGAACUGUUUUGCGUUUUUCCCGAGUUUCUCUCAAUUUAGACCCUUCCCUUGCCCGUUAUAACCACCAACACAUCCCCCCUGACCCCGGGAUCCAUUGGUUGCCGACCACCCACUCGCUGGAGCUCCGAUCAGCCCAUUUUCGCCAUUGAAGCCGCUGGUUUCCUCUUUGCAAUCCAGCAAGUAGAAGCAGAAGCCUAACCAACCUUGUUUCCUUGUUUUUGCAGCUCAAAACAGAGGCUGAGUUUGUGGGUAUCCAGCCACCUUCAAGGCUCGUUUUGAGGUGGUCUUGAGCCUCGGUUGCUAGGCCCGCCUUGAGGAAAAUCAAGCCCCGCGACGUUUCUGUUGUUUUGCAUCGAAUCGUUCGUUAAACAAGUAAAUUUUACUCACUAAUCCUCACUUAGUAGGCUAAUGAUGCUUAGGGAUUGAUUAGAUUUAAUUAAGUGUGAUUAAGUGGAUAGAUUAGAGUAUAACAAUUAAAUUAGUGUUUUAUCAAUGCAUGUUGGGUAAUUGGUUAGUGAUAUUAGCAAGUAGACUCGUGUUAUUAUUUAUUGAACGAGUCUCGAAAAUUUUCCGAGUCUGUUUCGACGUCCAGCAUUACGGGCCUAAAUUGGAUUUAUUGCAUUUAUUUAAGAAUUUUCGUAAUUAAUUAAUUAAUUCAUUAAUUUUCGGAAAUUAGAUUGGGAUAGACGACCGGAAUUUUAUGCUGAUUAUUAUGAUGCAGUCUGUUUAUUUAUUUGAGUGCUAAAUCGUGUUGAAUCGAUUUAAUUCUGAUUUUAGGUUUUUAUUCCUAAAUUAACCAAUUUUGAUAAUUGAUUGGAAAAUAAUCGAACGUCGGUUUACAACGCCAAAAAUAUUUUAGUAGACCAUAUAAAUGGUGAAAUUUUCAAUGGUGAAAAUACUGUAUUUUGGUUAAGGCCGAUCGUAUACUUAUACACGGCUAUUUUUAUCGAGUAUGAUAAAAAUGAUGAAUUGUUAUAUGAUGAAAAUGGUAUACUAUCUUGGCUUGGGGGCCCUAAUCUAUCAGCUUUGGGCAAGCAUAUAAAUAGUAUACCAUAGUAUCAACUUUGGGUGAUCACAUAUUAUCAGCUUUGGGCGAAUAUGUAUAGUAUACUAGAUUGGCCUAGGAGCCCUAAUCUAUCAGCUUUGGGCGAACAUAUAUACAGUAUACUAUAUUAUCAGCUUUUAACGAGCUAUAUUAUCUAUUUCCAGCUUUGGAUGAGCAGUCCUAGAUUAAGGUCGGACUUUAUAGAUAGUAUUAAAUGUACCGACUAGGGGAAGGUCGUGGUGACAUGUAAUCGAUUAGGUCGAUUGAUCAAUGAUUUGAUCUGAUGCUGUAAAUUGAUGUGGUUCUUGUAUAUCUGAUAUGUACUAACAUGCAGGAUGGAACUAAGGCCAAGGUAAGUCCUCUAUCUUGUGUUGUGCUUAAGCAGCCUCUAGAGUGUAUUGGCUUCCUAAUCAGGUCUUAGGGGGUAGAACUUGCUGAGACGUUGUCUCACUGGUUAUACUUUUCAAGCCCUUAGUUGAAAGCAAUGGGGGAGCCCGAGGCCUGAAGUUUAGAAGGUGAAGCCCGGAGAAUUGGUGAGCAUGUCUGACUAGCUAGUCCUAGGACAUUCCUCUUUUGUUGAAAGCCGAUUCCUUUUUGUAGGUUUCUGUGUAUAAACCUAUGUGUUUAUAAAAAAGUAUUUUGAGAAAAAUUGGUCCUACUUUUAUAUCUCAUAUUGUUGUUGUUUGGGGAUUUAUUAAUUGCUUCCGCAUGCAUAUUAAAAAGAACAAGGUCGGCGAUGCAUCCUGGGACAUUGCUAUUAUAUCGACUAAGGAGGGAUGGACGCUCGCUCGAGGAUCGGGGCAUGACAGUCCAAGCGUUGUGGUUUGAGUUUUGUUCAAUUGGCAUAUAAUCAACUUAUCGGUGAGAUCCCUCGAGCAAUCUUCAACAUCUUCGGGAUUUUCUAUUUUGACACCAAUGACAAUCAAUUGAGAGGCAUCAUUUCCCCUUAUAUCAUCGAUACUCUUCCUUCUCUCACUUAUCUUGAUUUUAGGUGCAAUUUGUUUACUAGGUGCAAUUUGUUUACUAGCAUUACACCUCCAUCCUUAUCAGAUGUCUUUGGCCUUUAGUACAUCAACUUUAACAAUGACAGUUUUCACGGAUCAAUGCCCGCAAAUCUUGGAAGGUUAAACGCUCUUUAAGUAAUGCACAUUUCUUCUAAUUAGUUGCGAGAUGACUUUAGUUUCAUUAUAUUGCAAUCUAACCUCUAAUGGACUACUAAGUCUAAAUUUAGCUAGACUCUCCCAAGCCCAUAUUAAUUCGCGACUAAUCUAUUCUUUGGUACAUUAAUUAGAUAAUGAGAGGUCGAUUAGAUGAUGAAAGAUUUACUUUAUUCAUACUAACUAGAGAUAAAUGAGUUCGGGACUUGAUUAGGCUAUUUCGGUAGCUUUUCUCUUUUAUUCCGAAAAAAUAUUUUGCAGGCAGUUUGAAUUGAUUUUAAUUUAUUUUCCCAACAUAUGAGGUGACAAUAUAGUUACACAAUCCAGCAAUUUAACACUAAAAAACGCAAUAGAUAAAUCACGGGACUUAUCUCAUAGCAAUGAAAACAUCUACAGUGUUAGCUCAUAAUUCACAUCAACCACCAUAAUUUAUGAACAUUUCCAAUUCAAGCCGGUAAGUGGAUCGCAACAGUGGCCAAUAUCGAGGCUGCAGACUAAGAGGACACAGCAAUGAUGACGGGUCUGGAUUCCAGUGAGCGAUUGCGGCGAGGUAGGUGGCUGGCGGGUUUGUAGAGCAACGAGAAUAACCGCGAGCUUGGCGAUUCGCAGCACGGAAGGUGGCUUACUGUUGAUACUCGAUUGGAUCAGUCGCCAGACAAACCUCAAGCGACCUACAAAACAAGAAACUUAUCGUCGUGGGGAUGGAGGCCGGCUUGAUCGCGACUCGGGGACAGCAAGGACGUCACUGCGACGACUCACACCGACAUAAUGCGGGUUAGUUGCGGGAGCUUUCGGCUUAGCAAGAUCGAAUAGCCACGGAGGACAGUGAGCAACGGUGUGAUGGUGCAGCGGAACAACAACUGUUCGUCGUUCAUUCAGGGCAGCGACCGGGCGUCGCAGAGUUGGACACGACAGCAGCAACGCCUUCACGGACUGACGUUGUCUCAGCCGGUUGGGGCGGUUCAGGCGCUCGCUGGAGUACGUGGACGCAGCUGACUUCGCUGGUCGCUUCGCCAAGAGAUGCGUCUCUCUCUACUGUUGUGUGUCGGCCUCCAAGUAGUGAUGGUCAGAUCAUGGGAUAAUUCAUGCGAUCAUCCGUGAUCAUGAGGAAUUGUAAAAAUAAUAUAGUGGAGUAUGUGAUUGGCUCGAAGAAAAAGGGGCAGAGGCGUGAAUGUGAUGAGGGGAGGAGAGAAAUAUCGUAAAAAAUCUGAAUUGAGGCAGUCGCUUCUCUCUCUCUCUCUCUCUCUCUCUCUGUACCUCCCACAAUUUCUUCUCUUUUUUCGUGAAUGAAUGUGCUCUCCCUCUGAAUUGUGGUGCCUCCCCCUUUGUCGUAAAGGGCUUGAAUUAUCAAGGAAAGUCAACAAAUUUUAUCUCUUCUAUUGGAUUCUCUUAAAAUAUUUUGUCCUUUGUCAUGCAUGAAAUCUCCCUUGACCAUGUGAUCUUUCUUAUUUUGGGACAAAGAAUAUAUCACUCAAUAUAUACCCCACGUGCAAUAUUCCCUCUUAUUAUUUCGAUAUUCCAUCCGAUAUCUUUCAAUCUACUACAAAAUAUAUCACUCUAUGUAUAUGCAUAUGAAAGAUUUAUUGAAUAUUGAAAGAAUAACAGAAAUCUUUUCCGAUAAUGUCAAAUCAUCAUUUCUGAUAAGUCAAUUUUUUAUCAUUAGAGAAUAAUGGGCUUGAGUCAAUUCCCUCUCUUUGUGGGCUUAGUCCAACUCAUUAAAUUAAAUCUCAAAACCAUUAAUUCAAAUCCAUCCGCAAUCAGUCUAAUGCAAAUGCAAUAAUAAAUGCUCCUAAAAUUAUAUGCUAUGCAAUUUGAUUCUAGUUUUUUCUUUUUUCGUUUAGGCGUUAAAAAUUAAUCCUUAAUUUUUAUGUAAUAAAUAAACGAUUAGGUUGUCAAAAUUUAGGUGUCGACACAUUACUUCAUUGACUAAUUGUUUACGAUUGCAAAUUAUUGGGGUGGGCCUCAAUUUUCUUGAAGGUUGUCGGAUUCCAUCGGCAAUCUUUCCAACAUUGUUGGAGCAAUGAUAUGUCAUACAACCCAAUGCACAGAAACAUCUGUCCAAGUAUUGGCAAUCUCUUCAACCUAUUCUAUCUUGAAUUAUCAAACAAUUCACUAGGCGAUCAUGUUCCUUCUUGUAUUGGAGCGCUCCAUAACUCACAAGUAUUUUACUUAAUCAAUGAGAGCUCUCAUCAUCGAUCAGCAAUUUGACAUUAUUGAAUCGCGUUUACUUGCCAUUCAAGGACUUCUAGGGGGAAAUAUGGCAGAGCCUUGGUAACUGCAAGCAGCUAAUUGAGCUCAAGCUUUCGAACAAUAAUCUGAGUGGUUCAAUCUUAGGGGAGGUUCUUGGCCUUUCUACUACUUCGAUUAUCUUUAGCUUGGCAAAUAACCAGUUGAGCGGAUCUCUUUUGUCUCCAGUUGGGUCCUUGGCCAAUCUUGUCGAACUAGAUCUAUCUUACAAUAAGUUGACAUGACCAAUUCUUGGCUCCAUCAAAAAGUGCUUGCUACUGUAGCAACUCAACUUUGUAAUCAAUUACUUUCAUGGUGAAAUUCCUUCGGCUUUAGGCACAUUAUGGGGCUUACAAGAGUUGGAUGUUUCCCACAACGACUUCUAUGGUGAAAUCCCAAGCUUUCUUGCUCAACUUACAUGAUUAAGGUACUUGAAUCUAUCUUUAAACAAGCUUAAACGAGAAGUUCCAAAGCAAGGAGUAUUUCUCAAUGCUAAUGCAGUGUCAAUUUUUGAGAAUUGGAAUCUUUGUGGAGGUAUGGCAGAACUAAACCUUCCUUCAUGCAAAUCAAAUACCUCAAAAUCAUUAUGGACCAAAAAAGUUAAGAGUAAUCGCCACACUAGGAGCCAUCUUGUAACAUUUCAUUUAGUGUCUUUGCCUAUUUAUCUUUUGGUGCCGGAGAAAGAAGUCGAAAAAGAAUACCUCUUUAACUGAAUUGCCGUUUGAACACAAAUUUCGAUGGCCUCUUAUGAGGAGCUCUUUAGAGCCUUGGACGGAUUCUUUGAAAUCAAUGUGAUAAGUAAAGGGAGAUACGGUACUAUCUAUAAAUCAACCACAUAGGAAGGUAGCCGGGUGGCGGUUAAAGUGCUCAACUUGGGCCACAAAGGUGCUUCAAAGAGCUUCGUCUUGGAAAUGUUGAACUUUAGGGGACAUAAGACACCGAAAUGUUAUGAAGAUAUUGAACACACGCGUGGACUAUCAUGGCAACAAUUUCAAAGCUUUAUUGUAUGAAACAUGGCUAAUGGGAGAUUAGAGAAUUGGAUACACCAAGGAAACGAAGAGGAUGUUGAUCAUGAACAUGAACAUGGAAAGCGAGGACAUCUGAGACUAAUGCAAAGGUUAGACAUUGCCAUUGACAUAGCUUCCACAAUCAAAUAUCUUCAUGGGAAUUGCAGCCCAAAGAUUUGUACACAAAGAUCUAAAGUCGAGUAUCGUCCUUUUGGACAACAAGAUGAUGGGAUGAGUUGGGGAUUUAGGGCUAGCGACAAUCAUCUCCUUGGCAACAACAGAGGCCACGGACAUUGAUGACCGCAGCAACUCAGUGUUAGUGAGGGGUUCCAUAGGCUAUGUCUCUCCUGGUAAGAAAAUUUUCUCAUCAAUUGUCUAAGUUUUAUUUGUGUUGGCCUUUAGACGAAAUAUUUAUUUUCAUUGUAUAUUGCAUGAUGUACAUUAUUUUAGAGCAUGGCAUGGGGGACAUGGUAUCCACCAAAUCUCCACAACUUUGUCAAGGUGGCUCUGCCAGACCGAGUGAUGGAGAUCGUGGACUUGGCCAUUUUUAACUGAGAGAGUGAGAAUGACAUCGAGAGGAUGAGAGACUGCAUCGCUUCCAUCUUAAGGAUUGGACUAGCGUGCUCAAUGGUCACCGCGGGAUCGGAUGGAUGUGGCCGAAAUACUUAAGGAACUGCAUAAGAUCUGAGCUAGGUAUGGAUCCAAGUAGUGGCUUGGUUGAAGCAAGACACUUGGACUAGACUUUGUCUUAAGAUGGUUCUUUUGCAGUACCAAUCGUGGAAAAGCAUGUUGUUUUGUGUUUGUUUUGAGAUAUUUUGUCCAAUUACAUGUUUAGUUAUAUCCAGUACAAGUUCUUACUUUUCCCUUCCCUUGAAACGCGUUUUUUCUUUGUUUCUUUGUUUCUUUGAAGUGCGAAUUUCAGAAGAUGUAGUACUUUUGUUAUUACUUAUGAAAUCUUGUUUCUACAAUCAGUAGGAACAUCGACUAAUCGAGGUCUUUAUCGUUGUGGUUCUAUUGUUUGUUCAGGUACUGGGAUUGAGACUGCACUUUUUUGAUUAUUUAGUCAUUGGGCGUUAUUAUUUGCAGGGGAUAACUCUAUGGUGAUGUAUUAAUGAAUCUUCAAGGACGUGCGGACCCCUGGAGUGCCUUAACUUUGCCCAAAUGGACACUUAAGUGCCAUAACUUACGAAAGGUACACUUAAGUGCCAAAAUCAGAGUAAAAGGAAUCACUUGAGUCCUAAUCCGGCCAAAACGUCGACGUGGCAUUUUUCCGGCGAACCGAGCCCAAAACGACGAUGUUUUGCAAGCUGACGUGGCCAAAUAAUGCAAAAACGGCGUCGUUUUGGACUAACGUGGUAAAAAAAUAUAAAAAAUUAAUUAAAUUAAAUUUAGUUAAAAUAUUAAAAAAUAAUAAUUUUAAAAUUAAAUUUAGUUAAAAUAUUAAAAAAAAUAAUNNNNNNNNNNNNNNNNNNNNNNNNNNNNNNNNNNNNNNNNNNNNNNNNNNNNNNNNNNNNNNNNNNNNNNNNNNNNNNNNNNNNNNNNNNNNNNNNNNNNCACGUCAUCGUGCAAAACGGCGUCGUUUGGGCGCACUUCGCCGGAAAAAUGCUACGUCGGCGUUUUGGCCGGACUUUGGCUGGAGUGGCACUCAAGUGAUCUGUUUUUCUUCGAAUGUGACACUUAAGUGUACCUUUCGUAAGUUAUAGCAUUUAAGUGUUUAUUUGGGCAAAGUUAUGGCACUUGAAGCGUUCUUUUGUCAAUCUUCAAGUUUAAAAAUGCGAAUGGUUGAUUUGACAGUUUUUUUUUUAUAGGUUUAGUACAAUUUAAAACAAUAAUUCACGUGUACCAACAUCCGUUGGCCUAAGUGGUAAGGAGCUUGGGUUCCCUUAAACAAUAAUUCAUGUGAAAAAUACCUAAAUACAAAACAAAAACAAGAAGAUGUACUCUUUCAAAAGGUGUACAAUAGCCUAUUUUCCUUGAUUAGCCGCCGCUUUUGGUGGUUUAUUACUCUCAGCCGCUGCCAUCUUGAGCCAGUUGGGUGCCCUUACGUGUCACGUAGUAUUAGUGACUGACAUUUAGACAGGUGAAUUUACUUCUAUGAAGAGUUAGCAUUCUCUUGACACUACAUUUAUGAGUUACUCUCUUAUGUACAUGCACGCAUUCACAAUAUAUACGCAUUCCCUAUCAUCACUAUGGGUGCGUUUAGUUGGACUUUUGGGGAAAACCUGUGGAAAAAUAUAAAGGACUUUGAGUUAAAGGGGUUUUCCAAAAUGCAAAUUGUGUUUGGUAAAUUGUAGUUUGAAAGUCCAUUGUAAAAUACUUUUGUGUAAAAUAGCAUUCGGAGAGAUAAAUUUACAAAUGACUUUGAUGAUUAAUAAAAAAAGAAAAAAAAAAUAUGAGGCACGGUGGGCACCAGAUCGAGCUCCUUCUUUCACCUCCUUGAAGGGCUGGAACACGACGUUGGUGAGCAGUCGGCUGUUCGACUCCUUGCUCGCGCCGACCACCAGGGAGCCUCCGUGCCCGCCGCUCGAGAACCGAAGCGUCGUCGGAUUCGCCCCCACGGGGGAAGACAACAGCGGCGGGGAGAGGCUGUCGCUGGCGGGGCCAAGGAGUGAAAAAGCAGGGGCGGCGUGGAGGAGCAUGGUUGGAGAAUCAGAAUGGGCCGAGAAUCGGUGGCGGAGCUUCGAGGGGAGAGAAAUGGAGAAGCGGAGGAGCUUCGACAGGAGCUUCGACCUCACACAAAGAGCGAGGUCGUGCGACCUCCUGGCGACUAGAUCUGGGUUCGUCGGAGGUCACGCAACCUGAGGCGCGACCCGACCUGGGUCGCGCCUCAAGUCGCGUGACCUCUGGCGCCGACGCGACCCAGAUUUGGUCGUCGCGAGGUUGCGUGACCUAAAUCUGGGUCGCGCCUGGGCCGUGUGUCGCGCGGACUAGAUGCCGCCGGAGGUCGCAUGACCCACCGGCGACGGUCGCCGUGACCGUCAUCGGCCUCUCGCUAGUCCGUCGUCCGCCCUCAGCAGCCCUGCACAAUCCAAACGCUUGAACGAAGAAGAUGAAUAAUAGAAAGUCUACGAAUAAGAUGAACAGUAGAAGGGUGAAACAAAUGCAAAGCCAAAGCUAAAAGCCCAAGGCAGGGUGCCUUGGGCUUUCAGCUUUCAGAAGGCUGGCUUUGGCUCAAUGGGGUUUUUAAAAAUUUUCCCAAACACCUUAUACUUGACCAAAAGACCUUUAGGUGUCUAAAGGUACUUGGGAAAGUAGUUCCCAAACGCAGCCUAUAACCUGUUAUUGGGUGGUGAUGCCCCUUUGCUACAACCCUUAAUAAAUAGGACCUUUCCCAACCUUCAACAAGGUGUCGGGGUAACUAUUUGAGUAGAGAAUGAUCAUAUGUUCCUAGAAAGCCACGAAUAUGCUUUCAAACUAUUAUAGAUGAUUUAUUGUCUGUCCUUUAUAUCAAUUUUUUUUAUCAGAAUCAUUUAUCAUGUUAAAGCUGGAAUUGAUUUUUAGAGAAAGGGUACAAUUAUUGCACUUGAAUCGAUGUGAAUGACAUUGUGAAAUUGGUGUGUUUAUUGUGUUAAACCUUUUCUUUGAAGAAGAUGACAAACAAACUCACGUUUUCUCAUUUUUACAAAGAGUGUUAUGAUAUCGAUAUUGCCCUUGAUGACAUGUUGGGUGGUACAUUCGUUGAUAAGGUUACCCAAUAUUUGGCGUCUACUGGGGAAGAAGCAUAAGGUCUGGUUGUUAAACUAAGAUACACUGAGCUUCGUGCUUGCCUCUAGCCUUCAAAUAUUAGCUUUUCAUAGUUUGAUGUAUGAAUGUAUGAUUUGACAUGAAGCUCAUAUGUGAGUGUCAGUCAUUGUUUAUUCUGCACCGGAAGUUUAUAAUGUGAGCAGUGGUUAUUUGUUUAUUGUGCACCGCAUUUCUUACAUAGUGAUCUCUUUGUCCCUGUAAAAAAUGAAAGACUGGAAAGGAGUGUUCACUGGAGUAAAAAAAUGAAGAGGAAUAGGUCCACAAUACCAAGUCAAAUAACUAGGACCUCGGGAUCAAGCAUUGCUAGCUAAGUGCGAAGGAAGAGGAUUAAAAGAGUGUUUUGAAGGCGUGGAGAUUGCUGUUUUGAAGAUGCAAUACUCUUGAUUCUUCAUGAUUAACUAUUUCUUUUACUUAACAAAAUUUGAAGUGCUAGACAUUUAAUAUAUAGUGGAUUCUCUAUCUUGAAUGUGAUCUAUGUGUUAGGGCUGGCACGCAUGCGGCUUAGGUUGUGCCAGACCCGUGUAGCUUUUAGAAAGUUUCAUUGGAAACAAUCCAUUUCUAUCCCUAUGGUCACAAGCCAAAUGUUUGACAUGCCAACAAGUGAAGGCACAACAUUGCAAAUUUGGUAAACUUUUGCAAUCUCUCGAGAUUCCCAAGUGGAAAUGAGAACAUAUCACAAUGGAUUUUGUGAUGGGAUUGCCAAGGAGUCAGCGAGGUAACGAUUCCAUAUGGGUUGUGGUUGAUAGAUUGACAAAGUCUGCGCACUUCAUCGCCGUACGAAAGGACUUUGCAUUAGAUAGAUAUACUGAAUUGCACGUGCGACAAAUUGUUUGUCUUUAUGGAGUGCUAGUGAUGAUCACGUCAAAUUGAGACCUAAAGUUUACAGCAGCUUUUUGGAAAAGUUUACAAACUGCCUAGAACAAAGCUGCAGUACAGCACGGUCUACCAUCCGUAGAUAGAUGGUCAGUCUAAGAGGACUAUUCAAACUCUCGAGGACAUGCUGCGAGCUUGUGUAUUGGACUUCAAAGGAAGCUUGGAGAAAUAGCUUCAUCUAGUUGAGUUCGCCUACAACAACAGCUAUCAGCAAAGCAUCAAGAUGGCACCAUUUGAAGCGUUGUAUGGCAGGGCCUGCAGGACUCUUGUUUGUUGGGAUGAAGUUAGAGAGCGUAAGAUUAUGAGCCCUGAGUUGGUUCAACAGUCAGUUGACGCUGUCAAAGUCAUUUGAGAAAGGCUCCAGACCACCCAGAGUCGUUAGAAGAGCUAUGUAGAUAAGCGACGUAGACCUUUGGAGUUCCAAGUAAGUGAACACGUAUUCCUCAAAGCGUCACCGAUGAGGGGUACUUCGUGUUUUGGCAAUAAAUGAAAGCUAUGCCCGAGGUACGUUAGCCCUUUUGAAAUUUUGGAGCGAAUUGGGACUUUGACAUAUCAUCUUGCGUUGCCACCAAGAUUUGCUCAAGUGCAUGAUGUCUUCCAUGUGUCGAUGCUAAAGAAGUAUGAACCGGACUCAAUCCACGUACUGAAUUUCGAGGAUUUAGACGUGGACAAGAGAGUGUCGUACGUGGAGAGACUAGUUUGAGUAACGGAGAGAAAAGAAAAGAGCAAGUGCUACGUAGCAAGACAAUUCCCUUGGUUAAAAUGAUUUGGCAACACCACGGAAUGGAGGGAGCCAUGUGGGAAAGCAAAGAGUCGAUGAGACGUCAACACCCUCAUCUUUUUGUGGGAGGGUUGUAGUAGUUUAAAUUUCGAUGACGAAAUUUUUGUAAGAAGGGAAGAGUUGUGAUGUUCCGAAAUUUGGCCCAUAUUUCAAAAUAUAUAAAAUAGUUAUUUUAUUGACGCGCUUAUGAUUAUUUUACUCUGAAAUGAUCACUCACGAGUUAACUAAUUUAUUAGGUGAUGCCGUAAAGGAUUAUAAGCAAAAGACUAGAGAAUUCGAUCAAAAAUCGACCGCUCAUCCAUAAGGAUCGACAAUGGUCAAUACUUUACUGUUAUAAAACAAUUAGUGGACUGAUAUAAGUUGAUUUGAUGGAAGUACGUAGUCGAUUCGUGGGUGAUUCCGCGUGAUUACGAUAUUCGCGUUGAACGAUAAUAAACCGAUUUUCUAUUAAUAUAAUAUUUAGGAUACGUAAUUGAACCCUUGCGAUUACAUGACAACUGAGGGUCGUCUACGAUUCGAAAAUGCACAAACGUGGGUUGAAAAUUAUCGACUACGAGUCAAACCCGCAAGAACCUUUAAAAGCUACCCAAUAGAUUAGGUUGUAUUAAAGUUGCAUUCAAUCGAUUUUUAACCGCGAAAUUUAAUUCAAUUUGGGGUAUUGAACUUUCGAGGGUCUCGCGAUUUAAUUAUCGGACGUCGUCUCAUCGUUCAUCAAAUUAUCGACGAGUCCGAAAUUUUUCAGAAAAAGAAAAUAUUGGACAAAAAAAAGGAAAAAGAAAUUCGGAUGAAGAAGCAAAUUGAAAUUUUGCUACCCAAAAAGGUUUAUUUUUAAAAAAUUAGAAUUAAGAAGAUAUUUGGGGGAUAAUAAUAGGCUUAGAAGACUUUAGGGGCAAGUGAAUUGAAUGUGAUGAUGAGUUUGGGGAUAUUAUCUUAGAAUCCCUUUUUGUUUUAUUUAUUUUCUUCCCUCUCCUUCUCUCUUCUUCCUCUCUCCCACGCCACUUUCUCUUCCCCCACCAGCAGAACAGCCCCUCCGUUUUUCCUUUAUUUUCUCCUUCUCUUCUCUAUUUCUCUUUUCUUCCCACACCACUUUUCUUUUCCCCCACCAAUAGAACAGCCCCCCCCCCCCCCCCCUUUCUUUCCUUAUCUCCUCCUGGCAACAUCCAUCUCCACCAUCACGCCAAUCCCAUCUUCCCUUCCUCUUUUUCUGAUUCUUUUUACUUCAUUUUGCUGUCUUCAUCAUCCCACCACCACCAUCGUCACCUUGACCCCAUCACCACCACCUUGGCCACACCAUCGUCACCGCCGUAAAGUCACUGUCCACUCCCGCCAUCCUUGUCGCCAUUGCUUCGCCAUCACCACCACCGUUUGUCACGCUCCGAACUUCAAGUCUGUGCCCAUCCCUCGAUGGUCGAUAAAAUUGCGACGUCCCAGGACGCGUUGCCAACCCAUUCAUUUUUUGCACAUGCAGAAGCGAAACAAAUACCCCUGACAACAAUCAACACAAGAUAGAAAAGCAGGAAACAUAUUCACAACGAAAACACUUUUAUAAACACCCCGGUUUAUAUACAACCCUAGUCUAUAUAUAGCCAAGAGUCUACAAAAGACCGACUCUCAAAAGAAGCUGUCUUAAGACCUACUAGUCGAACGCAUUCGCCGAUCCUUCGAUCUCCACAGGCUCCGAGGGCUCCGAGUCCUCCACAGCACCAUCAGGAGGGUCAGCUACACUCUUACCUAGAAUGACAUCAACUAUCACCACGGGAAUCUCAAAACCCUAGAGGGGACCCACCUUAUAUCCAUUGAAUCCGUGGCAAAAUCACACUCUAAAUUGAUGCGGUACUCUCUGAGGUAGACCCUCAUCGACCCAAAUGAUGGUCACCACGAGUUCAUAGACCUAGUGAGCCCUGGGGACAAGGUAGUGAAAACUCUACUCGGUAACCCUCAUAGGCUGACCAAAACAUUCCAAAGAAACCGCCAUUUAAAGACUUGAAAAGAAUGAGCCCAAGACGGGGUGAGACAAUGUCUCAGUAAGUUCACCUCCUAAACUCCGACUAGGAAGGAAAUACGCCUAAAGGCAGUCUAUGCACACAAGAUAGAUGACUUAUCUCGCCUCAGUUCCCUCAUACACAUCGGCACAAUUCUAUUCAAUCCAUUCAAUCAAUACAACCAAUUCAAUUGACCACAAGUUCCAAUUCAAUUGCUACUCUCACAAGCUGAUAUGAAAUGUUGCUCGCACAAGCUAACAUGAAAUGCUUUCACAAGCUGAUAGAUCAAUGCUGUCACAAGCUGACGUAUCAUUGCUCUCACUAGCUAACGUAUCAUAUUGAACUAGAAAAAUUGAUAUUCACACUUUUAAAAUCCCACAAUUUGAUCUAGUUCUUAAAAUCAUUUUCGGUGUCAAAACUCGACACCCGGGAUUUUUCUAAUUAAAUAUCAAAAUUUCAUAAUUUUGGAAUAAAUAACCAAAAUCACAAUUAUCACUCAAUUUACACAAUUUAACAUUCAAUUGCCUAAAUCAAGCACACCAUUACAACAAGCACGAUAUUCCAGUCACCGGCUAUCCCGGUAUAAUUUCUGAAAAAUAAUAAAUAAUUAAAUAAAUACAAAAAAUCAUUAAAUAAAUGCAAUUAAAUACCAAAAAUACCAACUUAGGUCGGAAAUGCUAAAUUAACCACCUAAACCAGCCUAGAAAAUUUCCGAACCUAUCUAGAUAAAUAACACAGCUUAUCUAGUCCUUAAUUAAUCAAAUCUACCAACCUAACAUGCACAAACGAAUAAUUAAAUCGCUAAUCCAUGCUAACUAACCACAUAAACCUUAAUUACCUUAAAUUAAUCAACCCCUAAGCAUCAUUAAAUCCAUAAGUAAAUUUUAGCAAGUAAACUCACCGAUUUAGCGAUUCGGUGAGUCCACGAUGAUGACAAUGCGGAGACGGGCAACAAACAACCCUGUGGUGAUACCAAACGAAGAUCGGACGAGCCUAAAAAUAGGCCACGAAGCCUCAUGGCCCUUGCUGACUUCGGUUUUUGGUCCUUUCUGCUAGGCUAGAUUGGAGGGCUGAAACAGCUCGGUAAAGCGACAUGGUGGGACGGUGAGGCUGCUAUGGUUAACGACGGGCAACGGCAGUUGAUCUAGUGACCUAGCGAGCUAUGACGGCGGCUUGAGGUGGCUCGGGAUGCAGUUGGGGGCGACAGGAGACAAGACGGGCAGAACGAUCGCGCAGGGGGCUCGGGCGGCUGCUCGGGCGAUGCAACAGCGCGGCAAAGGGCUCCGGCGGUGGAGAACGGGCAGGGGGGUAUUGCUCAGUUUAUAUAGUUUCUCUCUGGUUUUUGGAGCUCAAAAGGUGACCAACAAUGGAUAAAGUGGCCCCAAGCUUGAAGAAAAAGCUGCUGAAGAUGGAGGGUCCCCUUUGGGCCACAAAGUCUUCACAUUCUAUCUCAUUUCUCUCUUGGCAAGGCCCCACCAUGCAUAGUUGUCUUCCUCAUCCAAUUUGCAACAGCCAAAGCUUCCUCAACAAGUCUCCAAGUGGUCCAAAUGUUGCACCCUAAGGGACCUACAAAUUUUGGAACAUUUUCCCUCAAAUUGAACCAAAUCCCCUACAAUUGAGCCUAAAUUGAUGCCCAUAAAUACCACCAAGAUGUCCACACUUAAAUUCACAUUUUUCCUUACCAAUUGAACCAACUUGAAUCCCAAAAUUGUGAUAAAAAACAACCCUCUAAUUUUCCCGGUCAAAAAUACCCCUACUUUGAAAUUUCGCCAAAAUUCCCAGUUUGCAAAAAAAUCUUCGGAGGAUGAGUUGACAUUCCUAAAAUGAAUUGUUACACGACAGAACUAAUCGGAUUUAAAUUCGCGGUUAAUUUCAAUCUUGUGUGAUUUUAGCAUAACCUAACAUAUCGGGUAACUUUUAGGAUUUUUUUUGUGCAAUUGACCCGUGGUCGAUUAUUUUUUAGCCACAUUGUACAUAUUCAAGACAUUGAUGACUCUCGGUUACCGUGAAAAUCUCGAUAUUUCAAAUACAGAUACAUGGUACCUAAAAAAAUAGAAAAAUCAGUCUGGUAUCGAUCGACGAGAAUUUUGCAAUUAAGUGGAAUCACCCACACUAAAUCACAUGGCUCAGUCGAAUCGAUCUAUCUCCGGUCUCUAAUCAAUUUUUAACUGUGCCGUAAUAACCUUUGCAGACUAGUACGGUUGAGUAGUAGAUUUCUAGUCGAAUUAUUAAAUCUAUUGCGUUAAAAUCCUUUAACGACUUCACUAGAUAGACUAGUUAUCUCGUGAGUGAUCAACUUAGAGAAUAGAAUUAUAGGUGCAUCGAUAAAAAGCCAUACUCAUUCAAUUUAAAACAAAAUUGGAAAAUCAGGAUGUCGCAUUGUCCAUCCAAGUUAGCCCUGAGGCCACCAUCAAGACGAACCACCCUAGGUGGUCGUGGGCUUGAGGAGCUGCCACCUCCACCGUCGAGCCUCCAUUCGAGCUACGAGCGUCACGUUCUCGACGUCGUUGCGUCGCCGUCGUCACAAGCCCACUGUCGCCAAAAAUCCAUGAGUUAAUUUCCUAAUCAUGGAUUAGGGCGUUAAUUGCGUUUAGGGGUGGUUAGUUUAGUACUAAUGGAGAUUAGUGUUAGUUAAUCUUAGUUUAUUCUUAAUUGCAAAUAAGGAUAGUUUAGAUUAAAUUUAAUUAUGAUUAUUGUAAAUAAUUUUUAUUAGUCUAAUUAAUCGUGUUUAGAUUAAUUAAUUGAAUUUAGCUUUAUUAAUCGUGAUUUAUUUAAUUAAUCGCAAUUAGCGUAAUUAGUGACGGAUUAGUCAUUAAGUAGAAUUUUAUGCUCGUCUUGUUGGAUGAGAUUGUGUGUGAUUUCAAUUGUUUGCACGUGCAAUGCCAUGUUAUUGAUUGCUCUAUGAUAAGUUCCUCUUAUUAUUACAAAAGAAUGUUUUAUAGGCAAUUAAAUGGCAAAGUUUGAGGUGUCGGGUUUGGAUGCCAAAUUUUACGUGCUAAAUAAAACAAUGGAGUUUUAAAAUAGAAGUGUGCAAAGUUUGACAGAUCGAUUUGAAAUACGUGACCACAUACGAAUAUUUUACUGGGAUUUUUAAAUAUGAAAAAUUGCCCAAGUUCAUUAUUUGAGAAUGACAUAUUGUGUUCUUGGCUAAUUAACGGCAAUAAAAGUUGGUUUGAUCGAUGGUGUGCUUGAGUGGUCAUUUAAUCAAACCCGUCACCCAAUGAGAGUUGGGGGCGAUGCUCGAUUUUAUCGGAUGCCCGGUGAGAGUCUGGAUGCCAAGUCCCGGUUAAGGCUGGACCGAAGGUCCUUUAUGGAAUGCCAUCUAGGCGGGGGUUUUAGAUGAUACCGUGCUCAAUGGGGGUGGGACAAUGCUCGGUCAUGCCGGAAAACCGCCGACUCUUGUGUUGGUCGUGGCCCGAGAGGUCAUAAUAAUUGGAACACGGGUGUUGGCAAUGCGCAUGAGAUUUUUAGUAUGUGCUAUGAUUGUUAUUUAUGCAUGUUGCACUAUUAUUGCCGUGUGAGACGUAUUAAUAUGUAGGGGAGUGCCGAGGCGAGGUAAGUUUAUGUGUGGUGCGUGUUUAGGCUGCCUUCGAGGCGAAUUCGCGUCCUAAUUGAAGCUUAGGGAUUUAACUCGUUGAGAUUUUAUCUCACCCCGUUGUUAUCAAACAUUUUCAAGUCCAUAGUAUGGAGUGUCACCCCGUACGUUUUGGGGUCCCUUGGGACAUGGACGUGGAGACUACUCUAUAUCCAAUCCCUAGGACUGACCAAACUCGCGAGCUGGUGGUCACGACAAUAUGGGUAGAUGAGGGGUUUGUACAUGUGGUACCCCACAAUUUCAAGGUGUGGUUUAUUAGGGAGGCGAACGGUGAUCGGAUUGGUCCACUUCAUGGUUUUGAUGGAUCGCCCUCCAGAAACGUGGGAUGGCAAGUUUGUGACCCCAUGGAUAUCGACAUCCCUAAUGGUAUCGUUGUGAAUCUAGAUUCCAAUCUAGAUGGGCUCAGGGAGCCGUACCCCCCUGACUACGUGCUUGACUUUGCGCCUGGAUACUAGGGCAAGUGUUUGGAGCUUGUAUAGCUAAAAGUUGACCCUGAUCUUCUAACCCUUUUUUAUUGUAGGUCACGUAGGAGUUUCUUUUUGUUGUAGGCCUGUACAUAUUAAACUCCUUGAUUUUAACCAGUUGAUAAAUAAAUUGUUGUUUUUGGAAAAUCGUUUGUUGUGUUUUACUAUUCUUAUUUUGUUGAUUGACUGGGUGUUUAUUUUUUUUUUUGCUUAAUCAAGAGAUAAGAAGAAUGGGUCGGCGACAUAUCUUGGGACGUCGCAUUUUUAAUCGACUACCGAGGGAUGUGCACAUACUCAGAGUUCAGGACGUGACAACAAAACAUGUCCCAACAGCAGAAAAUUUGUCAGUUUGUGCAGUCUUGUCUACCGGCUAAGAACUUUUGGAAAGUGCACCAAGUGCUAAACACAAAAUUUCAGUUAGAAUCUUCAUGAAAAUGCAUCUUUUAGAUUAACACGAUUAUUUUCUGGUUUAUAUUCAUCUUGAAGUGAAGAAAAUUGCAUCUUAGGUCGUGCAACAACCCUAUAUGUUUCUUGUGAAGAAUUAUUGCAUCAUUGGCAAAAAGAUGUUGGACUAGUUAUCUAGUCCUCAGUCCCAACCACUUCUAACCUGUUCGUUAUACUAGACACCCUUGCUUUUGGUGAUAUUUCCAAAAUCUUAGAUAUCGCAGAGAAGCUGUCCGAAAUUCUUAUUUUACCAAAAGCUUUAAGACGUUGGAUCAUUGACCGAUCUUGAAUUGUAUGGCAUUGUAAGGCAUAGAGGCACAAGGCCUGUCGACACCUAAAUUUUGGCGAUCCAUUUAGUCAUUUAUUGCAUAAAAAUUAGGGGUUAAUUUUAUCCUUAAAAAAAAAUAUUAAUUGCAUAGCUAUAUUUAGUUUGCAUAUUUUGCAUUUUAUUUACUCGACCGGUGGCGGAUGGGUCGAAUUGGUGUUUUUGAGUUUUAAAUUAACAAGUCGGAGUAAGCCCAUGAAGAGUACAAAUUGGCCCAAGCCCAUUUUCUGAAAUUGAGAUUUGAAAUGAGGAUUUUUCGGAAUUUAAGAAAAUUGAGGUUAUGAUCUUAUCUUUAAAAAUCAGUAGAAAAUAUUAAGGAGGAUAAUGAAUAAUCUAAAAUAUUUUGUUGCAGAUAGAGAUCUCGAAAGAUUUUAGAGUUGGAUAAUAGAGUUUUAUCUUGAGUGAAUUAUCUGGAAAAUCUUCACAAAAAAAUUUCAGAUUAUCUUAAAUCGCUGAGUCAGUAUAUAAAAUCUUCAAUGGUCGAGUGAGUCAGCUUGGAAGAUUUUAACAAAUGAUUUUAGAUUUUGGAACCUCUUUUUGGUUGAGCACAUCUCGUUUUUUUCGAAGGGUAAUCCUCAGCGAUUGGGUUGUUAUGCAAAUCUUCGUAGGUAGAACAGACUGGGUUUUCACUCUAUAAAUAGGGGGAGCUUCUUUGGAAAAAAAAAUUUUAAAAAGGGAAAAGAAUUUUGGUGCUUUAGGGAGCCGUCCGUGGAGUCCUCGAGAGAAAAGGAGAGAGGCACAAAAAGGGAAGAAAGGAAAAAAGUGAAGGAAAAAGUAAAAGGGGGUAAAGGUGAUUGGACAUUUACUGUUCAUCACCCCCUUCCUUCUACCGUUUCCGCUUCUGCCUCCCUCCUACCGGAUCCGAUUCUGAUCCGCCCUCCAUGCGACGGCCGGCGCCACCUCACCGCACCACCACACCAGAUGGCCCCGCUUCCGAUCUACGCCUGGACCUGAAGUUUCUCGUCCCGCGACGCCCUUCGCCGGUGGUCCGAGCUGCUGCCACACGAUUCCAGCGCCCUUGCCCCGGCGACCCGAAGCUCGACGCUCCACCCUCCGCGAGUAGGCCCGAGCCGUGCCACAGCCGAGCCUCUUUCCCCGCGCCGACGUCGCCGUCGGUCUCCGUCCGCGAGCCUCGACGACCCGCGCCACUGCGCCGGAGCCCCACUCACCCGCGCCUGCCUCUCCACCGCAUCGCUCGUCUCUGUUGCCCCUGUCCCUGUUUUCCUGACGCUGUGCCGCGUCUGUCGCCACCCUCAUCGCUCCACUCGACAACCUGCAAUCCGCAAUCGAGAGGCGUUGCCCCCGUGAAGCCGCUCUGUGCCCUCUGCUCUAACCCGACUACAAUCCGAAGCUCCACCUGCAGAGCCUUCGCGUCGCCGCCACACUAGUGCUGCCGUUGCGCCGGAUCCGCACCGCCGCGCCUGCACAUCGCCGAUCAACCUCACUCGCGACCGCCUCGCUUGAAGCCCCACCGGACGCUGAGCCGACGCCCUUGCAGCAACCCGCGAAGCUGCUUUGCCUCGACGUGUUUCUGCCGCCCAAUCCGCCCCUGCCAAGCCGUUCCAUCCGUUGCUGCCUUUCGCCGGAGCUCCGACCGACAACAACCCUUUGCUCACCGACGAAUUUGCUACCCCAAUAUUCCUUAGGUUGCCCAUUUUUUUCUUUUAUUUUUAUUUUUCUUAUUUUAUGUUUAUUUACUUUAUUUUAUUUUUAGUUGGUCUUGCUAUUAUUAUUGCUUAAGUUUGAAUAUUGUGAGGUGACUUUUGGGUUAUGGAUAUUAGGCAUUAUCGGCAGGAGUUAUCCCUAAAAUAAUUGUAAUUAUUAAUUUGACCCGUAAGAUGUCGGGUCAUUUUUCUAAUUAUAUUAAUUCUUGGGGUUUGUUGAUAGCAUAUUAAUUGUUGAAUCAAUAUAAUUAUUAAUUUGAUCCGUAAGAUUUCGGAUCAGAUUUUUAAUUAUUUUGAUUUCUUGUCGUGAUGUUUUGAGUUAAAAGUAAUCGUUAAUUUGACCUGUGAGAUAACAUGUUAUUUUUUCGUUUAUUUUAAUCCUUUAUUUGUUGAAUAUCUUGUUUGUUUAGAUUUAAGGUUUAGUUGAUAAUCGCUUGUUUUGAAAUACCACUAAAAAAUCCAAAAAAAUUUGAAUUAGGAUUAAGUUUGUUUUGGAAUAUUUCUUGUUAUCUUGCAUAUCUAGAAUAGGGAUUUCAGUUCGAACAAUAUAAAAAAUGCAUUAAUUUAGGAUUUUAGUUGCAUGUUUAAUUACGUGGCACUUUCGACUUUUUUUAAUAAAAAAUAAAAAAUAAAAAAUAUCAUGCAUAUGUCAUGUAGAAUUAGGGCAUGCCCCGCACGUCAUUGCAUAUUAGAUAGAUUGCAUGUUAGAUUAAGAUAAUAUCCUGGUUUAAAUUAAGAUUUAAUGUGACUUAAUCCUUAAUUUAAAUUAGAUAGAAUUUUAAUCUAGCUAGAUCAUUUUUGCAUUUUUAAAAAUAGAAAUAUCAAAUGCACGUCAUUUAGUUUUUACUAGGUUCAUUUAAUUAGAACUUUCUCGUCAUUAGACUAAGUCACUUAAUAAAUGUCGCAUGUCAUAUAACUCGCGUACUAAAUUGUAUGCUGCAUGUCAUCUUAGUUUAAAUAAUUUUGUAUGUCAUUGCAUCGCAUUGCAUGUCAUUAAAAUUAGGUCAUUUAGAUUGCAUUUAAUUAUUGCAUUUAUUCAUGUCAUAUAGUUUAGGUCGUGCUGCCAUGUCAUAUUAGAUUAUUAACAUGCAUCGCAUGAUUUUCAUUAAGAAAAGCGAAAACAAAAAUUAAAAUUGCGUGUUAAUUAGAAAUCAUAUCUAGGAUGGUUGAUGUGAAUUAUGAUUUAAUAAUGCAGAUGCUUUCGUUGCUUCGAAGUAUGUUUUGCAUUAUUUAAUUGCUUUCUUGAGUGUUAAAUUGAUGGUAUGCGCACAUGUAUGAUCAUCUCACAUGUUAGGAAAGUGAAUUAAAAAUCAAUUUAAGCUGCUUGCAAAAAUAUUUUUUUAAAAACUAAAUAAAGAAAUGGUACCGAAAGGGCACUAGGAUAGUCUAGUGUAAUCAAGUCCCUGUACCCUUAAUCUCUGGUUCGUAGGAGUAAAAUAAAGCUCUCUUUAUUUUACUUGGGUGUCUAAUCGACCUACCGAAAACUGAUUAGUGGCGACUCGUAGAAAAUAAUCAUUUGCAUAUUUUAACCUUAAGUCGCGAAUUGGUAUGGGUUUGGGAGAGCCCGAGCUAAGCUUAAAGACUUAGUAGUCCAUUAACCUAGUUUUAGGUGGUACACCCGAAAAAUUGGGUCGCGACAGCUUGGCGACUCCGCUGAGGACUUGUGUUAAAACACUUAGUGGACUUAGGCCAAUUUUUCUUUUUAAAAAUAUUUUUGUUUGGCAGCAAGGAUCUCAGGUAUGUCCCUAACAUUCCUAAGGUGUUAAAUGUUCUUGCAGAUGGGAGGUAUAAGGGGAGUAGUCUUUGCUAACCCCUAUCCUGUAGGUUGGAGUUAGGGGUGAAUGUUUGAAUUAAAACUAUAGAAGUGUUGUUUGCAUUUAAACUUCUGUGCAUGCUUUAUUGCUUUAGCACCACACUAUUGGCACACACAACUUGCAGUCGGACCUGGGCUGCGAUAGGAUUUCUAGGAUGGUGUUGAGAAUGAUACUUCCUCCAAAGCGAGACUGCUAUGUAGAGGUUGACAUUCUCUUCCCCGAAAUUUCUUUCAUGGUGUCAAAUGUGUUUGUCCAUAUCCGCGAGACUGCGUGAUUAUUGGGUAUUCCAUUCAACUGAGCCGGAAUUAGGGGGACCUGACACAUUAAUGCGAGACUGCAACGGUCAGAUUAUCCUCUUAGCUCCACCUUGUUAAGCCAUUUAGACAGAAAUCGAGCCUCACAUCUCAUGUGCAUGUCUAUGUGAUUGCCAUUAAUUUCCCUUGGUGAAGUAAGUCUUCUAUCUCUAUACUAUGCGAUUUACUUACUUUGUCAUGCUUUUGGUCCGCCCAUGACAAUUCAGGAUAAUCAUUUGAUCUAAUUCCUUUCAUGACUGAAAUGAGGAAAUUGCCAUUAAUCAUUUGAAAAAUAAAAAAUUGGAAAUUUGUUUUCAAUUCAAGUCUUGGCUCUUCCUAGUUCAUAAGUAGGAAAUUUUGCCCCUAUUGGGGCAUCUCAUAUCUUUGUUUUCCUAGUCCGUUGUUAGGAAAUCCUCUUCAUAUGUGGAUUUUUCUUGACUAAAAAUAAAUUGUUGUCAUGGACUAGCUCUCUAUUUACACCUCAUGCUUCCAUGUUCUCAUUUUCCUUAGGUGAUUAUGAAGCGAUCUCGCUCACCCAUCCGUACACGGUCGAGAGCUAAAAUGGCGGAUCGAAACGAGGCGCUGGACCGUAUCAUUGACAAUAUGAACAAGCAAAUUGCACACCACCAAAAUCAAGUCAAUGAAUUGUCUACUACUGUGACUUUUCUCAUCAAGCAAAAAGGCUGCGAUGACAUAGGUACUCCAUCUUCAAUAAGAAUUUGCGACUCGAAGAAGAGAGCCAAGAGAACUUUUGAAUCGUCUCACUUUCCCGAGGUAGCUGAAUUUGAUGCCACCAUGAAGAGACUCGUGACAUAUCUAGAAGGAAGAAUCUCUGACUUGAAGGGUUCGCAUCACAUGAGCAAGGAGGGUGAAGAACUCAAGCAUACAUGAUUCAUAGUCCUAAGUAGUUCACUUUCCUUGUUUAAUUAGGGGCAUGCUCGGUUGCAUCUUCCCCUGCGUGGGAAUUCUUAUUGCUAUUUAGGAAUUAGUUUUCGCUUUUUAGGAAUCGUUUUCGAUUUUUUCUCUUUUAGGGGGUUUAGGAAUCACAAUUUCCAUUCCAAUAAUGUAAUUCAUUUGAUGAAAUUACAAUUUUAUUUCCAAUUUUGAGGACAUGAUGGGGUAUACAAAACCAGUCCAAUGACGAUAUCCAACCAUGAAAAAGAAAAAUAUCAUCCACGGAGAAAUCCUGAGGGCUGGACUUUUUCAUGUUUCCUCCCAAAAACCUUUUCGAAAAAAAAAAAAAGCAUUUCAUUGUAAAAAAUUAAAAAAAAAAACAAAAAAAAAACAUUUUCCCAAAACUUGUAGCAUAUUAAACUUGUUUGUUUGUCUGACUCAUUUGCUUCUUGUCUCAGAACAUGAUUCUAUAACUUUAUGACAAGGGACAUCUGAGAAUGCUGUAUCAAGUCUCAAUGAUCAUAAACUUUACUUGUGAUCAACAGGUUUAGAGCGCACUUGUAAUGAAAAAGAUUUGGGGCAAGUAAAAGAGGACCAUCAUUCCCUGGUGGAAGAGAUGACCAAUUUGGACAUAACAGAUUUUGGUAGUGAUCCAACUGGGAUAAAGUCUCGACCCGAGCCAAAAUGGAUGUGCAGUUCAAAUUUACUUUAAUGUUGCAUAGCACGUUCUCUUGUGCAGGGGCAAAAGUGGAUUUUCAAUCUUGAAUGAUAGGAACAAUCCAAAGACAUCAACUGCUAAGGCAAUUCCCAUUGUAGAGGAAUCCUUGAAUGAAUGCUUAAAACCAUUUUGCAAUAGAGAAAAUUGUUUGAAGUUGACAUGCUUAAAGUUGUUGAAUUCUUUUUUGCAUGAUGACUCUUACAUGUUUUAUCCAUCAAUUCCACUAAAGAAUAUCAAGAUAGACUAAUUUAAUGAAUGAUGUGAAAUUGAUUGAGCCUACUAAAUGAGACGAGUCGGGAUGAUGAAAGGCAAACCUUAUCAUAUACACAGUUCCAUAUUCAUACACUUGUGAGAUGAGUGUAGGAAGGUUCAUAUCCAUAAGGUAAAGAGUUCUCUCGCAAAAGGUACGGCAACCAAAAUGAUGAGAGGCAAUUCAUAUCUCUAUCCCAAACACUACAGGUGAUCCGUUGCUUAACCCUUUUGAGCCCAUACACUUAUGGAUAUUCUUUUCAAAUCACCCCUGUCAAGAAUCACCCCACAUCGGGGCAACUAAGAGAUCAAAUGGCAUCAUGAGGUGAGAAAGAUGAAUUGAAAUUUUCUUGCUCUCACUUGCAUCAAUCUUCAAGUCAUGCUAUUACAUUGAAUUCAUGUGUUAAGUUAAGUGCCUUAGGAAGAGCAUUUCUUUCUCUAUCCUAUACACUUAUAUCCUUUGCAUAGCCCACUUGAGCCUGCAAUUUCAUUUCUUUAAACCCAGUUGGUGAUCAUCCCCCACACUGGGGCAAGACAAAAGGCAAAUGAAGACUCUUGAAAAGUUCAAGUGUCAUUCAAAGUGUAGUUUGCUUGACGCAUGCAUUAUGCGCAAGAAUUGAAUUCAAAAUAGAACUAAGGGGCAUGAAAAAGUAGUGUGCCUGGUAAAAGCAAGGCCAAUGCCCAUGAAAAGAAGUGAAGAAAAGUGAAUGAAAACUAGGGGGCAUAAAAAGCAGUGUGCCUGGUAAAAGCAAAGUCAAUGCCCAUAGAUGAGAAAAAAGAGUCAAGAUAGGUGACUGUCAAUUACAAGAAUUGAAUCCCAAUGGAGCAAUAGUCAAAGAACUCAAAUGCCGAGUUUCUACAAUCAAUGAGGGACUUCAUAAAGGCAAUCCCCAAUGGUGAAAAAGAAAACUGGUGGCAAUGCCAAGAUGAUCAUCAACUCACACCUUUUACACACAUUUUGAGCCUAAUGAUCCUUUCAUUUCUCAACCCAUGAACCCAACCUACGUUGCGUCCCUUACAAAGUCUCUUCAGAUUAGGGGGCAUUUGAAUUAACGUAAGAGUUCAUAUGUUUAUAAGCAUUACUCGAAGAAGUGCGAGCAAUAUUAUUUCUUUUUCAUUUUGCAGGGUUCUUGACUUGUAAACCCGGAGAUGAUUACAAGACAGUUCAUUCAAUAGCUUUGACUCAAAGAGUCAUUUUGUUAAGCCGUUGACCAAGCCACAUUAUGGUCCUUGUUAAAGACCUCUCAGAUUGGUAAGAUCGUACCGCUUGCGAGAAUACUCGGACCCAUGUCGAUAUGAUAAAAUUGAGUGAUUCUCAUAAAAUAGUCAUUCUAAAUGAGAGUGAGUGAAAGUCCUUUCUAACCGAAAGUCUCUCAUUUAGUAUUCUUAAGAAAUCCAUGUCAUGAGUGAAGAUUGUCUUAAAUGAUAAUUCUCUCCAGUGGAAAUUUGGGUGAUGCAAAGGACAUUAUGCAUAAACCCUGAUUGAGCUGAUGAAAACCUCACUGAAUUUUGAAAUGUGCAUUCUAGAGUAGCUUAGAUUGUCUAUCUCUUUGAUGAAUGCAUAUCAGUUUUUGCUCUGAGUCAUGUCUAACAGGUAAUUCAAGUUCCUUUCAGAAUGUUUCAUGAUAUUAGAAGAUGAGAAACCUCCAUCAGGAGGUGAAAGACCUCCACAGGAUAUCUAAAUAUCCCCAAGAAUUAGAGAUAUCACCAUGUAAGUAUAUCUCUACCAUAUUCUAAAAUACUUGUCAUUGUGCAGGUAUUCUCUCUUAAGUGUAUCGACACUUGACUUGGUCAAGCUGUCCAGUUUUAUCGACCUGGCGUGCUUUUGUAGCCCAGAGUCCCUUUUAAUCGACACUCGACUGAGUUGUCCCCCAAAGUUUUUCCUCUAGACUCAAUCUGAUUAAGGCGACCAAAGAACGGUUUGGGUCCUGGUCAGUUGAUCUCUGUUGCAAGGUUGGACGACCGAAGAAUGGUUCGAGUCCUAGCCAAGCAAAACCUCGUUUAGGCGACCGUAGAAUGGUACGGGUCCUAGACAAAACCUAUUUCCCUAUUCAGGCGACCGUAGAAUGGUACGGGUCCUAGACAAAACCUAUUUCCCUAUUUAGGCGACCGUAGAAUGGUACGGGUCUUGGAAGGUAAAUCCCCGUUUAGGCGACCGUAGAAUGGUACGGGUCCUAGACAACAUCUAUUUCCCUAUUCAUGCGACCGUAGAAUGGUACGGGUCCUGGAAGGUAAACCCCCGUUUAGGCGACCGUAGAAAGGUACGGGUCCUAGACACAACCAAACACUGCCCUACUAGGCGACCGUAGAAAGGUACGGGUCCUAGGAAAGUGGUCUUUUUGUUACUAUUUUAAGCGACCGUAUAAAGGUACGGGUCCUGAACAUGUAACACCAACUAUCUUGAAUCACUCUAUCCUCCUUAAAGGUAAGAUAUUCCAGGUAGGUUCCUUUACCAUUUGCAUACAAAUUGCAUUCCAAAAUUUUGACAUCUCAGUUUGGAUCUGAAUGUCUCAAUUCUCUUCGUUAAAUAUUUCACUCUGGAUGUGAAUGUUUUUUCGAUCUUUCUCGUUAUACUUAGUCUGGAUCUAGGUAUCUCGAGUACAAAAAUCUUGACAUCUCAGUCUGGACCUGGAUGUCUUGAUUAUUUUCAUUCAAACAUUUCACUCUGGAUGUGAAUGUUUGUCAAUCCUUCUCAUUAUACCUUAGUUUGGAUCUAGGUAUUUUGAGUUUUUAAAAAAAUCUUGACAUCUCAGUCUGGAUUUGGAUGUCUCAAUCUAUUGCAUGUUACACUUUUCAAGGAACCUAAGUGAGAGAGUUGGGUACUUGUGGAGUAAAUAGGGAUUUAUCAUGUACCUCAAGAUGCUUUACCGCACUAAUUGGGAAGUAAUUGUAGGUACGUACUUUCCUUUGACAUCAUGCAUUUGCAUUAGCAUUUCCACGCAUCAUAUAAAUUGCAUUAAAAGAUGGAAUUCAUUUUCCGAAAAAAAAAUCAUUCAGUGCAUUUGCAUGGUCAAAAUUUAGAUCUCAAUUUGUCUUUGAAGGCAACCUCUUUGAGCUCACCUUCAAAGAGGGGUAGCUAUUGACACCUAAAUUUUGGCGAUCCAUUUAGUCAUUUAUUGCAUAAAACUUAGGGGUUAAUUUUAUCCUUAAAAAAAAUAUUAAUUGCAUAGCUACAUUUAGUUUGCAUAUUUUGCAUUUUAUUUACUGGACCGGUGGCGGAUGGGUCGAAUUGGUGUUUUUGAGUUUUAAAUUAACAAGUCGGAGUAAGCCCAUGAAGAGUACAAAUUGGCCCAAACCCAUUUUUUGAAAUUGAGAUUUGAAAUGAGGAUUUUUCGGAAUUUAAGAAAAUCGAGGUUAUGAUCUUAUCUUUAAAAAUCAGUAGAAAAUAUUAAGGAGGAUAAGGAAUAAUCUAAAAUAUUUUGUUGCGGAUAGAGAUCUCGAAAGAUUUUAGAGUUGGAUAAUGGAGUUUUAUCUUGAGUAAAUUAUCUGGAAAAUUUUCACAAAAAAAUUUCAGAUUAUCUUCAAUCGCUGAGUCAGUAUAUAAAAUCUUCAAUGAUCGAGUGAGUCAGCUUGGAAGAUUUUAAUAGAUGAUUUUAGAUUUUGGAACCUCUUUUUGGUUGAGCACAUCUCGUUUUUUUCGAAGGGUAAUCCUCAGCGAUUGGGUUGUUAUGCAAAUCUUCGUAGGUAGAACAGACUGGGUUUUCACUCUAUAAAUAGGGGGAGCUUCUUCGGAAAAAAAAAAUUUUAAAAAGGGAAAAGAAUUUUGGUGCUUUAGGGAUCCGUCCGUGGAGUCCUCGAGAGAAAAGGAGAGAAGCACAAAAAGGGAAGAAAGGAAAAAAGUGAAGGAAAAAGUAAAAGGGGGUAAAGGUGAUUGGACAUUUACUGUUCAUCACCCCCUUCCUUCUACUGUUUCCGCUUCUGCCUCCCUCCUGCCGGAUCCGAUUCUGAUCCGCCCUCCUUGCGACGGCCGGCGCCGCCUCACCGCGCCACCACACCAGAUGGCCCCGCUUCCGAUCUACGCCUGGACCUGAAGUUUCUCGUCCCGCGACGCCCUUCGCCGGUGGUCCGAGCUGCUGCCGCACGAUUCCGGCGCCCCUGCCCCGGCGACCCAAAGCUCGACGCUCCACCCUCCGCGAGUAGGCCCGAGCCGUGCCAUAGCCGAGCCUCCUUCCCCGUGCCGACGUGGCCACCGGUCUCCGUCCGCGAGCCUCGACGACCCGCGCCACUGCGCCGAAGCCCCACUCACCCGCGCCUGCCUCUCCGCCGCGCCGCUCGUCUCUGUUGCCCCUAUCCCUGUUUGCCUGACGCUGUGCCGCGUCUGUCGCCACCCUCAUCGCUCCACUCGACGACCUGCAAUCCGCAAUCGAGAGGCGUUGCUCCCGUGAAGCCGCUUUGUGCCCUCUGCUCUAACCCGACUCCAAUCCGAAGCUCCACCUGCAGAGCCUUCGCGUCGCUGCCACACUAGCGCUGCCGUCGCGCCGGAUCCGCACCGCCGCGCCUCCCUCUCGCCGCGCAUGCACCAUCGCCGAUCAACCUCACUCGCGACCGCCUCGCGACCGCCUCGCUCGAAGCCCCACCGGACGCUGAGCCGACGCCCUUGCAGCAACCCGCGAAGCUGCUUCUGCCUCGACGUGUUUCUGCCGCCCAAUCCGCCCCUGCCAAGCCGUUCCAUCCGUUGCUGCCUUUCGCCGGAGCUCCGACCGACAACAACCCUUUGCUCACCGACGAAUUUGCUACCCCAAUAUUCCUUAGGUUGCCCAUUUUUUUCUUUUAUUUUUAUUUUUCUUAUUUUAUGUUUAUUUACUUUAUUUUAUUUUUAGUUGGUCUUGCUGUUAUUAUUGCUUAAGUUUGAAUAUUGUGAGGUGACUUUUGGGUUAUGGAUAUUAGGCAUUAUCGGCAGGAGUUAUCCCUAAAAUGAUUGUAAUUAUUAAUUUGACCCGUAAGAUGUCGGGUCAUUUUUCUAAUUAUAUUAAUUCUUGGGGUUUGUUGAUAGCAUAUUAAUUGUUGAAUCAAUAUAAUUAUUAAUUUGAUCCGUAAGAUUUCGGAUCAGAUUUUUAAUUAUUUUGAUUUCUUGUCGUGAUGUUCUGGGUUAAAAGUAAUCGUUAAUUUGAUCUGUGAGAUAACAUGUUAUUUUUUCGUUUAUUUUAAUCCUUUAUUUGUUGAAUAUCUUGUUUGUUUAGAUUUAAGGUUUAGUUGAUAAUCGCUUGUUUUGAAAUACCACUAAAAAAUCCAAAAAAAUUUGAAUAAGGAUUUAGUUUGUUUUGGAAUAUUUCUUGGUAUCUUGCAUAUCUAGAAUAGGGAUUUCAGUUCGAAAAAUAUAAAAAAUGCAUUAAUUUAGGAUUUUAGUUGCAUGUUUAAUUACGUGGUAAUUUCGACUUUUUUUAAUAAAAAAUAAAAAAUAAAAAAUAUCAUGCAUAUGUCAUGUAGAAUUAGGGCAUGCCCCGCACGUCAUUGCAUAUUAGAUAGAUUGCAUGUUAGAUUAAGAUAAUAUCCUGGUUUAAAUUAAGAUUUAAUGUGACUUAAUCCUUAAUUUAAAUUAGAUAGAAUUUUAAUCUAGCUAGAUCAUUUUUGCAUUUUUAAAAGUAGAAAUAUCAAAUGCACGUCAUUUAGUUUUUACUAGGUUCAUUUAAUUAGAACUUUCUCGUCAUUAGACUAAGUCACUUAAUAAAUGUCGCAUGUCAUAUAACUCGCGUACUAAAUUGUAUGCUGCAUGUCAUCUUAGUUUAAAUAAUUUUGUAUGUCAUUGCAUCGCAUUGCAUGUCAUUAAAAUUAGGUCAUUUAGAUUGCAUUUAAUUAUUGCAUUUCUUCAUGUCAUAUAGUUUAGGUCGUGUUGCCAUGUCAUAUUAGAUUAUUAACAUGCAUCGCAUGAUUUUCAUUAAGAAAAGCGAAAACAAAAAUUAAAAUUGCGUGUUAAUUAGAAAUCAUAUCUAGGAUGGUUGAUGUGAAUUAUGAUUUAAUAAUGCAGAUGCUUUCGUUGCUUCGAAGUAUGUUUUGCAUUAUUUAAUUGCUUUCUUGAGUGUUAAAUUGAUGGUAUGCGCACAUGUAUGAUCAUCUCACAUCUUAGGAAAGUGAAUUAAAAAUCAAUUUAAGCUGCUUGCAAAAACAUGUUUUUUAAAACUAAAUAAAGAAAUGGUACCGAAAGGGCACUAGGAUAGUCUAGUGUAAUCAAGUCCAUGUACCCUUAAUCUCUGGUUUGUAGGAGUAAAAUAAAGCUCUCUUUAUUUUACUUAGGUGUCUAAUUGACCUACCGAAAACUGAUUAGUGGCGACUCGUAGAAAAUAAUCAUUUGCAUAUUUUCACCUUAAGUCGCGAAUUGAUAUGGGCUUAGGAGAGCCCGAGCUAAGCUUAAAGACUUAGUAGUCCAUUAACCUAGUUUUAGGUGGUACACCCGAAAAAUUGGGUCGCAACAAGGCCCUUGAGCCAACCCACUGAACUCAUAGAGUCUUGAAUGUUCACAACCAAACGAUUUAUGAUACCAGCUUUUGUCAAAGUUAUUUCAUAUAAACUUGGUCUGAGAUUGCAACAUGCCUGUGGUCAAGCUAAAAUAUCCAUGUAUCUGAUCUUGUAAUCACCUUGGGUCAAUCUUGUGGAUAGAGGUCCAAGCUGUUUAGGUUGCCUUUGCUGUGAGCCAUUCUUUGGUUCGGCUUCCAAUUGAGUUGAUUCUUCGUUGUUUUUUUUCUUUUUUUUUUAAUUCCUUUUUUUGGUCGAGUCCUACUCAGGAACCAUAGUAGUCCGACGUAAAGAUAUUUUCAUCGACUUGGUCCUUUCCAAUAAGAAUGCUACUGGCUAGGCUCUUUUACUAGAGCCUGGCACGCUAUGAAGCUUGAAAAAUAAGCACAUGGAAGCUAUCCCUUGAAGCUUGUUUUUUCGGUUCAGCUCCAAUUUUGCACAAUUGCAGCUUAAAAAUUUUCUUGGAAAUCCUCAUUCAAAUCCUAUUUUCAGGUAACUUGGCAGCUGUUCAAGCUCUUUUUACUUUGCUUUUGUACAUAAAAACUAUAGAGCCUCCUCUUUGUGCCUGCCAAACUCUUUUUUGGUCCCAUCCAUCUAUACGUGCAUGCGCAAAUAUAUGAUUGAAAUGCCGAUAUGUGACCUUGGAAACAGAGAUUAGGCGGUUUCUAGCUAUUGCAAAUCUUUGCUUUUGCCUAUUGCUCUCGACUCUUUUCUCUUGAAAUCUUCGACAUUUUUUUAUCACUUGCCAUGUUGUUGUCAUAUUUAGGUCCUUCAAUAAAAGACGAGGAGAAAUUCUCAUGUUUAACCGCAUCAAUUUCUAUGGCGGAUUGUUUCUAUUCUUGGUCAGAUGGAUGAUUCAUGCUUUUACAUUUAUAGAUUCUUCAUGUCCCUUUCUUUUUGCUGUUUGUCUUGACCGAUUUUGCUUUUUGGUAAUAAUCAUUCCACUUAAAUUAUUUCACUGGCACAGCCCACAAUCACCUUAAAAUGCUUAGACAUGAAUGGAUUUCUAUAAUUUUCUCGAGAGAAAAUUUCAAAAAAGUACCCGAAAUACCCUUAUUCUCUCAAAUAAAGAUCCGAAGUGAAUUUUGUUUCAAAUAAAGACCUAAAAUAGUCUUGGUUAUUUCAAAUAAGGGCCUCAAGUGGCUUUAGUUGUUUCAAAUAAGGAUCCAACCUCGCCGGUCGCUGGCUGGCUAAAUUUUCCAACCGGUUAAGAGUAUUUUUGUCAUUUGGCAUUUUCUCCUUUUUCUUUUUCUUUCCUUUCUCUUUUUUUUUUUUUUUUUUCCUUUUUGGUUCUUCUUCUUCCUCUUCACCAAUAAUCGGCCGGCCACCGGUGAUGCCCAUAGAGGGCUAGGCGAGAGCCACCCACACCAACCAUAGGCGAGGGACGAUCUCACCUGUGCGUGGCGACCCUCGCCAAGGGGCCAUCCACAAGGUCAGCCCUUGCCAAAUCUGGCAAAUGAGGCCUUGCCCAUGGCCAACGAGGGCUGGGCGACCUCAUGUUGGUAAGGGCAAGCGAGGGCCUGUAAGCCCUCACUGGCCUUGGGCGAGACCACCCUUGCCAAAUCUGACAAGGGUCGGCCUCACCCAAGCAUCACCUUUGGCGAAGGUUGGCCUUACCAGGGGCCAACGAGGAUUGACCUAGCAGAUGGCCCUUGGGCGAGGGUUGCCCAGCCCAGACAAGGCCGUCCCUCACUUGUGGCCGACGUGAAUGGCCCUCACCAACAAGGGUGACCCUCACCCAGCCCUUUAUGGGCAUAGCUAGUGGUCGACUAGCCACCAGCGAAGAGGAAGAAGAACCAAAGGAAAAAAAAAAAAAGCGAGAGAGAGAAAAAUGACAAAUGACGAAAAUAUCUUUGAUCGCUGGAAAAUUAGGUCCUUAUUUGAAAUGAACAUAACAACUUCAAGUCCUUAUUUAAAACAAAUAUAACCAUUUUAGGUUUUUAUUUGAAACAAUAUCUACUUCAUAACUUUAUCUGAGAAAGUGAUUGUAUUUUAUAUCUUUAUUUGAAAUAAGAUCAACUUCGAACUUUUAUUUAAGAAAAAGAAGAUACUUCGGGUCUCUUUUUUAAAUUUUCCCUUUUCUCAAUUUGGGCCGGCUUCCAUGAAAUUUGUUUUACAUGCUGCUGCUUUAAUUGAGAGCAUCUUCUCUCACUGGAGAUGUUAACGUCGGAGGCGCAAUAGGGAUCCACUACGUGUACACAUGGAUCUGGAUGCUGGACGAAGGAGAUCAGACCGAGAAGAUAUCUUCAUUAGUGACCAUGCAAAAGAAGAUGUCCAAUCAACCUAUGCUGGAUCACUUUUCCACAAUGGUUGAAAUUACCACGUGUCUUUUUAUAAGGACAAUGUGAGCUGUCAUCUCGUCAAUCCUUCUCGAGUCUCAUCUCGAUUCUCUCCCUAUUAACUCAUGAUCCCCUAAAUGCAUUAAAUCUUGUUUUUGCACCCCAGGAGACGCUGGGUCAUUGGUCUUCCUCUCGUUGCCUUCCUCAAAGGAACGAACUUGCAGAAAAGCUCCUCAAGUUGCUGCCUCACCAUUCAUUUGGCAAGUGCUUAAAUAAUGCGGCGGUCUCGAUAAGGCACUUUCUUUCUAUCCCGAGUGUGCCAACGAUGCCAGUGCCACUCCAAAAUGGUGAGACAAUUUGCACUGCGCCGUUUCUCAUUAUAAGUUUGUUUUCACAAUCGAGAACACCUGGACAGAAAGUUACGUGACGGAGAAGCUAUUUUAUGCUCUGGACUCCGGGGCGGUCCCCAUCUAUUUCGGUGCCCCCAACGUCAUGGACUUUGUCCCUCCACGUUCGAUCAUAGACGGGAACAAGUUUAGCUCCAUGGAGGAAUUGGCAACUUUCGUGAAGUCCCUAGCGAACGAUCUAGUGGCGUACACCGAAUACCAUUCGCGGAGAAGAUGUGGUGUAUUAGGUAAUUAUGGAAACUCACGAGUGGCAAGCCUCGACAGCUUGCCGUGUCGGUCAUGGGAGUUCAUUAGCCAAAAAGGUGGCAGGAAUGCUAGAGCUUUAUGAAGAGUUGAUUCUUUUUGAACACCCGUUUUGUUUCCUGAUCAUCCGAUUAGGAGAUGGUAGAUUAGACAUUGAUGUAAACAGGCCACUAAAAAAAUCAUCAUGGUAAUGAAUACAAAGUCAUUAUGAACUUAAAGUGUUUAGACUUCUCUCCGAUUUUGUGAAGCGAAACCGGCCUGGACUUCUCUCCGAUCGGUUGUUGGCGUACUUGUUUUGUCAUUUUUUGAGUUCACACUGUCUUUCUGGGUUGCUUGCAACUCAUAUGAUCAAGGAUUGGAGAGGAGAGGUGGAAGAAAAGGCUUGUGAUGAAUUUACGAGUUUUUGCGUGAGCUGUGUGCAGUGUGUGGUGAGAGUUGCACAAAAGGUAACGAGGGGGGUCCGCAUCUAUGCAGAGAUACAUUGCUUUUGUUAAAUUAAUAUCCCAAGUUUGAAUUCGGAUAAUAAUUUGUUAAAUCGAAUUUUAUUGAUAAAGAUUUUUCAAGUAAAAGAAAUUUCACCAAUCUUCGUGAAGGAUCACAAAAACAGGAAAUAAAAGGAAAAUACGAAUUUUUUCCUUACCCGCGGAGGCUGGCCGAAAGUUGUUGCGCACACACAACUUUCACGCCUAGAUUUCCUUGUUUCGCCGAUGGAAAUUGAAGGAAUUCUACACGUGAAUCAGAAGGAGGUGGCCCCAAAAGUCAAAGUCAAGACUUUGACUUUUGGGCACACGCAUAUAAAAGGGAAAACGAAUCCGCCGCCUAAGCCCUAUGUAGAAGAAGCCGCAAGAAGCUGCACGUUCGCCAAGAGAGGAACUGCACAAAAGAAAGAAAAAAUACGCGGGAGUUUUUAUUUUCUUUUUGGUAUACGACUUGAACACGCGGUAAUUUUGUGCCGUGAAUUUAUGUUUAAGUAAAUUGUUUAUUUAUAAAUACUUUGGAUUUAGGAUUAAAUCUAGAUGUGGGAAACACUCAAGCGUGUGAGCCAUUGUAAACUCUGAGUCUCCGAUUAUAAUGGAUUAUUUAUUAUUGGCUCUUCUCGUGAACAUAGGUAUCGAUACUCGGACCAAACCACGUAAAUUUCUAAUAUCCUUAUUAUUUCUCGUUUAUUUUUCUGACGAUUUCACAUUGACAUAAAUUGUAAAAUCCUGUCGUUUUCACAUAUUAUAUUCCAACAAUUUGUAUCAGAGCUUAGAGUUGGAUGUUUUGAUUGCGAUUUGGAGUUUUUGCUUGUUUGAUUAUUAUUUGAAAAUUUUGUUAUUGUAAUUAUAUUUGAGAGGAAAUCUGAAAUUGAGAAACUUAAUGAGAGCAAUAACUUUGUAUUAUGGAGCAUCAAGAUGCGAGCUUUAUUAAUAACUCAAGGUUUGGCCAAAGCACUGAACGGUGAAGAUGAGUUGCCAAUUAUAUUGAAAGCUUCGGAGAUGGUAGAGCUAAUGGAAAGAGCAAAAAGUACAAUUCUGUUAAAUUUAUCGGAUGAGGUCUUAAUAGAGGUUGCUGAAGAGAAGGAUGCCGCAACAUUAUAGGCAAAACUUCAAGUACUUUAUGUGAAAAAAAAUGUUUGAACAAUCGCUUGUACAUGUUGAAGAUGAUGUUUCAAUUUAGAUAUAUUGAAGGUACGUCUAUCAGAACCCACCUAGAUGAAUUUAAUAAACUCAUAAUAAAUCUAAAUAACAUCGCUAAAAUACUUGAUGAUGAAGAGUAGGGCAUAAUGUUGUUAGCCUCUUUAUCAAAAUCAUGAGAGUACUUUGCUGAUUCAUUGUUGCAGGGAUGUACUACAAUUACCUCAGAAGAGGUAAAGUCCGCCUUAUUCUCUAAAGAGUGGCGGAUAAAGUUGCGAGAUGAAGGUCUAGUGCAAGGAGUAGAGCAGGCACUAACGAUUCGAGGUAGAGAACAACAUCAAGGGCCUAUUAGCAACAGAGGUAAAAGUAAAUCAAAAUCACGCCAUAGAAAGUCCAAGGGAUGCGUGAAGUGCUUUGAGUGUCACAAAGAGGGGCACAUCAUGAGAGAUUGUCUAAAGCGGAGGAAUAAAGUUGAUAGGCAAAAUGCUAUAAGCAGUGUGGCAAAUGUUGCCGAAGGCAGCGCUAGUGAUGUAGAAGCUUUUUUAUGUGUGACUACCAUUUCGUCAGGAGACGAAUGGAUGCUAGAUUCAAGGUGUUCUUAUCACGUGAAAUCUCAUAAGAAUUGGUUUAUUACUUACCAGGUUGCAGAUGAUAGUAGAGUUCUUUUGAGGAAUAAAGUAGUUUGUAAGGCUGUGGGGAUAGGGACAAUUCGGAUCCGGAUGCACGAUGGGGUGGUGCACACAUUGACAGAUGUGAGGCAAGUACUGAGCUCAAGAAAAACCUUAUUUUUCUAGGGACACUCGAUGACAUUGGGUGUAGGUACACCGCUGAAGGUGGAGUAUUGAAGAUCUCUCGAGGUGCCAUGAUAAUGAUGAAAAUGGAAGAAAGUGAAUACUCUAUCAUCUACUGAGAGAGAUUGUGAUCGGAACUGCUGCAGUUUCAUUAGGUGCGUCAAACUCUAACUUGACUUAAUUAUGGCAUAUGCAUUUGGGGCACAUGAGUGAGAUAGGUAUGACGAUACUGAGCAAAAGGGGGUUGUUAAAGGGUCAAAAGAUAGGGAAGCUGAACUUAUGUGAGCACUACAUCUUUGGGAAGUAGUGACGAGUUAAGUUUAUUAUAGCUAUUCAUUCGACUAAACGACCAGUUGAAUAUAUUCAUUAAGACAUCUGGGACCCGUCUUCGGUUCCUUCAAAAGGAGGUGUCCGAUAUAUGCUAACAUUUAUCGACGAUUAUUCGAUAAAGAUAUGGGUAUACUUUCUGAAGCAUAAAUAUGAAGUGUUUGAUCGGUUCAAGAAAUUUAAGGCAUUGAUUGAGAAGUGGUCAGAUAAACAAAUCAAGUGCCUGAGAACCGAUAAUGGCAUGGAGUUAUGUGGUAAAGAUUUUACCGAGUUCUGCGAGAAAGAAGGUAUUGUGAGAUAUCGCACAAUACCUGGGAUACUACAGCAUAAUGGCGUGGCAGAACGAAAGAACAGACCUUUGCUUGAACGAGCUCGAUGCAUGCUUUCGCAUGCAAGACUUGGCAAGGAAUUUUGGGCCAAAUUACGUAUAUUCAAAUGUCUUUCGUAUGCUCAUGCGAGUGAUGGUAAGCUUGAGCCGAGGGCGAAUAAGUGCAUAUUUUUAGGUUAUGCACAUAGGGUGAAAGGUUACCGGCUGUGGUGCACCGAUCCCAUAACACCUGGUUUUCUAAUCAGUAGAGAUGUGAUCUUCGACGAGACUGUAAUGCUUCAAAAUAGGAGUUCUAAAACACAACCAACAAAGAAGACAAAUUAUGGUAUCAUUAGUGAGGUGGAGCUUCAAGUUGAGACUUCGGAGAACUCGAAGGUAACAAAAGUUGAGACUGCAGUUGAAGCCGCAAUUUCUAAAGUUAGUGAUAGUGAACAACCAGUAAAGCCGCAGCACACUAUAGCCGUAGAUAAACACAGAAGGAAAAUUGGUUAUACAAAUAUUGCUUAUGCAUUGAUUAUAGGUGAUGAGGUGGAGAUAGAUGAGCUUUCAUUUUACUCUGAAACGAUGGCUAGUUCGGAGUCGUCGCAGUGGUUAGGGGCUAUGAGCGAAGAGAAGGAAUCACUUCAUCAAAAUCAGACAUAGGAGUUGGUCAAAGUACCCAAGAGCCAAAAGAUUGUCGGAAGUAAAUGGUUCUUUAAACGGAAAGAGGGCAUUCCCGAUGUCGAGGAAGCGAGGUAUAAGGCGAGACUUGUGGUGAAGGGAUAUACACAACGUGAGGGCAUUGACUAUAAUGAGGUGUUCUUUCCUGUGGUAAUACAUACUUAUAUUUAUGUUUUACUUGCCUUAGUUGUUUCGCAGGAUCUCGAGUUAAAGUAACUAGAUGUGAAAACUACGUUUCUUUAUGGUGAGUUGGAGGAGUAGAUUUACAUGAGGCAACCAGAGGGAUUUACUAUUCCGCAUAAGAAAUAUCAUGUUUGCUUGUUAAAGAAAUCUUUGUAUGGGUUGAAACAGUCUCCUAGGCAAUGAUAUAAAUGUUUUGAUGCUUUCAUGGCUAGUCAAAACUAUUCAAAAAGUCAUAUAGAUAGCUAUGUUUAUUAUAGGAGAUUGGAGAAUGGUUCUUUGAUUUAUCUACUCUUAUAUGUUGAUGAUAUGCUGAUAGAAGUUAAGAAUAUAUCUGAUAUUGAUGUGUUGAAAAGGCAAUUAAAUGUUGAAUUUGAGAUGAAAGAUUUAGGUGCUGCAAAGAAAAUAUUGGGUAUGGAGGUUUCGCAUGACAAGACUAUAAGAGUUUUACAUCUAUCUCAAAAGAAAUAUAUUGAGAAGAUCGUGACACGUUUUAAUAUGCAAUCAGCAAAAUCUGUAAGUACACCUUUAGCGAAGCACUUUAAACUUUCAAAUAAAUUAUCACUACAGACUAAGAAGGAGGAGAAGCAUCCUUAUUCUAAUGUCAUGAGUAGUAUUAUGUAUGCUAUGGUGUGCACUAGGGCUGAUAUUUCACAAGCUGUAAGCGUGGUUAGUCGCUAUAUGAAGCAUCUUGGUAAAGCUUAUUAGGAAGCUGUGAAAUGAAUCCUCAGAUAUUUGAAGGGGACAACGGACGUGGGUAUAAUGUACCGGAGGGACAACAAUGGUAGUAAGACCACUGAUUUUGUGGAUUCGGAUCACGCCGGUGACUUGGAUGAUUGCAAAUGUUUAGCAUGGUAUGUAUUUACGCUAGCGGGUGGUGCAAUUAGUUGGAAAGCGUCCUUACAAGAUCACAUUGCAUUGUUUUCGAUUGAGGCAGAGUACAUGGCACUAACUUUUGUAGCGAAGGAGGUGAUAUGGUUAUAAAGUUUACUCUUAGACUUUGAUUUAGAAUAGAAAAGUGUGAAUAUACACUAUAUACACUGUGAUAAUCAAGGUGCGAUAUAUUUGGCGUAUAAUCCAGUUUAUCACAAGCAAAUGAAGUAUAUUAACAUUAGAUAUCACUUCAUCUGAGAUGUCUUAGUUAAGAGUAAUAUUAUUGUAAAAAAGAUUGUUUCAGUAGAUAACCCGGCAGACAUGAUGAUUAAGUUUGUUCCUUUGGUGAAACUCAAGCUUUGCUUGUGCUCUAUUGGCGUCUGUGGAGAGUGAGCGUCAAUCGGAGCGUUGUGAGAGUAGCAUGGAUAAUGAGCAUUAUAACUUGGUUUCAAACAUCGAGUCAAGGUAGAGAAUUGUUAAAUUAAUGUCUCGAAUUUGAAUUCGGAUAACGAUUUGUUAAACCGUAUUUUAUUGAUAAGGAUUUUUCAAAUAGAAGAAAUUUCAUCGGUCUCCACGAAGGAUUACAAAAAGAGAAAAUGAAGAUACGAAUUUUUUCCUUACCUGCGGAAGCUGGCCGAAAGUUGUUAUGCAGGUGGGGCCCAAGUUCUUGACUUUUGGGCGUGCGCACACACAACUUUCACGCCUGGAUUUCCUUGUUUCACCGAUGGAAAUUGGAGGAAGCUUCUACACGUGAAUCAGAAGGAGGUGGGCCCAAAAGUCAAGACUUUGACUUUUGGGCAUAUGCAUAUGAAAGGUAAAACGAAACUCUACGAAGCCGCCUAAGCCCUAUAUAGAAGAAGCCGCGAGAAGCCACACGUCUGCCGAGAGAGGAGUUGCACAAAAGAAAGAAAAAAAGACACAAGAGUUUUUAUUUUCUUUUUGGUGUACGACUUGAAACGCGCGGUAAUUUUGUACCGUGAGUUUAUAUCCAAGUGAAUUGUUACUUAUAAACACUUUGGGUUUGGAGUUAAAUCUAGAUGUGAGAAAUACUCGAGCGUGUAAAAGAUUGUAAACUUUGAUUCUCCAAUUAUAGUGAAUUAUUUGUUGCCGGCCCUCCUCGUGGACGUAGGUACCGAUAUUCGAACCAAACAACGUAAAUUUCUAGUAUCCUUAUUAUUUCUCGUUUAUUUCUUUGGCGAUUUUGCGUUGACGUAAAUUGCAAGAUCUUAUCGUUUCCGCAUAUUAUAUUCCAACAGUCUUCUCCUCAAAGGAUUGUACAAUCAUAUCAUGUAUGCCUACUUUUAUGGGUUGAUGGUGCGAAACAAGUGAGAAGAUUUCAUUUUUCGCUAGGCCCAUGUUUUCCACGAAGAAGUGGUCUUCCUUUGGGUGCACGACUGACCCUGUCUAAAAGAGCAAUUCACACAAGGCACGAAAUUCAUGGUAAGCAUCCACCCAUUCUUUCUUUGUCUCUUCUCUUCUAUUUCUAAAGUUAGAUCCGUCCCCUCUUCUUUUUUUCUAAAGCAAGAUUUGAUUUGCCAUCUGUUGAUCCACCAAAUCGAUAGCUCUUCGCUUUCCCGAGUAGUUCCUUUGGGUUCACAACUAACCCUUUCUCAAAGAGCAAUUCAUACCUAAAAUGUUGAAACCGAUGGUUCAGGACCCAUGAAAUGACAAUAUAUCAUACGAGAGGUAAAUCUUUGUUGUAGAAUUAAUGAACGCGGAAGCAAAUGAAGAUCUUACAAUUAACUCAAUUUGAGAUCACCGAAAAAAUAAACGAGGAACAAUAAGGGCCAAAGAUUUACAUAAUUCAAUACGAGUGUUGAUACCUAUAUUCAUGAGGAGUGUCGACAACAAAAAUUUACUAUAAUUAGAUAAUCAGAGUUACAAUCGCUCAGCAUGGUCGAGUGUUUCCCAUGCAUAAAUUAAAUCCAAACCCAAUAUAUUAAUAAAUAAACAACUCAUUUUGGAUGUAAAAAACUCAUAGCACAAAUUACAUGCUUUGCCCAUGACCAAAUAGCAGCUCUCUUUGAAACGGCCGAAAAUCAAGGACCUCGUCUGUGCUUGAUUUCCUUUCUUUGCAGCACACAUGGCUUUCCAAUUGCUGCACAUAUAAAAUUAGACAAGCAUGUGUAUGCCCCUUUCUUUGGUUCGGCCAGUCUGUAUUACUUUUAAAGUCCAACUCUCAGUCUAGGUCUUAGUCUUGGUUAAACUUGCAUAUUUUUUCCAAAUGGGUGGGGUUUCGCCGUGUGAGAAGGUGUCUUGAUCAACGGAAAAGCAUAUGCUUUUCAAAGUCAUCAUCUCUUAUUUAGUUCAAUCUGGAAGAAACUUCACUUGCAGCAUCUUAGAACACAGAAACCACUCACAAUGGAAAAGCAUAAGGUGAUUAUAUUCCUGUUUUUCCAUGCCCAGCUCAUAUUAUGGAUGAGUUCAGCAAUGCAAACUAACCAGACUGAUCGGCUUGCUUUAAUCUACUUCAAAGACAGUGUGGAUAAGGAUUUGCUUAGAGUCUUGAGCUCAUGGAAUGACUCUUCUCAUCACUGUAAGUGGCCAGGUAUUGUAUGCGGUUGACGGCAUCCCGAAAGGGUCGUGUCCCUCAACCUGAUGUCGAAAGGCUUGGGCGGUCUUCUAUCGCCUCAUGUCGGAAACCUCUCUUUCCUUAGAAGCCUUGUUCUACAGAACAACAACUUUCGUGGCAAAAUUCUGCAAAGCAUUGGCCACUUGUUUCGCUUGCAACGUCUCAUUCUUAGUAACAACUCUUUCGAUGGACAAAUGCCCACAAAUCUUUCUCAGUGCUCAAACCUUGAGGUUUUGAAUCUCAUUGAUAACCAACUUGUGGGAAAAAUAUCUCAUGAGCUUGGCUCUUUGUCAAAGCUUCGAGAUUUAUUUUUGGCUAAAAAUAGUCUUACAGGAUCUAUUCCUCAUUCUAUUGGAAAUCUCUCCCAACUUUUGUCUCUUUCCGUUGGACGUAAUGGGUUGCAAGGAGAGAUUCCCAAGACAUUGUCCAAGCUUCGUGGUUUGAGGAAUGUUCAACUAGCAUUUAACCAACUCACUGGCAAGAUCCCACCAGCAAUCUUCAACAUGUCCAGCAUUAUCUAUUUUAGCGCCGGUGACAAUCAAUUGAGAGGGAGCAUUCCCCCUAAUAUCGGCGAUACUCUUCCUUCUCUUAGUUAUCUUGAUUUUCCUAGAAAUUUGUUUACUGGCAUUAUACCUCCGUCCUUAUCGAAUGCCUCCAACCUUCAGUACAUCUACUUUAACCAUAACAGUUUUCAUGGACCAAUGCCUGCAAAUCUUGGAAGGCUAAAAGCUCUUGAAGGAAUGUUUCUUAUGUCUAACCAGUUGCGAGAUGACUUCAGUUUUAUUACCUCAUUGACUAAUUGUUCAAUGCUGGAAAUUAUUGGGGUAGACCAUAAUUUUCUUGAGGGUCUCUUGCCGGAUUCCAUCGGCAAUCUUUCCAACAGCGUUAGACUAAUUGCUAUGUCAUCCAACGCAAUGUAUGGAACCAUUCCUCCAAGUAUUGGCAAUCUCUUCAACUUGUCUUUUCUUGGCUUGUCAAACAAUUCACUUAGCGGCCAUGUUCCUUCUUGUAUUGGAGCACUCUAUAACUUGCGCAAUUUGUACUUAAGCAUUAACAUGCUAACAGGAGAGAUCCCAUCGUCGAUCGGCAAUUUGACGUUAUUGAGUCUCCUUUACCUACCAUUCAACAACUUCUACGGGGAAAUACCGCAAAGCCUUGGUAACUGCAGGCAGCUAAUCGAGCUUGAGCUUUCAAACAAUAAUCUGAGUGGUCCAAUCCCGAGGGAGGUUCUUAGUCUUUCCACCAUUUCGAUUAUCUUCAACUUGGCACAUAACCAAUUGAGUGGAUCUCUUCCAUCCCAAGUUGGGUCCUUGACCAAUCUCGUGGAACUAGAUCUGUCUUACAAUAAGUUGACGGGACCAAUUCCUAGCUCCAUCAACAAGUGCUUGCUGUUGGGGCGGCUCAACUUAGCAGUCAAUUCCUUUCAUGGUGAAAUACCUCCGGCUUUAGGCACAUUACGAGGCUUACAAGAGUUGGAUGUUUCCCAUAAUGACUUAUCUGGGGAAAUCCCGAGCUUUCUCACUCAACUUACGAAUCUAAAGUACUUGAAUCUAUCUUCAAACAAGCUUGAAGGAAAAGUUCCGAAGCAAGGAGUAUUUCUCAAUGCUAGUGCAGUGUCCGUCUUUGAGAAUAGGAAUCUUUGUGGAGGUAUUGCAGAACUAAACCUUCCUUCUUGCAAAUCCAAUACCUCUAAACCAUUACUAACCAAACCAUUACUAACUAAAAUAGUUAUAGUAAUCGCCAUAGUGAUGACCAUCUUGUCAAGCUUCAUUCUGUGUAUUUGCCUGUUUAUCAUUUAGUAUCAGAGAAAGAAGUCAGAAAGAAAAUAUCUCUUCAACUAAAUUGCCGUUUGAAUACCAAUUUCUUGAGGUCUCUUAUGCAGAGCUCUCUAGAGCCAUAGAUGGAUUCUCUGAGAACAAUGUGAUCGGUAAAGGAAGAUAUGGUACUGUCUAUAAAGGAAAUACAGAGGAACACAGCUGGUAGUGGUUAAAGUGCUCAACUUGGGCCAUAGAGGUGCUUUGAAGAGCUUUAUCUCAGAAUGUCAAACCUUAAGGGCCAUAAGACACUAAAAUCUCGUGAAGAUAUUGACCGUGUGCUUAAGCAUGGACUAUCACAGCAACGAUUUCAAAGUUCUCUUAUACGAAUACAUGGUUAAUGGGAGCUUAGAGAAUUGGAUACACAAGGGAAACGAAGAAGACGUUGAGCAUGAACAUGAACAUGGAAAGCCAGGACAUUUGGGACUAAUGCAAAGGUUAGACAUUGCCAUUGACAUAGCUUCCGCAAUCAAAUAUCUUCAUGAGGAUUGCAGCCCAAAGAUUGUACAUGGAGAUCUGAAGCCAAGUAACGUCCUUCUGGACAAUGAGAUGAUGGGACGAGUUGGGGAUUUUGGGUUGACGACAAUCAUCUCCGCUGCGACAACAGAGGUCAUGGACAUUGACGACCGUAGCAGAUCAAUGGCAGUGAGGGGUUUCGUAGGCUAUGUCCCUCCCGGUAAGAAAAUUUUCUCAUUAAUUGUCUAAGUUUUAUUUGUGUUGGCCUUUAGAUGAAAUAUUUAUUUUCAUUGCAUAUUGCUUGAUGUACACUAUUUUAGAGUAUGGCAUGGGGGACAUGGUUGAUAUAGCUAGUAUACGUGCCUAGAGGGGGGGUGAAUAGGUAUAUAAAUGAUUUUUCUCGAUAAUUGCACAAUGAUAGACAGUUGAUAGAUUUGAGACAAACAAUAGUCAAAGUAAGACUGAGAGAAGAGAAAAUUGAACACGCGGUUUAUAGUGGUUCGGCUUAUUUCAAGCCUACGUCCACUCUUCUGCACUGACAGCCUAUUGGCUAGAUUCCACUAUGAUCAAAGAGAUGUUACAGCAAUGUUCUCCCUUGAUUUCUCGGUGUAGAUGAUCUACCACACUCGCUCAAGAUAUCAUUAAGUAUAGACACUCUUUGUGUAUACAAUUUCGCUCAAAAUGUAUUGACUAAUAAUCAAGGUGCUUCAGACUCUGGAAUUUCUCUAUCUGCCAUGCACUAAAGCAACUAGAAUGUCUUCAUUUUGUACUCCUUUAUGCCAUCAUACCCGUUGGCACUUACCAAAGGAAUUCCUCCAAUCUACCCAUUGGACGGAAUCAAUCAAGAAGAUCAUUCGAGCUAUUAAAGGAACUUGACGAUAGCCCAUCAAUCCUGUUCGCCCAUACAAUCAGGAUCUUGGUUUCCAAGAAUAGAACCUUCCAAGAAUAUUUCGUCGACCAUCGGAUCUUCAAACAAUCUUGAUUACGAAUAAAAGAAUCCAUUAUUUUUAUCUAGCCAAGAGAUCUUCUCCAGAGGAUAGGACUAAAUCCUCAACCAAAUACUUCAACUCUGGAUUGCCUUCGUCACUGGAUUAGAAAAAAAACUGUCAAUGAGAAUAGUCUUGAGUCUUGAGUCUUGAGUGCUGAGUCUGGUGAUCUGAAAGUCUUCAGACUCUAAACAAAAGGUCUGUAUUUAUCCAGACUAGACUGAUAGAAACGUUUUGUCAGCUUCAAAAUAUUCUGGAAAGAUUUCUCCAACAAUGGUAUCCACACAAGGUGACGUGUACAGCUAUGGUAUUGUUUUAUUGGAAAUGCUAACCGGGAGGAGACCAACAGAAGAGGCUUUCAAGGACCAUUUAAAUCUCCACAACUUUGUCAGGAUGGCUCUACCAAACUGAGUGAUGGAGAUCGUGGACUUGGCCAUUUUUAACAUAGAAAGAGAGAAUGACAUUGAGAGGAUAAGAGAUUGCAUCGCCUUCGUCCUAAGGAUUAGAGUUGCAUGUUCAAUGGAGUCAUCGCAGGAUCGGAUGGAUAUGGCCGAAGCACUCAAGGAACUACAUAAGAUUCGAGCUAGGUAUGAAUCCAAGUAUAGGCUAGGUUGAAGCAAGUUUAGCUCCCAUACACUUAGGACGCGCAUGAUAAAAUUUUUAUUUCUCUAUUUUUUUAUUUCUCUAUCCCCCGAAACAAGUUUGGAACAAAAAUCCAUGGUAACGCAAUUUCAAUUUUCUAUUUUUAGAACGGAUUUCUAUAUCAGAAAUAGAUUUGGAGUGGAAAUUAGAAGUUAAAAUUUUUAACUUUUCAAUUUCUAGAAUAAAAGUGAGAAAUUAAAACAUUUUUCAUCGUUCACUCUCGUCAUUGCCCGUUGCCCAUUCGCCGCCCAUGGGAUGCUAGACGCCCAUCGCCCAUCACUUGCCAUCGGUCAUUGGACCCGCCACUAGCCGCUAAACGCCAGCCACCCAUUGCCGACCGGCCACCCACCAAUAGACGCCGAACUUCGACCACCCAUCGCGGGUCAUUGGCCACCAAUCGCCGGCCGCCAACCGCCGAUCAUCGGCCACUCACCACCAAAUGCCAGCCGCUAACCAUUAGACACUUGCUGUCGGACGCCAAACAUCGCCGAUCAACCGCCCAUCGCCAGACGUUGGACUUUGGCCGCCCAUCGCCGGUUGUUGGUUGUCGGACGAUGGAUGCCUGCCGCCGGUUAUCAGCCACUCGCCACCAAAUGCCGGCCGUCGACUGUUGGACACUCGCCGCCGAACACCAGACGCCGAUCGCCGAACCCUCGUUGUCGAACGCCCGUCGCCGAACGCCGGCCGUCGCCACCACUAGAAAUAGAAAUUUUAUUAUUUUAUCAAACGAAUUUCUAUUCCAAAAACAAAAAUUUUGAAUCGUUAUCAAACACAUUUCUUUACUUAGAAACUUAUCCGAGGAGUAGAAUUUAGUUUUUGUUCCAGAAUUUUUAUCAUGCACGCCCUUAAACUAGACUUUGUCUUAGGAUUAAUUUUGCUUUGAACAAGAAAGAUCCUAAUGGUUCUAUUCUUUGUCUUGGUUGUAACUAUUUUCCACUAGGCUCAAAGACGAACUCAUAUACUAGUUCAAUGUAUGUAAUCUAUCUCCAUCUCUAUUCUCCUUCCCCUGCUUACGAUCUCAUUAUUUUCUUUAUAUCAAUUUUCUGUUUCUAGUUUUUCCUCUUAAAGUCCAUCUCUAACAAUUCGAUCUCAUUAUUUUCUUUAUAUCAAUUUUCUGUUUCUAGUUUUUCCUCUUAAAGUCCAUCUCUAACAAUUGUCUUUAGAUGCAUAGUUUAUAUAUAUAUUUAUAGAUUUAUAAAUGUAGAGAAAUAUAAAGUACAGGCGUAUCUUAAAAAAGGUAAUAAAUUAUGCCAAUGCUGAUUAAUUUUUAAAUGAUAAUUCAUAUUGUGGAUUAAUAAGAGAAGCAAAAGUAAAGUCAAUAAGAUUAUUAAAUUUCGCCAAGGUUGAUUUUAGGUGGUGGCUUUUUUUUUGGUAACGGGAAGGCGGUCAUUUUAACAAUAUAAAAUCUUAGAUCAUGCACGUAGAUGUUAAAAAUCUAAGAAUUCAAUUGUAUAAUUUAAAUAAGUUGAGGAACUACAAAUGAGAUUAUUAAUUAAUUUAAUAUUAUGAAAAAUCUCAAUUUGGUUCACUUGAAAACCCCAAGUUAUAUAUUUGAAUAAAUUUAUUCUCUAUCAGUAUCUUUAUCAAAUUACUUAUUUAAAUGACAUGUAACAAUAGACACUUGUACCAAUUUGAGAUUUUACUCUUCAUUUAACACAUAUUUAUCAGUUUGUAACUUUUGUUAAUAUUAAUUUAAUUUAAUAAAAAUUAACGGAAGAUAAAUUUAUGAUAAAUAUACUAAUUUAAGAUUUUUGAUAAUUUAUCAUAAAUGUAUUUUGAAAUUUUUCCUGGUAUUUAUCCUUAAAUUUUAUUAUCGCUUUCUUAUCACGCACCACGGUCUAGAAGAACUUUUUAGUUUCUCUUCAUCUCUGAGAGCGUCUGUCUCUCCCUCCCGCCCUCGCCGUUGCGCUUCUGCUCAGCCCACCGUCGCCUCGUCACCUCCGCUCGUCGCCGUCUAACUCGUGCCUUCGCCUCUGAAACAGCUGCCAUAUUCGAGAAAAUAUUCAGUGGUUCGUUCGCGCCACGUCAUCCGCUGACGUGGUGCGCACAUACCACCCAGCUUUCGACACCUGUCCUGGGGGACCCGCUGGAAAAUGAAAAGACUCGCUCGGCUCGGCUCGUUUCGGCUCGGCGUGGGACCCACAAUCUGGUCAGACUGAGGAGAAAAUCAGGCGCCAUUUUAAAAAAAUUUCGGACUUGAGCGAGGUUUUCUCCUUCUUCUCUUUCUUCGCGCCUCUCACUCUGCCCUCCCUCUCUCUCUCCGACGAACAGGACGCGACCUCCCAGUCGCUCUAUGCCCUCCCUCUUUCCGACCGGCGAACCACCGCCAGCAACCGACGAACCACCGCACCGGACCGGCGAGAGGACCACGAGAUCUAGCUCCCUCCCUUUGCCCUCCCUCUUUCCGACCGGCGAACCACCGCAAGGGACCGGCGAGAGGACCGCGACCUCCCUCUCUCUCUACAUUCCCUCUUUCCGACCGACGAACCACCGCACGGGCAAGAAGACCGCGAGCAAAUAAGAUGUUUUUGUAGAGAUCUCCCAUCGUCGCCUUCAUCUUCUUCCUCCUUUUUUUUUGUUUUGUUGUUGUUUUUUUUUUCCCUAGUGUUCUAAUGGUGGAUCUGGAGUUGCAUAUGAAGGACGACGUGAUGUCUCACAUCAACCUCGACGGCUUCUUCGGCGACCUCCCUGAGACCGGCGACGUCAUCGGCGCUUACUCCUCGACGAUCGCGUCGUCGUCGUCUCCAGACUCGGGGCUCUCGUGGUUCGACGAGAUCGAGAACAUCCUGAUGAAGGACGAGGAUGUCCACGUGCUUGCUGAGCCGGGGGCUGAGCGGGCCGUGCCGGAGGGACUCGAGCUUCCCGCGGACCUUCGCUUCCCCGGCCCCUCGCCGCCGGCUUCUCCCCGCCUCCUGCAAGAUGCGGCAGCGCGGCCUCAGGUGCUCCGCUAGCUGGCUGAUUUCCUCGGUUUCCAUGGCGCGUGUUCGGGAUUCUCAUUUUUGUUUUUGUUUCGUGUGUGGAUGACUACUAGUUCUGGGAGCAGGAGGCCGCAAGUCAAGAAGGCUUCGCUGGAUAGGCUACCGUCGAUUGUGGUUAAUGGAGAGGGCGAAGAGGACGCUGCUUUGGCGGAGAGCGUGCGUAGCGCUGAUUGGGAAAUUGUGGCUGAUGAUUCUGAGGACGAUGAUUCCGAUGGCCCUUUUUGCAGAUAAUACUUUACCGUCAGUACACCCCCUUAUCUGUACCCCUUUUUGCAGAUCAUGGGCAUUGGAGGACAUGAAUUGUUUCAACAUCCAAUUUCAGCUGGAUUUAGUCUUUGGAGAUUUACUAAAAGAAAGAGGCAGGUUGCUUUCAACAUCCUCACCCCUGGAGGAUUUGUCCACUCGAGGAUCCAAGGUAUGUCAUCUUUGUGAACUUACUCCCCUGCAGUUAAGUUGCAGUUACCGAUAUCCUUUUUCCUGCCUUAGUCAUAUAGUGUUGUCCAUUGGCAUGAGAUAAUUUGUGCAAGAAAUUUAUAUAUAUUAUGUUCCCUUAAUAUGCUCUUGUUAUCACAUUAGUUGAUGUUUUAUGAUGACUUUUUGGUCAAUUGGCACGAUCAGGUGUGGGUUGUUGUCCUUAGUGGAAUGGGUAUCGCAUUCUCUUUCUAUUAUGUACUCUGAAAAGAAAAAAAUUAAACGGCUCAUUGGUCAACUAUCACUUGAUUAUAGAAGCUAGAAAUUAGUUCUUAGUACAUAUGGUUACCUGAAUAUCUUUCUGCUCGCAAUUAAGUAGCUAUUAUCACCGUGGAGAAUUUGUAAUCUGAGGCCUCUGCACUCUUCUUGUUCAUAUUUUGCCAGCAGGCUAUCAUUGUUUUAAUUAAUUCUCUUGAGGUUCUUAUGGUACCUCUGACGCCUAGUACUGUGAUCACAGUGUUAUCUGUGGGUUUGUUGCCUGGCUAUACUAUUGAUUUGUUGAUCAUUGUGUUAAGAUUUUCCUUUGGAGUUAGCUGGUUAAAAGACCCUUACAUAAACAGACUGAAAAGUUAGCGGCUUUCUUGUUCUUUCAGCAGUUUAAUUUGAACAUGGGACAUGUUUUUCUUGUGAAUUACUAAAUCCCAUUGCUUUUUGUUUGGAGCUUUUUCUGCCAUCAAAUUUUACCUUUUUGGAAGGACUCAUUAGACCUUGAUCCUCAUUGAUGUAGUAAUAAACCAAAGCUUGCAUAUCUUUCAAAGAUUUUGAUUGCACUUUUAAGCUAUGGCGGGUCCCUAAUGAAUUUCUUUUGGACAUGGUGGAGAAUGCUCUGGGAGAUGCAAAUAGCGUAUUCUCUAGUAAACGAGCAGCUCUAAGAGGUAGUAUUCUUCUGAACUUUUGGACUGUUGAAAUAUUGUCUAUUCUUAAAACAGUCCAAAAAGAGAUUUUUCUCCAAUUUUUUUUUUCUAUACUUGGAUGUGCUUCUUUUAUUUUUCUUGAUUCGAAAUAUGCAUAAGUAAAAAAAUGCAUCUCUAUUCAUCUUUGCUGGUUUUUUUUCCCUUGGGUGCGUAUUUCCUUCAAUUGCCAUUUGAUGUGUAAACAUUUUCCUUUGUGUUUUCCUUUUGUUCUUUUACCGUAUGAACAGUUUUGGUGAAUCAUGGUGAGAAGGAUGGUUUCACUGCGGCCAGAAUGAUCUUAUCUGGGAUUCCUCUGGACGAAACAUACCUACAAAAUCAUCUGUCCAUCCUGAUGAAUGAUGAAAAGAAGAGUUUGAAAGGAGGAAGGAUUCCUAUUCCAGAUUUUUACUAUCUAAUGGGGACAGCCGAUCCCACAGGAAUUCUUAUAAGUGAUGAAAUUUGUACAAUUGGUUGAUUAUGAAGUAUGAGAACAUCCUUUCUCGCCUCUCGAACUAUCCGCUCAUCGACUUUGCUGGAGAUAAAAGAACCCAUUGCUUCCCGGAUGCCAUUGUUGGUCUGAAAAUCCAUGAUGACCUUACUGUGGAUCCUUCACUGAUGAAGGGGAAUAAGAGCAUCCUCGAUUUCAGACACUUCCUUGACCAUGCUUACCAGCCGCGGAUAAAAGGUUCAAUACCAGACAAGGAGCAAGGGGUACAGCUGAAACUGAAUCAAUCGGCUUCAGUGCCAACUUUGGGGUGAUCGAUGAAAAUUAAUAAAGACGACCAGAAACACCAGGUGAAGAAACCGAAGCUAGUGAUAUUAUCGUGCAGUGGGUCCAGGGCGUUAGUUAACGAAGACUGCUUGGUUAAAAUGGCAGAGGAUAUGGGGUUCAGAGUAACGACUGAACUGGCGAAGAUGUAUCGCUUGCUUAAUAAGAGCGAGGUUAUGGUUGGUGUACACGGGGCUGCUUUGACCCACUUCCUUUUCCUGAAGCCUGGUUCUGUGCUCAUCCAAGUCAUUCCUUUAGGGACGGAUUCACCAGCUGAGACAUGCUUUGGUAAACCUGCUAGAGAGCUUGGUCUCAAGUAUAUUGGCUACAAGAUUUCGCCUAGAGAGAGCUCACUGUAUAAUGAAUACGAUCAAGAUGAUCCAGUCCUUACGAAUCCAAAGGGUUGGCAAUACACUAAGGAGAUCUAUCUCGACAGACAGAAUGUGAGCUUGGACAUGAGGAGAUUCCACAAGCGGCUGCUUCAAGCCUAUGACUAUUCCUUCAAGAAAAUAAACAGGCAAAUUAGCUACAAUCAAACAACCGACUUGUUUAAGCUUUGCUAACUACUUCCUUCUCUUCACCUUCCUUGAAUAAUUGUCGAUAUUUCUUUCCAUUGACUGAAUGGUUGAAACUUGAAUAAAGUACACUCAUCUGUGAAUCAGUUUUUCAGGUUCAUCAUAAACUUGUAAAGAAGGCAUUUUUAACAAUUUGGUGAACUGGAUGACUUGUUAAUGAUGCUCCUCUUAACCUUCACGUCUGUUUUCCUGACAGUAGCACUUUUGGGUAAAUCUAAGGCAAUGGCCAUCUGCUGGUUUGCAUCUUCAACUAAAUUAAGCUGAACUUCAAAGAUGGGCAUGGGAUCCUGUUUCGGAAAAUGAAACAUGGAAGUUGUUGCUAUAGUUGUGUGUGUGUUUUUUUAACUGACUAGCCCCUCAGUUACAUUCGAGGUUUAUAACUGAAUAAGUAAACUAUGUAUGAUCCAUACCACGCAAGGUAUCGCUGGAUAAACUGAGGGAUCUCGGUUUCAGGGCCUGUGAAGCUAUUAUAAUCAACUAUACUAAAAACAAGAACACUUGAUUCUAUAGUACCACAUUGGCGUCACGUUAUAUGAAUGUCGUGCUAUAAUCUUUGAUUUUUAGCUAGCUAUACAAUAGAAGAGCAGCCGGUUUAUUAGCAGAGGCACCUGUCAUUUCCUCCAUUUCUGUUAAAAGAUGCCGAUAGCUUUGAUGACUUAAGUCAGAGAUUCAGAGAACAAUGGGCAAGAGCAGUUUGAAAACAUUGCCAUAGAAAUUUCGGGCAUUAUUUGAAGAACUUGUGUCAAUAUGUACAUAAGCAGUGUGUUAAACCAAAAAAUUGCUAUUGCGUUUGUCGGGUAACUCUUCAGUCUUUCCCUCGUCAAUUCUCCGUGUCUCAUCUAUCAUGUCAAAACUUCAGUCAGCUUCGAGUCAAAGCAUCACUUCGCUGGUCAUUGAACACUAAAUUUCGCCAUCUAUAGCUACAGCCAACGCUUUGCUAUUGUAGAUGAUGGGUGGACUGGAGGAGGCGUCUUGGCAUUCCUUGUGUCUUUUACAUCUUAUUGAAGAAACAAAAACAAAUAAUCAGAUGAUGGACAUAAUGAGAUGAAAUAUAUACUGUGAAUUAAAUUUAAUUAUGCUGAUUCUGCUUACUGGAAUUAGUGGACUUGCCACCCAGAGAAGACCGGCGAGACUGGUCUGAACCAGCACCUGUUAGUGAUUGUCUCCUAAGUGUCCGUGUGUUGGCUGCAAUUGCCAAUACUCUAUUUUGUGUCCGUGUGUUGGCUGCAAUUGCCAAUACUCCAUUUUUAAUGCAAGUAGUAGAGCCUCUGACAAGUGAACGAGCUUCUGUCACAUUUCUUUGGUUCCUGCAGUUGCGUAGAAACCAAGUCUUAAUGGCAAGAUAAUGAUGUGAGCAAAUUCUCAUAUUACCCGUCAUUUUGGAAUUUUUUGGUUUAACACGCGCCAUGGAAACCGAGGAAAUCAGCCAGCUAGCGGAGCACCUGAGGCCGCGCUGCCGCAUCUUGCAGGAGGCGGGGAGAAGCCGGCGGCGAGGGGCCGGGGAAGCGAAGGUCCGCGGGAAGCUCGAGUCCCUCCGGCACGGCCCGCUCUGUGAAGAAUACACGAACAGGAAGGAGAAACAGAGAAGAUGAAGAAACAAGCUUGACAAAGAUGAAGACUCAAAAGAAAAGGAAAUGAUCUUGAGCUUCUGUAUUUGGUUCUCUUGCUCUUCAGAAAAAGAGAGAGAGAGAGAGUAAACGUUUUAUAAAGUGCUUCUUGUAUUCGUUCUUUGUACAUUCCGUAUUUAUAUGCGAGAAACAAAACUUGUACAACUGUUUUAACAGAAAUGAAAACAGAAGGAGGGAAAAUAACAGAACACGGAAAAUAUUCAGUUUUGACUUAAAACUGAAUAUCUAUUAUUCAAUGAGCACGUGUUGUUGAUGUAACUCAUGCUUUCUUUGUUCUUCUUUUCUUUAUCCUCGCAAGUAGAGUUGAGUUUAUCGUUUCCAUCCUUGAUCGAAUCAUUAGCACCAGCAUUUGUUAUUGCACUUCCCAAGCCAGCAGUCUGCCUUGUCUUACUUCCCCUGUUUGCACCAGAACUUAACUCCCGUACAUCAGUAUCUAUCUUUGACUUUAAUUUGAACUUCUUUACUUCAUCUUCCUUGUUUCCAUUCAAGCUCGGCUCUUGAUCUCCAGCAUUUGUUUUUGACUUUGGCUUAUAUGCUUUAACAUCCCCCCGCAAAUUGGGAAGGGGUAAAGUACCAAUUCCCAAUUUGGUACGAAUGUCAAAAUGAGCGAACCGUGAGAUAGGUUUUGUAAAAAUAUCAGCAAGCUGGUGAGCGCUUGGAAUAUAACACACAUUGAGAGAGCCAGAAGCAACCUUCUCUCGUACAAAAUGAAAGUCAACUUCGAUGUGUUUGGUGCGGGCAUGUAAAAUGGGAUUAGCAGUAAGAGCAAUAGCAGACUGAUUAUCACAGAAUAAACGAGUUGGUGAAGAAAGUGACAGACCAAUAUCACGAAGAACAAAGCUGACCCAUGUCAGCUCAGCAGUUGCAGAGGCAAGGGCACGAUAUUCUGCUUCAGUAGAAGAUCGACUUACAGUAGGUUGUUUCUUUGCUGUCCAAGAAAUGAGAUUAGAGCCGAGAAAUGUACAGAAGCCAGUUGUGGAUCUUCUAGUCUCUGUGCAACCAGCCCAGUCUGCAUCUGAAAAACCAUAGAGUUGUUUGGAACUUCGAGAGUGGAGAAAAAUACCACAGCUGAUAGUUCCUUUAACAUAACGCAGAACCCUCUUUAAGUUAUUAAAGUCUGCAAUAGUUGGUUGCUGCAUUUUCUGGCAUAACAUGUUUGUAGCAUAGGCAAUAUCAGGAUGAGUCAAUGUUAGAUAUUGAAGACCACCAACAAGACUUCGAUAUUCAAGAGGAUUAGAUAAGGGAAUGGAAUCAGAUUGCAGGAUAUAUGGUCUCUGAGAUAGUGGAGUAGAGAUUGGUUUACAAUCAAUCAUUUGAGCUCGAGUAAGAAGAUCGAUUGCAUAUUUGGUUUGACAGAGAAACAGAUCAGUAGAGUUGCGUUUAGCUUCAAUGCCAAGGAAGUAGUGAAGAUAUCCUGGAUCUUUCAUGUGAAAUUGAAGGCUUAGAGAAUGAAUUAAACUCGAAAGUAAUGAGGGUGAGCUCCCAGUUAAGACAAUAUCAUCCACAUACAGUAAGAGAAGUACAGUGUCUUGUCCAUUACGAAGAAUAAACAGAGAGGGAUCAGUGGAGCUGCAGACAAAACCAUUUUCAAGUAAGAAGGUACUAAACUUAUCAAACCAUGCACGAGGAGCUUGUCGAAGACCAUAAAGAGAUUUCUUGAGGAGGCACACAUGAUUAGGUGUUUGUGACUGUAUGAAACCAGGGGGCUGCUCCAUGUAAACUGUUUCAGUCAAUGUGCCAUGUAGGAAUGCGUUCUUGACAUCAAGUUGAUGAAUAGGCCAUUGAUUCAUCAUGGCUACAGAUAGAACUAACCGAAUUGUAGCAUGUUUGACAACUGGGCUGAAAGUUUCAGUAAAAUCUACACCUUCUUCUUGGUGAAACCCUUUAGCUACAAGACGAGCUUUUAACCUAUCAAGACUUCCAUCAGAUGCCAAUUUGGUUUUAAACACCCAUUUGCAGCCUAUCACAUUCAUGUCAGUUGUUCGAGGAAUUAAAAUCCAGGUAUGAUUAUGAUGUAAAGCAUCCAUCUCUUCUUUCAUAGCUGUGUGCCAUCCUUGAUUAGCUAAAGCUGACUUAACUGAUCUAGGUUCAGCAGGGACUUUGUAUUCAGCAAGACAAGCAUAUUUAGGAUUAGUUUUGAUAAUUCCAGAUUUUGACCGAGUCUGCAUAUGGUGAGAUGUAGGUGUACCGUGUGAAGUAGAAGUAGUAGGAGCAUGGUUGCUAUUGUUUCCACUGAAGUGAACAACUGCAGGAUGAGUUAUAGUGCUAGAUAUUUCCUGAUCUUGUGAACAGCAAUGAUCCUGAUGAGUAGGAACUUCAGCCUGUGUUGUUGUAAGGGAAGUAAGGUUGUCCUGUUCUUCAGGAGGCAAAUAGGAUGAAGUAGAAUGAUUGAUGCCAUUAUUAUGCAGUUGUUGUAUAGAAUCUUGUGUUGAUGAAGAGAUAUCAUUUCGGCCUACUGGAUCCAUAAACUUUACCUCUUCUGUCCAUAGUUGAUAUAGUGUUGUAUAGGAUGUGUUCUUUGUCACACGGGUCUUAUUGAAAGGAAAGAACCUUUCAUCAAAGAUAACAUGCCUACUGAUGUAUAUUCGACCAGUAGUAGGAACAAGACAUCUGUAUCCUUUGUGACGUUCGCUAUACCCAAUGAAUAUACAGGUAAGAGACCGUGGAUCUAGCUUGUGUUGAGCAUAGGGUCUGAGACAAGGAAAACAAGCACAGCCGAAGACUCUGAGAUGAUCAUAGCUUGGUUCUUUCUGAUAGAGUCUACUAUAUGGUGAUUGCAUCUGUAGCUUUGGUGUAGGAAGCAUAUUGAUGAUAUAAAUGGCUGUUAGGAAAGCAUCAACCCAAUAUUUUAAAGGAACUUCAGCAUGAUAGAGCAUAGCUAGACCUAACUCAACAACAUGGCGAUGCUUUCUUUCAGAAACACCAUUCUGUUCUGGUGUAUGAGGAUAGGACACUUGUUGUUUAAUGCCAUGGCUAUGUAAAUGUGUCUGAAACUUGUGACUAACAAAUUCACCUCCACCAUCACAUUGGAAGGUCUUGAUUUUGCAGUCAAGUUGAUUUUCGACCUGUUUCUGAAACAGAAUAAAGAUGUCAUAGAAGUCUGCUUUUGCUCUCAUCGGGUAAAUCCAGCUGAAUCGAGAAAAAUCAUCUACAAGGAUGACAUAAUACUUGAAGUUUUGAAAUGAAAUGACUGGUGAAGGUCCCCAGAUAUCGCAGUGCACCUUUUCUAAAGGUGUAGAUGUUACAGAUUCAGACAAUGGAAAUGGUAGAGCAGUAUGUUUUGCAAUUUGACAACUUCGACAUAUAUUCUGUAUUCGAGUGUUACAGUAAAUGUGUUGUUGAUUUUGCAGGUACUGCAGUGUUUUCAGAUUGGUGUGAGCUAAACGCUGAUGCCAUAGAUCUUCUCCUAGAGCUCUGUGUCUCUGAGUUAGAAAUGCUUCUAUGGUGUGAGAAUCAACUCGGUACAAUCCUUUAACCUUCCUUCCAAGCAGCAGAGUUGUGUUGGUGUAAUUGUCCUUAAUGUAUACACCAAUUUUAUCAAAAACGAAGGAACAUGGAUAAUCAUCCGUUAGUUUCGAUACAGAUAGAAGAUUCUUCUUUAUAUCAGGAACAAUUAACACAUCAUUCAGAGGUAAUGAAUCCACUUUAGUAUGCAACAAUGUAUCACCAGUAUAAAUGAUAGGCAAGCAUGAUCCGUUUCCAAUCAUCACUGUAUCAGUUCCAUGGUAUCUAGAAGGAUUAUGAAGAAUACCAGAGUUGGCUGUAAUAUGAGCUGUUGCACCCGUGUCUGGAUACCACUCAUUUCCACUUGAAUCUUCGAUGUGUAGGGCUGCUAAGGCUGUUGGAACUUCCUCUGCUUGGUAUGAAUUAUCGAAACGAUACCAGCAGUGAAGUGCAUCAUGACCUGGUCUUCUGCAGAUUUGACACUCCAGUCGAGUGUUUUCUUUUGGUUUCUCCAUCUGAGCAUUUUUAUGGAGAGUGAAGUUUGAGGAAGGAUAGGUCUUGGUAUCUGUAUACCUUUGAGUUGAGCCAUUAUAUGGUCUAAAACCCUGACCAGACCCCAAAGCAGAGGAGGUAUUAAGCUGGUUAAACUGUUGACUGCCUUGUUCAUAGUUCGAAGUAUUGUUUCUGUAAUUCAUACUUCUUCCAGGAUAACCAUAGUUUCUAUAUCUGUUAUUGAAUGACCUUCCUCUUCCAAAACUUCUUCCUCCUCGACUAUAUCCUCUUGUACUUCCAAGACUACUAUUUUGCUGUACAAAAUCUCUGUUAACCUCCUCUUUGUGUAUAGCUUCAUUCUUCCUUUGGCCAUAGUAUGCUAAAUUUGGAUUGACCUGACUCGAGGAGUAGUUUUGUAGCCUUGUUUCAAAUCUUUCCAAAUGUGAAAUUACUUCAUCAUAUUCAGGUUGUUGCUUUAAACAAUAGAUUGUUGUUUUAAAGCUCUCAUACUCAAACCCUAGACCUUCCAAAAUACCGAACAGUUUUGUUAGCUCAUCCACUGGUUUCCCUAUUGCAUUCAACUGAUCACAUACAGACUUAAACUCUCUGAGAUAUGUUGAUAAAGAUCUAUCACGUUUCUGACAGGCUUGUAAUUUUCCCCUUAACUCAAACUCCUUUGCCACAGAUUUUUGAGUAAAUCGAUUGAGCAAGGUCUGCCAUAGUUCAUAUGCUGUGUUUAGGCCAAUUAUUAGACUGAGUAUGUUUUCGGAGACAGCACCACUAAUCCAGGAGGACACUAACUGAUCUGUCUUGAUCCAAUCAUUAUAAUCAAGAUUAGGGAUCUCAAUUGUUUGAUUUCCUUCUUCGACCUGCAGUGUUUUAGCAGGUGAUAGAACUUCUCCAUUAACAAACCCAAACAAGUCUUGACUCCUUAAGAAUCUAUGAAACUGAUCUUGCCAUAGAAGGAAAUUUUCCUCAGUUAGCUUGAUGGUAACGAAAUUCGAGAUAUUGACAUGAAUAGGGAAUGGAUAUUUCAAGCUUCUUGCUGCCAUUCUUUGUUUCCAGAUCUUCAAAUAGUUCUGUUUAUAAACUCAGACUUUUGCUAGUUUAGGAGUAUCGUUGUAGUACACCUAUUUAUGAUGUAGAUCUGGAUGAGAAUCAGAAUCAUUUACUCACAGAUCUAUGAAGCUUUGAAUCCUGACUUCAAGUUGCUGUAGAUUCAAUCAUACUGAUGCAGCAUCGAGGUGAUUUCUCCAGGAUAUACUGCUCUGAUACCAUGUGAAGAAUACAUGAACAGGAAGGAGAAACAGAGAAGAUGAAGAAACAAGCUUGACAAAGAUGAAGACUCAAAAGAAAAGGAAAUGAUCUUGAGCUUCUGUAUUUGGUUCUCUUGCUCUUCAGAAAAAGAGAGAGAGAGAGAGAGAGAGUAAACUUUUUAUAAAGUGCUUCUUGUAUUCGUUCUUUGUACAUUCCGUAUUUAUAUGCGAGAAACAAAACUCGUACAACUGUUUUAACAGAAAUGAAAACAGAAGGAGGGAAAAUAACAGAACACGGAAAAUAUUCAGUUUUGACUUAAAACUGAAUAUCUAUUAUUCAAUGAGCACGUGUUGUUGAUGUAACUCAUGCUUUCUUUGUUCUUCUUUUCUUUAUCCUCGCAAGUAGAGUUGAGUUUAUUGUUUCCAUCCUUGAUCGAAUCAUUAGCACCAGCAUUUGUUACUGCACUUCCCAAGCCAGCAGUCUGCCUUGUCUUACUUCCCCUGUUUGCACCAGAACUUAACUCCCGUACAUCAGUAUCUAUCUUUGACUUUAAUUUGAACUUCUUUACUUCAUCUUCCUUGUUUCCAUUCAAGCUCAGCUCUUGAUCUCCAGCAUUUGUUUUCGACUUUGGCUUAUAUGCUUUAACACGCUCAGCCCCCGGCUCAGCAAGCACGUGGACAUCGUCGUCCUUCAUCAGGAUGUUCUCGAUCUCGUCGAACCACGAGAGCCCCGAGUCUGGAGACGACGACGACGCGAUCGUCGAGGAGUAAGCGCCGAUGAAGUCGCCGGUCUCAAGGAGGUCGCUGAAGAAGUCGUCGAGGUUGAUGUGAGACAUCACGUCGUCCUUCAUAUGCAACUCCAGAUCCACCAUUAGAACACUAGGGAAAAAAAAAAACAACAAAACAAAAAAAAAGGAGGAAGAAGAUGAAGGCGACGAUGGGAGAUCUCUACAAAAACAUCUUAUUUGCUCGCGGUCCUCUUGCCCGUGCGGUGGUUCGUCGGUCGGAAAGAGGGAAUGUAGAGAGAGAGGGAGGUCGCGGUCCUCUCGCCGGUCCCGUGUGGUGGUUCGCCGGUCGGAAAGAGGGAGGGCAAAGGGAGGGAGCUAGAUCUCGCGGUCCUCUCGCCGGUCCGGUGCGGUGGUUCGUCGGUUGCUGGCGGUGGUUCGCCGGUCGGAAAGAGGGAGGGCACAGAGCGACUGGGAGGUCGCGUCCUGUUCGUCGGAGAGAGAGAGGGAGGGCAGAGUGAGAGGUGCGAAGAAAGAGAAGAAGGAGAAAACCUCGCUCAAGUCCGAAAUUUUUUUAAAAUGGCGCCUGAUUUUCUCCUCAGUCUGACCAGAUUGUGGGUCCCACGCCGAGCCGAAACGAGCCGAGCUGAGCGAGUCUUUUCAUUUUCCAGCGGGUCCCCCAGGACAGGUGUCAAAAGCUGGGUGGUAUGUGCGCGCCACGUCAGCAGAUGACGUGGCGCGAACGAACCACUGAAUAUUUUCUCGCCAUAUUCAUGCUGAGCGCCGAAUUCUCCUCGCAACGGAAGGGAAAAACUGAGUGAACUGAAGCGAGGACGUUUCCAGCAUGAGUGAGUGGGGAAAAUGAGAGCGUCCUCAUUGAACGGCAACAGUUCAUGUCUUUUUCUUGGAAGCAUCGUCCGUAGUUGCGAUUCUCUUGCUUUAGGAAGCGUUUGGAGUCCUCUUAAGGCGCGAAACCCGGCUAAAACAGCAGGGCUCUUGAGUUGCAAAUCGAUGUCGACGAAUUCGCCGGUGGUGCGAGUGAAGGAAAAGAUCGAUUUGACAGAGAAGGAGAAGAUGAUCUUCGAUAGGCUUCUCGCCACCGUUGGCCAUUUCGAUCUCUCUACCCGGCUGCGGGUGGCUGGUGGCUGGGUCCGUGAUAAGGUUGGUGUAUUUGGUAGUGCUGUUCGCUUCGAUGCGCCUUUUAAGUUCUUUUGCAGUACCAAUCGUGUAAAAGCAUGUUGUUUUGUGUUUCUUCUGAGAUAUUUUACCCAAUUACAUGUUUAGUUAUAAUUAGUUCAAGUUCUUACUUUUCCCUUCCCAUAAAACACAGUUUUUUCUUUGUUUGACUGGGGGUUCUUGUUUCUUUGUAGUGCAAAUUGUAGAAAAUGCCUUGCUUUUGUUAUUACUUAUGAAGUUUUGUUUCUACAAUCAGUAGGAACAUCAACUAAUCGAGGUCUUUAUCGUUGUGGUUCCCUUGUUUGUUAAAGUACUGGGAUUGAGACUGCAUUCUUUUGAUUAUUUAGUCAUUGGGCGUUAUUGUUGCCCCAAUCAUAAAUAGAUAAAGGGACGAGUGGGAUAGGAACCUGAUUGAUUCUCCACCGAUGGAAUAUGACCAAAAACCACUUGGGGGGGGGGGGGGGGGGUUUAACUUUAUGGCGAUGCAAGUAACAAAUCUUUAAGUUUAAGAAUGCUAAUGGUUGAUUUGAUAGUCUUUUUUUUAAUAGAUUUAGUGUUACAAGUUACAACAGUAAUGUGAACUUCAUAAUUUCGAAGGCUGUUUUGGGGAAAAAUAGGCAUCUGCUAGUUUUUCUGGCAAUUGCCUCGACAGUCAACACUAAUAGCCAGUGAAGUAAGAUGUUUUCCUAAUCCACGUGAAAUUUACCUAAAUACAAAACAAAACCAAGAAGAUGUACUCUUUCAACAAGUCUAUAAUAGCCUAUUUUCUAUGAUUACUCGCUGCUUUUGGUGGUUUAUUACUCUCAGCUGCUGCCAUCUUGAGCCAGUUGGGUGCCCUUACAUGUCACGUAAUAUUAGUGAGUGACAUUUAGACAGGUGAAUUACUUCUAUGAAGAGUCAGGAUUCCCUUGGCACCACAUUUAUGAGUUACUCUCUUGUUGAUAUGCACACAUUCACAUUAUAUAUGCUAUUGAUUACUAAAUUUGCAUCCCCAUACCAUCAUUAUGACCUGUUAUUGGGCGGUGAUGCCCCUUUACUACAACCCUCAAUAAAUAGGACCUUUCCCAAGCUUCAACGAGGUGCCGGGGUAAUUAUUUGAGUAGAGAAUGAUCAUAUGUUCCUGGAAAGCCCCCUAGAUGCUUUCAAACUGUUAUAAAUGAUUUAUUAUCUGUCAUUUAUAGCAAAAUUUUUGCUCAGAAUCAUUUAUCAUGUUAAAGCUGGAAGUGAUUUGUAGAGAAUGGGUACAAUUAUUGCACUUGAAUCAAUGUGAAUGACAUUGUGAAAUUGGUGGAUUUAUCGUGUUAAACCUAUUCUUUGAAGAAGAUGAUGAACAAACUCACGUUUUCUCAUCUUUACAGCUUCUAGGAAAAUGUUAUGAUAUCGAUAUUGCUCUUGAUGACAUGUUGGGUAGAACAUUCAUUGAUAAGGUUACCCAAUAUUUGUAUUGGGAUUCAUUAUCUUGUAUUUGUUUAAUGUAUCCAUAUUCCAGAUCAAGUCUAAAUUACGAAGGCAUCAUGUUUUGUUCUAACCAAAUCUGUAAGUUCUGGAGAAUUAGAAUCAAAUCAGAGUGCCAUAUCUUUUUGGGGAAGGAUUAUCAUCAUUCUACAUCUGAAAAAAUGUCCAUUGCUGGGCACGAACAUGUCCUUCCAGGACAGUUAGCAAUGUAUUACAAGAGUAUUAGAUGGCUGAAAUGUGAAUCCUGCAAGCACAGUGUCAUUUCUAGCAGGCAUGGUAAUCCCGCUUUGUUUUGAGUGGGGGGACAAAGUCUACGAGCUGAAGUAAUUUUAACCUGGAAACCUCGCCAGGCUGCUGGCCACAUACUUCACACUUUGGUGUGAUUUCGCAGAAUUCCAUCUGGGAUUUUAGUCAUUUGACAAUGGUAUUGGAUUAGAAGAUAAGUAUAUAAUAAAUUGAACAUUGUGGAGAGCGCUUGUCAAAGUGCAACCUCCCUUCCUUUAGAUAAAUAGAAGACUCUCUCCCAUGCUAUCCUUUUGGUAAAACCUAUCAUUUCAGCAUUUAAGGAAGGCCCAUUAUUCAUGUCAUCCAAUUCAAAACAUGUCCUAACAACAGGGAAUUUGUUAGUUUUUUUUGUCUUGUCUACUGGCAAAGAAUUUUUGGAAAGUGAACCAAGUGCGAAACCCAGUUUGAAUCAUCAUGAAGUUGCAUCUUCUCAAUUAACAUGAUUAUUUGCUGGUUAAUAUUCAUCUUGAAGUGAAGAAGAUUGCAUCUUAGGUUGAGCAACAACCCUGUAUGCUUCUUGUGAAGAAUUAUUGCGUCAUGGGCAAAAUGAUGCUGAACCAGUUGCCUAGUCCUUGGUCCCAACCACUUCUAACUAGUUUAGUACUACCAAAAGCUUUAAAAGGUUGGAUCGUUGAAUGGUCUUGAAUUGUAUGGCACAGUAGCACAAGGCCCUUGAGCCAACCCACUGAACUUAUAAAGUCUUGAAUAAUUUAGACCAAGGGAUUUGUACUACUGGCUUUUAGUUUUGUCAAAAUAAUGUCAUAUGAACUUGGUCUUGGUCUGAGAUUGCAACGUGCCUGUGGUCAAGUUAAAAUAGCCACGUAUGUGAUCUUGAAAUCACCUUUGGUCAAUCUUGUAGAUAGAGGUCCUAGUGGUUUAGGCUGCCUUUGUUGUGAGCUAUUCUUUGGUUCAGUUUCCAAUUGAGUUGAUUUUUUUUUUCCUUUGGCCGAGUGCUACUUGUGAACUAUAGCAGUCCAACAUAAAGAUUUUUUCAUCGACUUGUUUUUCUUUUAUUGGUGCUCUCCCAUAAGGAUGCUACUGGCUAGGCUCUUUUACUAAAGUGUGACACAUGGACAUUGCAAUGAAGCUUGAAAAAUAAGCAAAUGGAAGCUGUCCAUUGAAGCUUGUUCUUGUUUGGUUCAGCUCCAAAUUUGCACAAUUGGAGCUUACCAAUUUUCUUGGAAAUCCUCAUUCUUAUCCUAUUUUUAUGUAACACGGUGCCUUUCAUAGCUCUUUUUCCUUUGCUUUUGUCCAUAAAAACUAUCGAGCCUCCUCUUUGUGCCUGCUAAAACUCUUUUUGGGUCCCAUCCAUCUAUAUGUGCAUGUGCAAAUAUACGAUUUAAAUGCUGAUAUGUGACCCUGGAAAUAGAGACUAGGUGGUUCUAGCUAUUGCAAAUUGUUUUUUCCUAUUGUUCUCGACUCUUUUCUCAUGAAAUCUUCGACCUUUUUUAUUCCCACCCCCCCCCCCCCCCCCCACUUUGCCAUGUUGUUGUCAUAUUUAGGUCCCCCAAUAAAAGGCGAGAAGAAAUUGCCCUGCUGUGUAGACAUUUGUUAUGGAAUAGGAAACAGUUAUUCGUGAAAUCCUCAUGUUAUACUGCAUCAAUUUCUGUGGCGGAUGGUUUUUUUUCCUAGUCAGAUGGGUGGUUCAUGCUUCUACACUUACAGAUUCUCAUGUCUCUUUCUUGUUGCUGUUUGUCUUGAUCGUUUUUGCUUUUUGGUAAUAAUCACUCUACUUAAAUUAUUUCACGGGCACAGCCCAAAAUCAGCUUAUAUGCUUAGACUGAAUGGAUUUCUAUAAUUUUCCCAGUUGAUAUCUGCUUCCGUGAAAUUUGUUUUACAUGCUGCUGCUGCCGCCGCUGCCGCUGCUUUAAUUGAGAGCAUCUUCUCUCACUGAACAUGCUAAUAUCAGAGGCGCAAUGGAGAUCCACUACGUGUAUACAUGGAUCUGGAGGCUGGACGAAGGAGAUCUGGCCGAGAAGAUAUCUUCAUCAGUUACCAUGCAAAAGACGAUGUCCAGUCAACCUAUGCUGGAUCACUUUUCCACAAUGGUCGAAAUUACCACGUGUCUUCUUAUAAGGACCAUGUGAGCGAUCAUCUCGUUAGUCUCUCUUGAGUCUUAUCUUGAUUCUCUGUUUAUUAACUUAUGAUCCCUUAAAUUUAUUAGAUUUUGUUUUUGCACCCCAGGAGACGCUGGUUUAUUGGUCUUCCUCUCGCUGCCUUCCUCAAAGGAACGGACUUGCAAAAAAUCUCCUCAAGUUGCUGCCUCACCAUUCAUUUGGCAAGUGCUUAAACAAUGUCGGCGGUCUCGACAAGACACUUUCUUUCUAUCUUGAGUGUGCCAACGAUGUCAGUGUCACUCCAAAAUGGUGGGACCAUUUGCACUGCGCCAUGUCUCAUUAUAAGUUUGUUCUCGCAAUCGAGAACACUUACGGAAAGUUACGUGACAGAGAAACUAUUUUAUGCUCUGGAUGCCGGGGCAGUCCCCAUCUAUUUCGGUGCCCCCAACGUCAUGGACUUUGUUCCUCCGCAUUCGAUCAUAGACGGGAACAAGUUUAGCUCCAUGGAGGAAUUGGCAACUUUCGUGAAGUCCCUCGCGAAUGAUCUGGUGCCGUACGCCGAAUACCAUGCAUGGAGAAGAUGUGGUGUAUUAGGUAAUUAUGGAAACACACGUGCGGCAAGCCUCAACACCUUGCCGUGCCGGUUAUGUGAGUUCAUUAGCAAAAAAGGUGGCAGGAACGCGAGAGCUUUAUGAAGAGCUGAUUCUUUUUUAACACCCGUUUUUUUUCCCUUAUCAUCCCAAUGAUGUGCGGUGUUUUAUAAGUUUAGUCCAUGGUCAUCGACAUAUAUAAAGAGAGAUGGAUAUAUGAGGAGACGGUAGAUUAGACAUUGAUGUAAACAGGCCACUAACAAAGUCAUAUUAAUGAAUACAAAGUCGUCAUGAUCUUUGUGUUUGGACUUCUCUCCAAUCCUGUGAAAGGGCUUAGGAUGGAUUUAGGAGUCUUCAUGUGACCCGUAUGUGGUGAGAGUCGCACGGAUGGUAAUAAGAGGGGUUUGAGCCGUAUGUAGUGACAGUCGCACUGAGGGGGGUUCUAGCCGUAUGCGGUGAGAGUUGCACGGACGGUAAUGAGGGGAGUUCACGUUUAUGUGGAGAUGUAUUCUGUCCUUUCGAUGGGUUGUACAUUCAUAUCAUGUACACCUACUUUUAUGGGUUGAUGGUGCGAAACAAUUGAGAGAAUUCCAUCUUUUACUGGGCCCAUUUUUCCACUAAACAGAUAUUAAUAACUAUUUUGAGAACAUUUAGUGCAUUUUUAGUACACUUAAGUUUUUAAAGUUUACCUAGAAAUUAAAAGGUUCAAAGAGGAACGUAGUUUAUAUUACACUACCGAAGCUUAUUGCUAUUUCUUUCUUGUUGACUUAGGCCUUAUUUGUUUAGGAUCAAGUAAAGAGUAAUAAAUACUUUUUUUUUUUAAUAUUUCCAUUAAAUUUAAAAUAUUAUCCCAUUCUUUUAAAAAAAAAAAUGAAACAAAUUGUGUGUGAAUCUAGGUGAUAAUAUAUUACUUGUUGUGAGAGUUUUAGAUGUUUGGAGAUAAAAACAUUUAAAACACGUUUACUUACCUAUUCAGACACGCCCUUAUGCGAGAUCUUUCUUGUGGCUCUCAUUGAUUGGAGUAGGAUCUACAGUAACAAUUAGAUGCUUAAUAUAUGCUACUCCAAGAAUUAUUAUCGAACCUCAUUGAAAGUUGUUGAGAACUAGUAAAAACAACUUUUUUAGGGUUUUAGGACUUUUACUCUAUCCUCUUGAGAAGUUGUUGCCUUGUCGGUAGACAACACUUGCAUAUAUCUGCAUACAUCUAAUUGUUAUUAAUACAAGAUAAUAGUACAAAUGGACUCUUAACUUUGGUCAAAUAUGUAAUGUUGUCAAUGAAUUUUUAAUUUGUGCAAUAUGGUCUCUGAAUUUUGAUUUAAUAUACGAUGUUGUUCUAAACUUUUAAUUUAUUUAAUGUGGUUCUUGAACUAUUAGUAAAUGUUUAAAUGUAUUUUUUAGACUACAUGAAAAUGUCGAAAGAUUCAAAGACCAUAUUGAACAUUAGACCGUGGUGUAGAAACCACGUUAAAUAAAUUAAAAGAUCAAUGAUGACAUUACACAUUAGAUUAAAGUUUUGGGAUCAUAUUAAAUAAAUUAUAAAAUUGUGCAUUAGACCAAAAGUUUAACGACGUUUGUGUCAUUUUCCUUUAUGAAUAUCGUGAAAUUCUUAUUACACUUUAGAUGGUUAUUAUCACGAGAGAUCAUCCCUUUUUUUUGGGAACGAGAUGAAAUGACUCGGUAGGCAUUUGCCUGUUCCUUUUUUUUUUUUUUUUUUUGUCUCUUCUCUUCUUUUGCUAAGCAAGCUUCGAUUUGCCAUAUGUUAAUCAGCCAAAUCGAUAGCUCUUCCCUUUCUUAAGCAGAACAUCUUUCAAGACAGGUUAUUCACAUUUCAUGUGAUGGUAAGAGGGAAUUGAAAGUUAAGUAGUGGUCUUCCUUUGGGUUCACAACUGACCCUUUUUCAAAGAGCAAUUCACACGACAAAAGACGUGCAAUAGGCAUCCGCAUGUUAUUUCUUCGUCUUUUCUCUCGUUUUUCUAAAGCAAGAUCUGAUUCGCCAUCUAUUAAUCCACUAAAUUGAUAGCUCUUCCCUUUCUUGAGCAGAAGACCUUUCAAGAUGGGUAAUUCACAUUUCAUUUGAUGGUAAUAGGGAAUUGAAAGCUAAGCAAUGGUCUUCCUUCGGGUUCACAACUGACCAUUUCUUGAAGCGCAAUUGACAUGAGUCAAAAGACCAACGGUAGGCAUCCGCCCGUUCUUUCUUCGUCUCUUCUCUUCUUUUCUAAAGCAAGUUAUGAUUUGCCAUCUGUAAUCCCCCAUAUCUAUAGCUCUUUCUUUUCCUGAGCAAUUCCUUUGGGUUCAAAAUUGACCCUUUCUCAAAAAGCAAUUCACACCUAUAAUGUUGAAAAGCGAUUGUUUAGGACCCAUGAAGUGACUAUAUAUCAUAUGAGAAGUAAACCUUGUCGUAAAAUUAAUGAACGUGGAAGCUAAUCAAGAUCUUGCUGUUAAGUCAUUGCGCAAUCACCGGAGAAAUAUACGAGGCAUAAUAAAGGACCCCAAAGAUUUACGUGGAUUGAAUAAUUUGAAUGCGAAAUCAACGAAGAAAUAAAUGAGGAACAAUAAAGGACUCCAAAAAUUUACGUGAAUUGAAUGCGAAAUCAACGAAGAAAUAAAUGAGGAACAAUAAAGGACCCCAAAGAUUUACAUGGAUUGAAUGUGAAAUCAACAAAGAAAUAAAUGAGGAACAAUAAAGGACCCCAAAAAUUUACUCGAUUCAUUCUGUGUCCGUAGCUACAUUCACGAGGAGAACUAGUAGCAAAAAUUUACUAUAAUCGGAGAAUUGGAGUUACAAUUACUUAACUUGUUCGAGCGUUUUGCAUGUCUAAAUUAGACCCAAACCCAGGGUAUUAACAAAUAAACAACACAUUUUAGAUGUAAAUAACUCAAAGCACAAAUUACACGCUUUGAUCGCGACCAAAUAGGAGCUCUCUUUGAAGCGGCCGAAAAUCAAGGACCUCAUUUGCUCUUGAUUUCCUUUCUUCUCGGCAGGGCUUUCCAGUUGUUGCGAAUAUAAAAUUAGACAAGUAUGUGAAUGCCCCUUUCUUUGGUUUGGCCAAUUUGCAGUACUUUUUGAGUCCGACUGUUGGUCUUGGUCUUGGUCAAACUUGCAAAUUUAUACAAUCGGGUUGGGUUUCGCCGUGUAAGAGGGUGUCUUUUGAUCAAUGGAAAUGCAUAUGCUUUUGAAGGUCUUCAUUUCUUAUUCAAUUCAAUCUGGAAGAGACUUAGGCCACGUUUGGUAACCAUUUUGCUUCGGGGAACAAUUUUUGAUCAGAAAUGAUUUUUUCUGAUUUUGCUCCUGGGAAUAAUUUAUGAGUAAAAAAACGCAUUUAAUAACUGUCCGAAAUUUCUACUUACAAUAUAAAAAUGCGUUUGGUAAAAUUCUUAAUUUUUAAAUACUUUUAUUAUAUAUAUUUUUUCUCUUUUUCUCUUCUUCCUCCUCCUUCUUUGUAGCCGGUCGCCGGCCACUGCCGUGGCCAGUGACCGGUGACUUGCUGGGCGAGUUCAGCGAGCUUGUCAGAGCCUCACCAAGUUAGGGCGAGGUCUGGCGAGUUCGCUGAAGGCGAGCCUGGUCAAGGCGAGUCGAGCGAGGUCGGCCUCGCCUAGCCCAACCCAGCCAAGGCGAGGUCGUGCCUAGCCCAGCCACGGCGAGGCUCGGGCCGAGGGCCGGUGAUGCUCUGGCGAGGUCACCAGCUCUCGUCUGGCCGACAACUGGUCAAAGGGAAGAGAAGAGAAAAAAAAUAGAAGAAAAGAAAAAAAUAGAAACUGAUUCUAGAAAUUAUUUUCGGGAACAAGAAGCAAAUUUUUUCUACUUCUUGAUCUGUUCCAAAUUUACUUUCGGGAACAAAAAAACUAUUUUUUUGUUCCCGGGAAAUUUACCAAAUGCAUUUUUUUUUUUUUGUUCUAGGGAACAAAAUAAUAUAAUCAGAUACUAUUUGGAGUAAAAAUAAACAUGCCCUUAGCUUGCAACUUGUUAGGACAUAGAACCCAGUCAUGACUGGAAAAGCAUAUGGUGAUUAUGUUCCUAUUUUUCUAUGCCCAACUCCCAGUAUGGAUGAGUUCAAAAUAAAGAUUUAUCUUUUUUUUUUUGGUCGAGUGCUUCUUGUGAACCAUAGCAAUCCAGCGUAAAGAAGGUGUCUUUUAGAGUCCAAAUCUUAGUCUUGGUCUUGGUCUUGGUUAAACUUGCAAAGUUAUCCAAUCGAGUUGGGUUUUGCCGUGUAAGGUGUCUUUUGAUUAGUGGAAACGCAUAUACUUUUAAAGGUCUUCAUUUCUUAUUCAAUGCAAUUUGGAAGAGACUUUGCUUUCCACUUGUUAGGACACAGAAUCCAGCCACAAUUGGAAAAGCAUAUGGUGAAUAUGUUCCUGUUUUUCUAUGCCCAACUCCUAGUAUGGACGGGUUCAAAAUAAAGAUUUAUAUAUAUAUAUUUGUCGAGUGCUACUCGUGAACCAUAGCAGUCCAGCGUGAAGACUUUUUCAUCAGCUUGUUUUUUUUUUUUUAAUCAUUAUUAUUAUUGGUGCUUUCCAAUAAGAAUGCUAAUGGCUAGGCUCUUUCACUAAGGUGUGACACAUGGACAUUGCAAUGAAGCUUGAAAUAAGCCAAAUAAGCACAUGGAAGCCGUCCCUUGAAGCUUGUUUUCGUUCGGUUCAGCACCGAUUUUGCACAAUUGGAGUGUAACGAUUUUCUUGGAAAUACUCAAUCAUAUCCUAUUUUCAUGUAAUGCGGUGGCCGUUCUAGCUCUUAUUACUUUGCUUUGGUCCAUAAGAAUAAUCGGGCCUCAUAUUUGUGCCUGCUAAACUCUUUUUUGAUCCCAUCCUUAUGUGCAUAUAUGAUUGAAAUGCCGAUAUGUGACCCUAGACAAAGAGAGUAGGCGGUUCUAGCUAUUGCAAUUUUUUUCUCUAUUGCUUUCGACUCUUUUCUCAUGAAAUCUUUGACUUUUUUUUUUAAAAAUCACUGUACAGGGAUUGAUGAUCCUAAAUCAUGAAAAAUUGUGACACCUCUAGGCCCAAAGGAAACGUUUCUGGAUGAUCCCCUGCGUGUUCUUCGUGCUGUUCGCUUUGGUGCUGUUUUAUUUAAAUUUUGUUGAGCUUCUGUUUGUUGUGUUUAUUUAGUUCUGGAUAUUCUUAUUCAGUGUGCCCGAGACCAUUUAUGAUGCGACCCAUUGCUAUUUGUUUGUUAGUAGAACAAACGGAUGUAUAAUGUAUAUAGACAUGGGAAGUUCUAUUGUAUCUUCGUCAAUGCCAUAGCUUGUUGCCUUUGGACUAGUUGCAUGAAAUCGUGUUAAGAGUUGCAUGUGACAGUCUAGUACACAUGCAUAAAACAAAUGCCGUCCUCCUUCUAUUCACUUCCUUUUUUCUGUACAAAUGGAUGUAUUACGAGGGUAAACAUGUGACUGCAUAGGUAAGUAAAGAUUUAAUCAAGAAAGUAACAAUCGCAUGAAAGAUAUACAUACAAUAGAGUGUGCUAGAACCAUGAGCCUACUGUUUGUACUUUAUGUAUGAUUCUUUUCUUUCAAAGACUCUUGGAUCCUCUUGCAUCCUCCCAAUCCCUGAAUUUGGGAAUGCUUAAUGAUUUCAUCAUUAGAUUCGCUUUGUGAAACUUGCAUUUUCGCAACUCAUCCUACAAAGAAGCUUUUUUUUUCUUUUCAAUCUUCUGCCAUGUGAUGUGGAUGCUCAUUUUUCUUUAACUUGCACUAGAGUUUUGCGAGAUCAAAAAGGAGCUUUCUGUUUUAUUAUCGAUUGUCCGGUCGUCUUUGUGCCUCCAUGUUCAUAAUCAUGUGUUUAUUUCAGGCGCAAGGUUCACAUUUACGUUGGAUGAAGAGCUGAAGAGAGCUGCCGCAUCCAAUGAUGUCAAAGAUGCACUUGCAGCUAAAAUCAGUCGAGAGCGCAUUGGAACAGAAGCAUGUGUCUAUAACAUUCCUUUAUUGGCUGCUUUAUCUCAUAUAAAUGUUUUAUGGAGGAAGUUCUUGUGCGUGUGGUCUUUAUUUUUUCUUUCAACAUUUGUAUAAGAUUUGUAUUUUCCGUUUUGACGUUACUUCUCAUUGAUGAGAAGGGAUCAAUGUUUUUCUCCGUCUUCGGUAAGGCAGGUUGAUCUGAUGAUUUCACGCAAUGAACCGAUUAAAGCUAUCGCUUACAUCUAUGAGUUACAAGUGUUUUGGGCUGUCUCCAGUCUACCUCAUGAACAUGAACCUACAUUCCCAGAAGAGUCGAUGGGUUGGUUUGUUGAUUGGGUUCACAACUGACCAUUUCUCAAAGAGGAAUUCACGCCUAUAAUGUUAAAAACCGAUGGUUUUGGCCUCACGGAGUGACAAUAUAUCAGGUGAGAAGUAAACCUUCUUGUAAAAAGAGGAUUUUGUAAUUAAAUCAAUGUGAAAUUACUGAAAAAAUAAAUGAGUAAGAAAAGACCCAAAGGUUUAUGUGAUUCAAUCCGACUGUCGGCAUUUACAUCUACAGGGAAAGCCAGUGGCAUAAAUUUGCUAUAAUCGAAGAAACGGAGUUAUAAUUGCUCAACACGCUCAAGUGUUUCUUAUGCCUAAAAUUAAACUAAACCAAGGUAUUAUCAAAUAAAUAAUUCAUUUUGGAUGUGAAAAAUUCACAGCACGAAUUGCACGCUUUGCCCGCGACCAAGUAGGAGGUCUCUUUGAGAGUGAGUGUUGGAGUAGGAUUAGAGUAGGACCGACAAAAAAAAAAAAAAAUAGGAGGUCUCUCUUAAAUGGCCAAAAAUCAAGGACUACAUCCGUUCUUGAUUUCCUUUCUUCGCGGCACGGCUUUCCCGCAUGUCACUGCACAGCUGUCAAAUCCUCCAUUUUGAUGUACCUUUCUUUGGUUUGGCGAAUCGGCAGUACUUUUAAAGUCCAACUCUUGGUUUCGGUUAAACUUGCGUAUUGGGUCGGGUUUCGCCGUAUAAAAAGGUUCAUUUUGGUCAAUGGAAAUACAUAUGCUUUUGAAGGUCUUCAUUUCUUAUUUAGUUCAAUCUGAAAGAGACUUUGCUUGCAACUUCUAGGACACAUAACCCAAUCACAAUGGAAAAGCAUAUGGCAAUUAUGAUCCUAUUUUUCUGCGCCCAUCUCCCAUUAUGGACGAGCCCAGUGAUGGAAACUAACCAUACGGAUCGACUCACUUUAAUCUACUUCAGAGACAGUGUUGAUGAGGAUCUACUUGGAAUCCUAAGCUCGUGGAAUGCUUCUUCUCAUCAUUGUGAGUGGCAAGGUGUUGUAUGCGGUAGACAACAUCCUAAAAGGGUCGUGUCCCUUAACCUGACAUCAAAAGGCUUGGGUGGUCUUCUAUCACCUCAUGUCGGAAACCUCUCUUUCUUGAGACGCCUAGUUCUACUAAACAAUAGCUUUCAUGGCGAAAUUCCACAAAGCAUUGGCCACUCGUUUCGCCUUCGCCAUCUCAUUCUUAGUAACAACUCAUUUGACGGACCAAUGCCUACUAAUCUUUCUCAGUGCUCAAGCCUUGAGAUUUUGAAUCUCAUCGAUAACCAACUUGUGGGCAAAAUUCCUGAUGAGCUUGGCUCUCUGUCAAAGCUUCGGUAUUUCUAUUUGUCUAAAAAUAGUCUUACAGGAUCUAUUCCUCAUUCUAUUGGAAAUCUCUCCCAACUUUUUGAUCUUUCCGUUGGGGCGAAUGGGUUGCAAGGAGAGAUUCCCAAGACAUUGUCCAAGCUUUGUGGUUUGAGGUUUGUUCAAUUGGCGUUUAACCAACUCACCGGUGAGAUCCCUCCAGCAAUCUUCAACAUAUCUAGCAUUAUCUAUUUUGGUGCUGGUGACAAUCAAUUGAGAGGCAGCAUUCCCCCUUGUAUCGGCGAUACUCUUCCUUCUCUCGGUUAUCUUGAUUUUCAUAAUAAUCUGUUUACUGGCAUUAUUCCUUUGUCCUUAUCGAAUGCCUCCAGCCUUCGGUACAUCUACUUUGACGAUAAUAGUUUUCAUGGACCGAUGCCCACAAAUCUUGGAAAGCUAAAAGCUCUCGAAGCAAUGUUACUUGAUUUUAACUAGUUGCAAGAUGACUUCAGUUUCAUUACCUCAUUGACUAAUUGUUCAAGGCUGGUAAAUUUUGUGGUGGACCACAAUUUUCUUGAAGGUCAAUUGUCGGAUCCAUUGGCAAUCUUUCCAAUAGCAUUAGAGUAAUUGCUACGUCGUCCAACACAAUGUAUGGAACCAUUCCUCCAGCUAUUGGCAAUCUCUUCAACCUGUCCUAUCUUGACUUAUCAAACAAUUCUUUAGGUGGUCGUGGUCCCUCUUGUAUUGGAGCACUUCAUAACUUGCAUGAAUUGUACUUAAGUAGAAACGUGCUAACAAGAGAGAUUAUGUCAUCGAUCGGCAAUUUGACGUUAUUGAAUCGCCUUCACUUGCUGUUGAACAACUUCUAUGGGGAAAUGUCGCAGAGCCUUGGUAACUAUAGGCAGCUAAUCGAGCUUGAGCUUUCCAAUAAUAAUCUAAGUGGUUCAAUCCCAUGGGAGGUUCUUGGCCUUUCUACCAUAUCGAUUAUGAUUAGCUUAGUGCAUAACCAGUUGAGUGGAUCUCUUCUGUCUCAAGUUGGGUCCUUGACCAAUCUUGUCGAACUAGAUCUAUCUUACAAUAAGCUCACGGGACCAAUUCCUAGCUCCAUGAGCAAGUGCUUGCUAUUGGAGCAGCUUAGGUUAGCAGUCAAUUCCUUUCAUGGUGAAAUUCCUCCAGCUUUAGGUACAUUAAAGGGCUUACAAGAGUUGGAUAUUUCCCAUAACGACUUAUCUGGUGAAAUCCCGAGCUUUCUUGCUCAACUUAUUGAUCUAAAGUACUUGAAUCUAUCUUCAAACAAGCUUGAAGGAGAAGUUCCGAAGCAAGGAAUAUUUCUCAAUGCUAGUGUAGUGUCUUUUUUUUAGAAUAAGAAUCUUUGUGGAGGUAUUGCAGAACUAAACCUUCCUUCUUGCAAAUCGAAUACCUCCAAACCAUUACAGACUGAAAAGGUUAGAGUAAUUGCAACAGUGGUGGCUGUCUUGUCAUAUUUCAUUCUGUGUCUUUGCCUAUUUAUCUUUUGGUACCGGAGAAAGAAUUCGAAAAAAAAAAUACCUCUUCGACUGAAUUGCCAUUUGAACACAACUUUUCAAUGGUCUCUUAUGAGGACCUCUUCAGAGCCACAGAUGGAUUCUCUAAAAACAAUGUGAUUAGUAAAGGGAGAUAUGGUAUUGUCUAUAAAGCAACCACACAAGAAGGUGGCUGGGUGGCGGCUAAAGUGCUUAACUUGGGCCAUAGAGGUGCUUUGAAGAGCAUCAUCUCGGAAUGUCGAACCUUAGGGGCCAUAAGACACUGAAAUCUCGUGAAGAUGUUGAACAUGUGCUCAAGCGUGGACUAUCACGGCAAUGAUUUCAAAGCUCUAUUGUACGAAUACAUGGCUAAUGGGAGCUUAGAGAAUUUGAUACAACAAGGAAACGAAGAGAACGUUGAUCAUAAACAUGAACAUGGAAAGCCAAUACAUUUGGGAUUGAUGCAAAGGAUAGACAUUGCCAUUGACACAGCUUCCGCAAUCAAAUAUCUUCAUAGGGAUUGCAGCCUGAAGAUUGUACACGGAGAUCUGAAGCCGAGUAACGUCCUUCUAAACAAUGAGAUGAUGGGACGAGUUGGGGAUUUCGGCCUAGCAACGAUUAGCUUUGUCAUGACAACAGAGGCCAUGGACAUUGACGACCAUAGCAGCUCAGUGGCAGUGAGGGGUUCCGUAGGCUAUGUCCCUCUAGGUAAGCAAAUUUUCUCAUUAAUUGUCUAAGUUUUAUUUAUGUUGGCCUUUAGAUGAAAUAUUUAUUUUCAUUGUAUAUUGCUUGAUGCACACUAUUUUAGAGUAUGGCAUGGGGGGCAUGGUAUCCACACAAGGCGAUGUGUAUAGCUAUGGUAUUGUUUUAUUGGAAAUGUUAAUUAGGAGGAGACCCACAGAAGAGGCUUUCAAGGACCAUUUAAAUCUCCACAACUUUGUCAAGGUGGCUUUGCCAGAUCGAGUAAUGGAGAUUGUGGACUCGGCCAUUUUUAAUGGAGAAAGUGAGAAUGAUGUUGAGAGGAUGAGAGAUUGUGUUGCCUCUGUCUUAAGGAUUGGAGUUGCGUGUUCGAUAGAGUCACCGCUAGAUCGGAUGGACGUGGCCGAAGCCCUCAAGGAAUUGCAUAAGAUUCGGGCUAGGUAUGGAUCCAAGUAGAGGCUUGGUUGAAGCAAGUUCAACUCCCCGACACUUGGACUAAUCUUUAUCUUAAGAUUAAUUUUGCUUUUUGAAUAAGAAAAAUUUGGAUGGUACUAUUCUUGAUCUUGGUUUUAACUCUUUUCCACUUGGCCGAAAGCCAAACUCAUAUGCUAGUUAAAUUUAUGCAAUCUAUCUCCAUCUCUAUUCCCCCUCCCUUCUUUACGAACUCAUUUCUCUUUAUAUGAAUUUUCUGUUUCCAAAUUUUCCCCUUAAAGUCCAUCCCUAAUAAUUGUCUUUAGAUGCAUUAUUUUAAUAUAUAUUUAUAGAUUUAUAGAUGUAGAGAAAUAUAAAGUACAGAUGUAUCUUAUAAAAGGUAUUAAAUUAUGUCAAUGCCUAUUAAUUUGUAAAUGAUAAUUCAUAUUGUGGAUUAAUAGGAGAAGUAAAAGUAAAGUCAAUGAGAUUAUUUUAUUUCGCCAAGGUUGAUUUUAGGUGGCGGCUUUUUUUUGUACUUUUGUAUUUUUUGUUGUAAUGGGAAGAUGAUCUUUUUUACAAUAUAAAAUCUUAGGUGAUACACUUAGAUGUUAAAAAUUUGAGAAUUCAAUUGUACAAUUUAAAUAAGUUAAAAAAACUAACAAUAACAUCAUUAUUAAUUUUAGGAUUAAUGGCAUGAAAAAUCCCGAAUUAAUAUAUAUGUGAUAAAUUUACCCAACUUGAUUUAUUGACUAUAAAGAACUUCAAAUCGUAUACUUAUGACAAAUUUACCUUUUGUUUUGUUAAAUUUUAUUGUCAAAUUGCUUAAUUGGAUGAUUUGACUAAUUUGGGUUUUUAGCAUCCAUUUAUUACAUGUAUGCCGAUUUGUAAUUUUUGAUGAUAUUAAUCAAAUUUAACGAAAAUUAAUGAAAGAUAAAUUCGUCACAAGUAUAUGGUUUGGAGUUUUUGGUAGAUAAAAAAUUAACUUGAAAUAAAUUUAUUAUAGGUAUACUAAACUGAAUUUUUUGAUUUAAUGAAUCAAAAAAUUCAUUUGUAUUACUGUUAACGAUUUGAGAUUUUUGGUGUUGUUAAUCCGAAAUUUUAUUGUGGCUUUCUUAUCACGCGUCAUCGUCUGGAAGUCUUCCUCUCUGGGCGUCGGUUGUCUCUCCCGCCCUCGCCGUUGCGCUUCUGCUCAGCUCAUCGUCGCCGUGUCGCCUCCACUCGUCGCUGUUCUCUAUUAGAAAGUCUACAAUAGCCUAUUUUCCAUGAGUACUUGCCAUUUUAAGAGGUUUAUUACUCUCAGCCUCUGCCAUUUCUAGCCAGCCGGGUGCCUAGGUGUCACGUAAUAAUUGUGAUGGCCAUUUAGACUGGUGAAUUUACUUCUAUGAAGAGUUAGGAUUGCCUUGGCACCACAUUUACGAGUUACUCUCUUAUGCAUUUGCACACAUUCAUCUUAUAUAUGCUACUGAUUACUAAAUUUGCAUCCCCAUAUCAUCGCUAUAGCCUAUUAUUGCGUGGUGACGCCCCUUUGCCACAACCCUCAAUAAAUAGGACCUUUCCCGACCUUCGACAGGGUGCCGGGGUGAUUAUUUGAGUAGAGAAUGAUUAUGUUUUACUAGAAAGGCCCCAGGAUGCUUUCAAACUGUUAUAAAUGAUUUAAUGUCUGUCAUUUUAAGCAAAAAUUUUUGCUUAGAAUCAUUUAUCGCAUUCAAGCUAAAUGAUUUGAAGAGAAACAAUACAAUUAUUGUACUUGAAUCAAAGUAAAUGACAUUGUGAAAAAUGGUGGAUUUAUUAUGUUAAACCUAUUCUUUGAAAAAGAUGAUGAACAAACUCAAGUUAUCUCUUCUUCACAGCUUUAAGGGAAAGAGUGUUAUGAUAUUGAUAUUGCACUUGAUGACAUGUUGGGCCGUACAUUCAAUGGAUAGGGUUAUACCCAAUAUUUGGCAUUAACAGGGGAAGAGGCACGAGGGCUGGUUGAUAUCCCAAGGUUCAUUAAGGUUUGUAGGCAGAAGUACAGCUCAAGUGCCAUAACUUGGCACGGAUGGACACUUAAGUGCCAGUUUUAAAGUUAAAUGGGACACUUAAGUGCCACUCCGGCGAAAAUCCGGUCAAACGGCUGACGUGGCGACUUUCCGGCGAGUUUGGUCCAAAACGACGUCGUUUUGCACGCUGACGUGGCAGAGAAAAUGCAAAAACGACGUCGUUUCGUGUCUACGUGUAAAUAAUAAUAUANNNNNNNNNNNNNNNNNNNNNNNNNNNNNNNNNNNNNNNNNNNNNNNNNNNNNNNNNNNNNNNNNNNNNNNNNNNNNNNNNNNNNNNNNNNNNNNNNNNNGACCCUCCCCCCUCCAUCGCCGGCCCUUCCAGGUGACAGCGGGGAGGCGGCGGCGGCGAGGGCUCAGCCCUCAGCCGCCCCUUCGACCUCCCCCUCCCUUUUUUUAAAAAAUUUUAAAAUUUUUUAAAAUUUUAAAAUUUUUCUUAAUUUUUCUUAAUUUUUAAAAUUUUUGAAUAUUUGAAAUAAAAUUAAUUUUAAAUCUAAUUUAAUUAAUUUUUAUAUUAUUAUUUACACGUAGACACGAAACGGCGUCAUUUUUGCAUUUUCUCCUCUACGUCAGCGUGCAAAACGACGCCGUUUUGAACCAAACUCGCCGGAAAAUGGCCACGUCAGCCAUUUGGCCGAAUUUUCGCCGGAGUGGCACUUAAGUAUCCCAUUUACUCCGAUAUUGGCACUCAAGUGUACCAUUUUAAAGUUAUGGCACUUAAGUGUCCUUCCGUGCCAAGUUAUGGCACUCCACGUGUCCCAACCUCAAAGUUUGUACUUGCAUUUUGCCUUCAAAUAUUAGCUUUCCAUAUUUUAAUGUGUGAAUGUACGAUUUGACUUGAAGUUUAUGUGGGAGUGUCGGUCAUUUGUUUAUUCUGCACCGGAAGUUUAAAAUGUGAGCAGUGGUUAUUUGUUUAUUGUGCACUUCUUCGUCACUGAAAAAAGGAAAAGCUGGAAAGGAGUGUUCACUAGAGUAUAAAAUAAAGAGGAACAGGUCCACAAUACCUAGACAAAUAACUAAGACCUCGGGAUCAGGCAAUGCUAGCUAAGUGCGAAGGAAGAGGAUUAAAAGAGUGUUUUGAAGGCAUGGACAUUGCUGUUAUGAAGAUGCAAGACUCUUGAUUCUUCAUGAUUAACUGUUUCUUUUACUUGAUGAAAUUUGACGUACUAGACAUUUAUAUACAAUGGUUCUACAUCUUGAAUGUGAUCUAUGUGUUAGGGUUGGCACGCAUGUGUUUUAGGUCGUGCCAAACCCUUGUAGCUUUUCGUAAGUUUCACUAUCCAUUUCUAUAUGUGUGGUCACAUUGGCUUUUGACGGACCUCAAAACCCAAUCCAAAAACUAUUAAGUAAAUCAAAUAAGUCAAAGAAGGGUCCCAAUUGCCUAACUCAUGCAUAUCUUACGAACUCUAUAUCCCUUCAAAGAAAGACUGUCGUCAGAAGUUCAAACAAAGGAUGGGCGACCUCGCCGCCUGUUGGUAAGGGUGGGUGAGGGCCUGCAAGCCCUCAUUGGCCACCGGCGAGGCCACCCUCACUAGAUCUGGCAAGGGUCGGCCUCCCUUAAGGCUGAUGAGGGUAGACCUUGCAAAUGGUCUGUAGGCGAGGGUCGCUAAGCCCAGGCAAGGCCGUCCCUCGCCUGUGGCCAGCGUGGAUGGCCCUCACCGGCAAGGGCGACCUUUGCCUAGCCCUUUGUGGGCAUCACCGGUGGCCGGCCAGCCGGCCACAGGUGAAGAGGAAGAAGAUCUAGGAAAAAAAAACAGAAAGAAAAAAAGAAAAAAGAAAGAAAAAGGGGGAAAAUGACAAAUGAUGAAAAUACUUAUGAUUGUCGGAAAGUCAGGUCCUUAUUUAAAAUAGACAUAGUUACUUUAGGUCCUUAUUUGAAAUGGACAUAGUUAUUUCAGGUCUUCAUUUGAAACAACAUCCACUUUAGAUCUUUAUUUGAUAAAGUGAUGUCACUUUAGAUCUUUAUUUGAUAAAGUGAUGUCACUUUAUGUUUUUAUUUGAAAUAAAGUUCACUUUGAGCCCUUAUUUGAUAAAAAGAUGACACUUCAGGUCCCUUUUGGGAUUUUCCCUUUUCCUGAUUGGUGCCGGCUUCCACGAAAUUUGUUUUACAUGCUGCUGCUUUAAUUGAGAGCAUCUUCUCUCGCUGGACAUGCUAACAUCAGAGGCGCAAUGGGGAUCCACUACGUGUACACAUGGAUCUGGAUGCUGGACGAAGGAGAUCAGACCGAGAAGAUACCUUCAUCAGUUACCAUGCAAAAGAAGAUAUCCAGUGAACCUAUGCUGGAUCACUUUUCCACAAUGGUUGAAAUUACCACGUGUCUUCUUGUAAGGACAAUGUGAGCUAUCAUCUCGUCAAUCCUUCUCGAGUCUCAUCUCGAUUCUCUCCCUAUUAACUUAUGUUCCCCUAAAUGCAUUAAAUCUUGUGUUUGCACCCCAGGAGACGCUGGGUCAUCGGCGGUCUCGAUAAGGCACUUUCUUUCUAUCCCGAGUGUUCCAACGGUGCCAGUGGCACUCCAAAAUGGUGGGACUGUUGGAAGAUAUGCGGAAUCCCGGAUUACACAAUCAAGGAUCCGAUUUGAUUAUUGAUUUGAUUAGAAGAUUAAAAUUGUGUACAUAAUCAAUUAAGAUUAGAUCUAGGCAUAGAUUGAUUCGUAGAAUCAUUUAUUUCCUUUAUUUUUACACAACUUGUAUUAUAUUUACAACUAGAAUUGUACAGAUUCAUUAUUGAAGAGAAUAAAAGAGAACUCUUCCUUCUUCAGUCCUCGCCAUCUGCAGAUCUCCAUCUUCUUUCAUGGUAUCAGAGCAGCCGAGUCUCUGAACCUAGCUUCCGCUUCCGCUAAAUAUUCCUCUCCUUCUUGUGACUUUCUGACCCUGAAGUUCUGACCUACAAAGGGCUUUUUCAGGCAUAGUGUCACACUCAGAAUUUUUUUUUAUUUACCAUGGCGAAUCUACAAGAUGAAGCAUCUAUCACCAGGAACCAAUCUGCUGAAGAGAUCAUUCCCGUUGUUGGAGUCAUGCCUCAGAUAUCGACUUCACCUGUUACAACUCAAACAACAGAACAGGUGUUAUUUCCAACUCAACCCGUGCAAUGGCGGCCCACACAGGCUCAGUUCACUAUGGGGCAGCCCAUGACGGGCCAGCCUUUCCAAUGGAUUCCAUAUUCAAUUUAUGUUGGGCCAAGCCCAAACUCUUCAUCACCUGGGUACGUGGGCCACCAAAGCCACGUCCAAUCCGACGGGGGUCCGCCAACCACAGAAGGGGCAAACCCGACCAACGGAAUGGAGCGGAUGCAUGGAUCGAGUGAACUAGGUAUGGGUGCGAAUCCCUACCCGGGAUUUUUUAAUGCGGAUUUUUCAUUCGGGUUGAAUGAAUCGGGUCAAGAGACAAACCCCUACCCGAAUCAUAUGCCCGGCUUUUUGCCGUUUCCAGCAGCGGCCUUCGCCGGACAGCUAGAACCUGACGACCCCUUGUUCGUUUCCACAGCUGACGGGCCAGAGCUGCGACUAAUCAAUCAACAACUGACUGGGCCAGAGAGUUACCCCAAGUGGUCGCAAGAAUUCCGGCGUGCCCUAGCAACAAAGGACAAUGAUGGAUUUCUCGACGGAACCAUCCCGAUUCCCCUCAACAAGCAUCUAGCCCGACUCUGGAGGAAGAGCAACUGCCUGGUCCGAACUUGGUUCGGCAAUUGUCUCUCCACAGAGGUCGCAGCCAGAUUCCCACCAACAGAAGACGCCAAAGGCAUGUGGGAUAACAUCAAGGAGAUGUACGGGAGGUUGGAUCAAGCAAAAAUAUUCACCCUCAUGCAGGAACUCAGUGACUUAAAACAGGGGAAUUCGAUGGUCACGGCUUGUUUCAACAAGCUAUCGUCAUUAUGGAACAGCCUCGAAGUAGCAGAAGAAAAACUCGAGGGCCCCGAAUCCACACUCCGACAAUACAAAUCCAUCAAAGAAAGGGAGAAAGCAACACGAUUUUUGCUCAUUUUAAACGACAACUUCCUUACCUUUCGCUUGCAAAUCUUGGCUAUGGAUCCCAUGCCAUCAAUCGAGCGAAUUUAUCAACUGGCAGUACAAGAGGAAAGCCAGCGAUUCGCAUCACCGGAGAGUGUGAAGAGCGGCGAGAGUAUCACUCUUACAGUCCGCAGGGAGUGAAGAGACGAACCAAGCAAAACCCUAGCAGAAAAGAGACGCGGCAUGCUAGGGUUCUGCGGAGAACGGUCGCGACCCUUUAAAACAGAAGGGAUGAACGGCUCUGAUCGAGCGUGCACAUCCGACGACUCACAGGAGAUCGAUCUUUUAAAAGGUCGGACGGCCCAGAUGAACUUGCGACAAAAGGAUCCGAUGGACAGAUUUUUGCCACGUCAUCCAGAAAUUUCGGGCAAAAUUUUAAAGGAAAGGGUAAAUUAUUUUGUGAGUAUUGCAAGCACUCUAAUCACUCAAUUGACAGUUGUUGGAAGCUUAAUGGGAAACCAACAAAAAAAGGAAAAAGGAUUUCGGCGGCAUACCAAUUGAAUGGAUCCACCGGCCCAAAUUCUGAUCACCCCAUUACCUAUGGAUGGUACCAAUAACUGAUGCAAGCUCUGCAGAAAUUGGAUGUUUCUGACAAGGGAGGCAGUUUUUUAGGUAUCACACAUAGCUUGAUUAACUCUAUAUCAAGGAAAGCAUGGAUUAUUGAUUCAAGAGCAAGUGAUCAUAUUAUAUGUGACAAGAGUCUUUUCUCAAGAAUAAAUGAGGAGCUGAAUUUUCCCAUUUCCGUACAAUUGCCUAAUGGAAAUAUUAGCCAUAUUAAUGUGACAGGAACGGUUAAUCUCAGUCCUCAAAUUAUUCUUAAAAAUGUCCUCUAUGUCCCAGAAUUCUAGUUCAAUCUCAUUUCCGUGUCGAAAGUUUGCCAAGAAAAUUCAUGUCGAGUAAUAUUCAAUGCUGAUGCCUGUUUAUUUCAGGCCCUUUCGACUGGCAGAUUGAUGGGAUGGGGUAGUAUUUCAAAAGGAAUAUUUUUUUAGUCAAGACUCCUAAGUAAUUUUGAUUUAUCCAGCUUUCCAUUGAAUAAAUCCUCCUUGUGUAAUUUGAGCUUGAAUGACAAAAAUUCUCUUAUGCAUAUGAGAUUAGGCCACAGUGCUACCUUUCCUUGUCCUAAAUGUCUCAUUUGUCCACUAGCAAAGCAGUCUCGUUCUCCUUUUCCAUCUAGUAAUUCUCGUGCUAGCAAAAAAUUUUCCUUGAUACAUGUUGAUAUAUGGAGACCUUAUCAUAAGGUUAAUUAUGAUGGAUCACAUUAUUUCCUCACAAUAGUAGACGAUUAUUCUCGUGUGACAUCAAUUUUCUUGAUGCAAUCAAAGGAUCAAGCUUACUCUUAUUUAAAGACAUUUAUCACCUUAUCCAAAAAUCAGUUUGGGAAAUCAAUCCAGCGAAUUCGAACUGAUAAUGGAGCAGAAUUUUUCAGUCACAAUUGCUCCAUACUUUUCUCAUCUCACAGCAUCCAGCAUGAGAGUUCAUGCACUUAUACACCACAACAUAAUGGAGUGGUUGAGCGCAAGCAUCGGCACCUUUUGGAAGUCGCACAUGCCUUGAAGUUUCAAGCUUCAAUACCAUAUGAUUAUUGGGGGGAAAUUGCGUCAUCACAACAGCUUAUUUGAUCAACCGUAUGCCCACCAAGAUACUCAAUGGACGAACACCAUUUGAGCUACUCUAUGGAAGAAAACCAGAUUUACAACAUCUCAAGAUCUUCGGUUGUCUUUGCUAUGCUACAACAUUGGGCUCUUGAGACAAGUUGAGCCCAUGUGCUCGAAAGUGCAUUUUCAUGGGUUAUCCUAAUCUGCAGAAUGGCUAUCGAGUUCUUGAUGUAUCAACAAAGGAAUUUCUCAUAAGCCGUGAUGUAUCUUUCCAUGAAGACAUAUUUCCUUUCUCCAACAUGGGGUCACCAAAUGAGAAUCCCGACAUCAGUUCUAAUAUUCAUUGUCUCUCAUAUGACGACGCACUCUCUCCAGACCAUGGUUACAUACCACUGGUUCAAUCAAGGAAUCCAUCCUACACUCCUGCAAUUAUUCCAGGGGGAAUACCAUCUCCAGUGGAGAAUCCAGAAUCAUCAGCAAACCUAACAGAAGAAGAAGCUGAAGAUGCCAAUAAUACUGAGGAAGAAGUCAGCCAUGAUGUCUCGCCACUCAUCCCCAAUGAAACAAUUCCCACUUCUGCUGAAGAUCAUCCAAGACGCUCUCGUCGGGCCACUCGACCUCCGACGUGGACCAAAGACUAUAUAUGUGCCACUCACAACUCUCCAGGUAUCCAAUAUCCUGUCUCUUCUUAUGUUUCCUUUCAUAGACUAUCAGAGGAACAUAGAUGUUGCAUUAGUCGCCUAUCAGAAGAACAGGAACCAUCUAGUUAUGAUAAGUAGCUGUUGAUCCUAGAUGGCAGCAAGCCAUGGCAACGGAGUUAAAGGCAUUGAAUGACAACCACACAUAGGAUCUUGUCUCAUUGCCACCUAAUCGGAAACCAAUUGGGUGUAAAUGGGUCUACAAGAUUAAAUAUCGUGCAGAUGGAUCAAUUGAACGUUACAAGGCACGCUUGGUAGCCAAGGAAUUUACUCAAUUAGAAGGUUUUGACUACCACGAGACAUUUUCCCCAAUUGCCAAGGAUGUCACAGUCCGCUCUUUUUUUACUGUCGCAGCCAUCAAUGAUUGGAGUCUACAUCAAAUGGACGUGCAUAAUGCCUUCCUCCAUGGUGAUUUAGAUGAAGAGAUAUACAUGGAUGUUCCUCAGGGUUUAUGGAGACAGGGGGAGAAUAAAGUGUGUCGUCUCCGCAAAUCCCUUUAUGGGUUGAAGCAAGCAUCCAGACAAAGGUAUGCAAAAUUUGCAAAUGCUCUUACAACAGCAGGCUUCCAACAAUCAAAGCAUGACUAUGCAUUGUUCACAAGAAACAGAGGUAUGUCAUCUAUCUUUUUGAUGAUAUAUGUCAAUGAUAUUCUUCUUAUGGGAAAUGAUAAGGCUGCCAUAGAAAGAUUCAAGGAAUACUUGCAUGAUACCUUUCAUAUUAAAGACUUAGGAGCACCUAAAUAUUUCCUUGGAAUCGAAAUUGCUCGAUCCGAUUUAGGAAUCUCCCUCAGUCAAUGAAAGUUUAUAUUGGAGAUUAUAUCAGAAGCAGGGCUAUCAGGAUGUAAACCAGCAGCAAUUCCCAUCGAGCAGAACACUAAAUUGACCUCUGCAGCUUAUGAUGAAGGUAUAUCCAAAGAUGACGACCCCAUACUCAAAUCCAUCUGGAUAUCAAAGGCUUGUUAGGAAACUUAUAUAUCUGACAAUGACGAGGUUGAACAUCUCUUAUGCAAUGCAGACAUUGAGCCAGUUCAUGCAUAGCCCAAAACAAUCUCAUUUUGAUGCAGCUUUGAAGAUUGUGAAAUAUUUAAAGAAAUGUCCAGGACUUGGGAUACUUCUGUCAAAGAAAUGUGACAUGAAGAUGACGGCAUACUGUGAUGCAGUUUAUGCAACAUGUCCUAUAAGUCGAAGAUCAGUCACAGGAUAUUGCAUUAAAUUUGGGGAAUCACUCCUUUCAUGGAAGAACAAGAAGCAACCCAUUGUGUCUUUAUCUUCAGCUGAGGCAGAGUAUCGAGCUAUGGCUAAAACCACAUGUCAAAUAGUGUGGAUGCAAGGUUUACUUAAGGAUCUCGGGAUAGAAGUGCAAGGACCAACCAGGCUUUAUUGUGAUAACGAUGCAGCUCUAAAACUUGCAGCGAAUCCUAUAGUACAUGAGAGAACCAAGCACAUUGAAGUCGAUUGUCAUUUCACUCGAGAAAAGAUACAAGAAGGCGUGAUUGAGACAAGAGGAAUUGGGACAAUGGAGCAGCCAGCAGAUAUCUUUACCAAGCCUCUAUGUCAAAGAUAGCACGCAUAUCUAUUGAGCAAGCUAGGUGUUUUAGACAUAUACAAACCACCAGCUUGAGGGAGAGCGUUGGAAGAUAUGCGGAAUCCCGGAUUACACAAUCAAGGAUCCGAUUUGAUUAUUGAUUUGAUUAGAAGAUUAGAAUUAUGUACAUAAUCAAUUAAGAUUAGAUCUAGGCAUAGAUUGAUUCGUAGAAUCAUUUAUUUCCUUUAUUUUUGCACAACUUGUAUUAUAUUUACAACUAGAAUUGUACAGAUUCAUUAUUGAAGAGAAUAGAAAGAAAACUCUUCCUUCUUCAGUCCUCACCAUCUGCAGAUCUCAAUCUUCUUUCAGGGACAAUUUGCACUGUGCCAUGUCUCAUUAUAAGUUUGUUCUUGCAAUCGAGAACACCUUAACAGAAAAUUACGUGACAGAGAAGCUAUUUUAUGCUCUGAAUUCCGGGGCGGUCUCCAUCUAUUUCAGUGCCCUCAACGUCAUGGACUUUGUCCCUCCACGUUCGAUCAUAGACGGGAACAAGUUUAGCUCCAUAAAGGAAUCGGUAACUUUCGUGAAGUCCCUAGCAAACGAUCCGGUCGCGUAUGCCGAAUACCAUGCGUGGAGAAGAUGUGGUGUAUUAGGUAAUUAUGAAAACUCAUGAGUGGCAAGCCUCGACAGCUUGCCGUGUCGGUCAUGGGAGUUCAUUAGCAAAAAAGGUGGCAGGAAUGCUAGAGCUUUAUGAAGAGUUGAUUCUUUUUUAACACUUGUUUUGUUUCCUGAUCAUCCGAUUGAUGCGCGGUUUUUUAUAAGUUUAAUCCAUGGACAUUGACGUAUAUAAAGAAAGAGUUAGAUAUACUAGGAGAUGGUAAAUAGACAUUGAUGUAAACAGGCCACUAAAAAAAUCAUCAUGUUAAUGAAUACAAAGUCAUUAUGAACUUAAAGUGUUUGGACUUCUCUCCGAUUUUGUGAAGCGAAAUCAGACUGGACUUCUCUCCGAUCGGUUGUUGGUGCACUUGUUUUGUCAUUUUUUAGUUCACACUGUCUUUCUGGGUCGCUUCCAAUUCAUACGAUGGAGGAUUGGAGAGGAGAGGUGGAAGAAAAGGCUUGGGAUGAAUUUAGGAGUUUUUUGCGCGAGCUGUGUAGUGUGUGAAGAGAGUUGCACAAAAGGUAACGAGGGGGGUCCGCAUGUAUGCCUUCUUUUAUGGGUUGAUGGUGUGAAACAAUUGAGAAGAUUUCAUUUUUCGCUAGGCCCAUGUUUUCCACUAAGAAGUGGUCUUCCUUUGGGUGCACGACUGACCCUUUCUAAAAGAGCAAUUCACACGAGACAAGAAAUUCAUGGUAAGCAUCCACCCAUUCUUUCUUCGUCUCUUCUCUUAUUAUUAUUAUUUUUUAAAGCAAGAUUCGAUUUGCCAUUUGUUGACCCACCAAAUCGAUAGCUCUUCGGGAGUCUUUUCUUCUUUUUUGUAAAGCAAGAUUCGAUUUGCCAUUUGUUCCAUCAAAUCGAUAGCUCUUGGCCUUCCCGAGUAGUUCCUUUGGGUUCACAACUGACCCUUUCUCAAAGAGCAAUUCAUAACUAAAAUGUUGAAAACCAAUGGUUUGGACCUCUGAAAUGACAAUAUAUCAUACGAGAGGUAAACCUUUGUUGUAGAAUUAAUGAACGCGGAAGCUAAUGAAGAUCUUGUUAGAAUAUAAUACGUGAAAAUGACAAGAUCUUGCAAUUUACGUCAAUGCAAAAUCACCAGAGAAAUAAACGAGAAUUAAUAAGGAUACCAGAAAUUUACGUGGUUUGGUCCGAGUAUCGGUACUUACGUUUACGGAGAGAGCCAGUAGCAAAUAAUUUACUAUAAUCAGAGAAUCAAAAUUUAUAAUCGCUCACACGCUCGAGUGUUUUCCACACCUAAAUUUAAUCUCAAAUUCAAACUAUUUAUAAAUAAAUCACGGCACAAAAUUACCAUGCAUUCAAGCUCAAAGUAAAACGCUUUAUAUAUGCCAAAACAAGAACUGGACGUCUGUCUCUUCUCCACAUACGUAUAGCUUCGCGUUCUCUACCUCUUCAACGGUUGUGCGGCGUCUGGACGUGUGGACGUGCGGCUCCUUUUUUUCUUUUUCUCUCUCGUAGGGCUUCUAUGGUUCCUCUUCUGUUCCGCUUUUUUAUUUGCUUGUGAGCCCAAGGUCAACAAUUUGACUUGGGCCCACCUACUUUAGUCUUCAAUGUGAACAAGGCUUUUGGAGAAGAAAGAAAUCCUUGCUUUAUCUUUUAUUUUAUUUUCUCGUUUGUCUUGUAGUGAUAGGUUAACUUCAUUCUUUUGUUUUCUUGCUUAUUUUGCACGUUCGAAAGAAAGUCCAAUAAGAAGAAAGACUUCUUCAUCCCAUUUGUAAUCCGCUUGAAAAAUCUUUCUUAACAAAAUUUGAUUUAACAAAUCGUUAUCCGAAUUCAAAUUCGAGACAAUAAUUUAACAGAUCUUACAAUUAACUCAAUUUGAAAUCAUCGAAGAAAUAAAUUAUUAACAAUAAGGGCCAAAGAUUUACGUAAUUCAAUACGAGUGUUGGUACCUACAUCCACGAGGAGUGUCGACAGCAAAAAUUUACUAUAAUUAGAUAAUCAGAGUUACAAUUGCUUAGCAUGGUCGAAUGUUUCCUAUGCCUAAAUUAAACCCAAACCCAAGGUAUUAAUAAAUAAAUAACUCAUUUUAAAUGCAAAAACUCACAGCACAAAUUACAUGCUUUGCCUGUGACCAAAUAACAGGUCUCUUUGAAACGGCCGAAAAUCAAGGACCUCGCUUGUUCUUGAUUUCCUUUCUUUGCAGCACAUGUGGCUUUCCAAUUGCUGCAAAUAUAAAAUUAGACAAGCAUGUGUAUGCCCCUUUCUUUGGUUCGGCCAAUCUGCAUUACUUUUUAAGUCCAACUCUCAGUCUAGGUCUUGGUCUUGGUUAAACUUGCAUAUUUUUCCAAAUGGGUGGGGUUUCGCUGUUUGAGAAGGUGUCUGAUCAAUGGAAAAGCAUAUGCUUUUCAACGUCAUCAUUUAUUAUUUAGUUCAAUCUGGAAGAGACUUCACUUGCAGCAUCUUAGAACACAGAAACCACUCCAAUGGAAAAGCAUAAGGCGAUUAUAUUCCUGUUUUUCCAUGCCCAGCUCAUAUUAUGGACGAGUUCAGCAAUGCAAACUAACCAGACUGAUCGGCUUGCUUUAAUCUACUUCAAAGACAGUGUGGAUAAGGAUUUGCUUAGAGUCUUGAGCUCAUGGAAUGACUCUUCUCAUCACUGUAAGUGGCCAGGUAUUGUAUGCGGUCGACGGCAUCCCGAAAGGGUCGUGUCCCUCAACCUGAUGUCGAAAGGCUUGGGCGGUCUUCUAUCGCCUCAUGUCGGAAACCUCUCUUUCCUUAGAAGCCUUGUUCUACAGAACAACAACUUUCGUGGCAAAAUUCCGCAAAGCAUUGGCCACUUGUUUCGCUUGCAACGUCUCAUUCUUAGUAACAACUCUUUCGAUGGACAAAUGCCCACAAAUCUUUCUCAAUGCUCAAAUCUUGAGGUUUUGAAUCUCAUUGAUAACCAACUUGUGGGUAAAAUUCCUCAUGAGCUUGGCUCUUUGUCAAAGCUUCGAGAUUUAUUUUUGGCUAAAAAUAGUCUUACAGGAUCUAUUCCUCAUUCUAUUGGAAAUCUCUCCCAACUUUUGUCUCUUUCCGUUGGACGUAAUGGGUUGCAAGGAGAGAUUCCCAAGACAUUGUCCAAGCUUCGUGGUUUAAGGAAUGUUCAACUAGCAUUUAACCAACUCACUGGCAAGAUCCCACCAGCAAUCUUCAACAUGUCCAGCAUUAUCUAUUUUAGUGCCGGUGACAACCAAUUGAGAGGGAGCAUUCCCCCUAAUAUCGGCGAUACUCUUCCUUCUCUCAGUUAUCUUGAUUUUCCUAGAAAUUUGUUUACUGGCGUUAUACCUCCGUCCUUAUCGAAUGCCUCCAACCUUCAAUACAUCUACUUUAACCAUAACAGUUUUCAUGGACCAAUGCCUGCAAAUCUUGGAAGGCUAAAAGCUCUUGAAGGAAUGUUUCUUAUGUCUAACCAGUUGCAAGAUGACUUCAGUUUUAUUACCUCAUUGACUAAUUGUUCAAUGCUGGAAAUUAUUGGGGUAGACCAUAAUUUUCUCGAGGGUCUCUUGCCGGAUUCCAUCGGCAAUCUUUCCAACAGCGUUAGACUAAUUGCUAUGUCAUCCAACGCAAUGUAUGGAACCAUUCCUCCAAGUAUUGGCAAUCUCUUCAACUUGUCUUUUCUUGGCUUGUCAAACAAUUCACUUAGCGGCCAUGUUCCUUCUUGUAUUGGAGCACUCUAUAACUUGCGCAAUUUGUACUUAAGCAUUAACAUGCUAACAGGAGAGAUCCCAUCGUCGAUCGGCAAUUUGACGUUAUUGAGUCUCCUUUACCUAUCGUUCAACAACUUCUACGGGGAAAUACCGCAAAACCUUGGUAAUUGCAAGCAGCUAAUCGAGCUUGAGCUUUCAAACAAUAAUCUAAGUGGUCCAAUCUCGAGGGAGGUUCUUAGUCUUUCCACCAUUUCGAUUAUCUUCAACUUGGCACAUAACCAAUUGAGUGGAUCUCUUCCAUCUCAAGUUGGGUCCUUGACCAAUCUCGUGGAACUAGAUCUGUCUUACAAUAAGCUGACGGGACCAAUUCCUAGCUCCAUUAACAAGUGCUUGCUAUUAGGACGGCUCAACUUAGCAGUCAAUUCCUUUCAUGGUGAAAUACCUUUGGCUUUAGGAACAUUACGAGGCUUACAAGAGUUGGAUGUUUCCCAUAAUGACUUAUUUGGUGAAAUCCCGAGCUUUCUCGCUCAACUUACGGAUCUAAAGUACUUGAAUCUAUCUUCAAACAAGCUUGAAGGAGAAGUUCCGAAGCAAGGAGUAUUUCUCAAUGCUAGUGCAGUGUUCGUCUUUGAGAAUAGGAAUCUUUGUGGAGGUAUUGCAGAACUAAACCUUCCUUCUUGCAAAUCGAAUACCUCUAAAUCAUUACGAACCAAAAAAGUUAGAGUAAUCGCCACAGUGGCGGCCAUCAUGUCAUAUUUCAUUUUGUGUCUUUGCCUAUUUAUUUUUUGGUACCUGAGAAAGAAGUCAAAAAAGAUUACAUCUUCGACUGAAUUGCCAUCUUCGACUGAAUUGCCAUUUGAACACAAAUUUUCGAUGGUCUCUUAUGAGGAGCUCUUUAAAGCCUCAGAUGGAUUCUCUGAGAUCAAUGUGAUAGGUAAAGGGAGAUAUGGUACCAUCUAUAGAGCAACUACACAGGAAGGCGGCUGGGUGGCGGUUAAAGUGCUCAACUUGGGCCAUAGAGGUGCUUCGAAGAGCUUCAUCUCGGAAUGUCGAACCUUAGGGGCCAUAAGACACCGAAAUCUCGUGAAGAUAUUGGACGUGUGCUCAAGUGUGGACUAUCACAACAACGAUUUCAAAGCUCUAUUGUAUGAAUACAUGGGUAAUGGGAGCUUAGAAAAUUGGAUACACCAACGAAACGAAGAGGACGUUGCGCAUGAACAUGGACAUGGAAAGCCAGGACACUUGGGAUUAAUGCGGAGGUUAGACAUUGCCAUUGACAUAGCUUAUGCAAUCGAAUAUCUUCACAAUAAUUGCAGCCCAAAGAUUGUACACGGAGAUCUGAAGCCGAGUAACAUCCUUUUGGACAACGAGAUGGUGGGACGAGUUGGGGAUUUUGGGAUGGCGACGAUUUGCUUUGCCGCGACAACAAAGGCCAUGGACAUUGACAACCGCAGUAGCUCAGUGGCGGUGAGGGGUUCAAUAGGUUAUGUCCCUCCUGGUAAGAAAAUUUUCUCAUUAUUUUAUUUAAGUUUAUUUGUGUUGGCCUUUAGAUGAGAUAUUUAUUUUCAUCGUUUAUUGCUUGAUGUACACUAUUUUAGAGUAUGGCAUGGGGGAUACGGUAUCCACACAAGGUGAUAUGUACAGCUACGGUAUUGUUUUAUUGGAAAUGUUAACUAGGAGGAGACCCACGGAAGAGGCUUUCAAGGACCAUUUAAAUCUCCACAACUUUGUCAAGGCGGCUCUGCCAAAUCGAGUGAUGGAGAUCGUGGACUCGGCCAUUUUUAAUGGAGAAAGUGAGAAUGAUAUUGAGAGGUUGAGACAUUGUGUCGCCUCCAUCUUAAGGAUUGGAGUUGCGUGUUCGAUGGAGUUGCCGCGGGAUCGGAUGGAUGUGGUGGAUGCCCUCAAAGAACUGCGUGAGACCCAGGCUAGGUAUGGAUUCAAGUAGAGGCUUGGUUGAAGCAAGUUUAGCUCCCAAACGCCUGCACUAGACUUUGUCUUAGGAUUAAUAUUGCCUUUUGAACAAGAAAAUUCGGAGGAUUCUACUCUUCGUCUUGGUUUUAACUCUUUUCCAUUAGGCCUAAAGCCAAACUCAUAUACUAGUUAAUGUAUUUAAUCUAUCUCCAUCUCUAUUCCCCGUCCCCUCUUUAUGAACUCACUAUUCUCUUUAUAUGAAUUUUCUGUUUCUAAUUUUUCCUCUUAAUGUCCAUCUCUAAUAAUUUUCUUUAGAUGCAUAAUUCUAAUAUAUAUUCAUAGAUUUAUAAAAGUAGAAGAAUAUAGAGUGAAGGUGUAUCUUAUAAAAGGCAAUAAAUAAUGUCAAUGCCAAUUAAUUUUUUAAAUGAUAAUUGAUAUUGAGGAUUAAUAGGAGAAGUAAAAGUAAAGUCAAUAGAUUAUUAAAUUUCACCAAGGUUGAUUUUAGGUGGCGGCAUCUUUUUUUCUUUUUUUUGGGUAAUGGGAAGAUGGUCAUUUUAACAAUAUAAAAUCUUAAACAAUAUAAAAUCUUAAGUCAUACACUUAGAUGUUAAAAAUUUGAGAAUUCCAAUUUUAUAUAAGUUGAAUAAUUUAAUAUCACGAAAAAUCUCAAAUUAAUUUACUUAUGAUGAUAUAAUCCAAACCAAUUUUUGAUCACUAAGAACCCCAAAUUAUACAUAUAUUAAAUUUAUUUUUCAUUUGUAUCAGUAUCGUAUUAUUGAUUUGAAUGACAUGUAACAAUAGACAUUUGUAUUAAUUUUGGAUUUUACUUUUUAUUUAUAACAUAUGUACCAGUUUGUAACUUUUGAUGAUAUUAUUUUAAUUUAACGAAAAUUAGUCAAAGAUAAAUUUGUCAUAAAUAUACUAAUUUAAGAUUUUUGAUAAUUUAUCAUAAAUGUACUUCGAAAUUUUUCGUGGUAUUUAACCCAGCUUUGCAGUUUCUCUUCAUCUCUGAGAGCGUCUGUCCAUCUCUCCCGCUCUCGCCGUUGCGCUUCUGCUCGGCCUGUCGUCUCCGUGUCGCCUACGCUCGUCACUGUCUAACCGUGUCUGAGUGCCGAAUUCUCCUCACAACGGAAGGGAAAAACUGAGUGAAUUGAAGCAAGGACUUUCGCAGCAUGAGUAAGGGGGGAAAAUGAGAGCGUCCUUAUUGAAAGUCAACAGUUAAGGGCUUUUUCUUAGAAGCAUCGUCCGUAGUUGCAAUUCUCUUGCUUUAGGAAGCGUUUGGAGUCCUCUUAAGGCGCGAGACCUGACUAAAACGGCAGGGCUCUUGAGUUGCAAAUCGAUGUCGACGAAUUCGCCGGUUAUGCGAGUGAAAAAAAACAGAUCGAUUUGACAGAGAAGGAGAAGAUGAUCUCUGAGAAGUUCUCGCCACCGUUCGCCAUUUCGAUCUCCCUACCCAGCUGCGGGUGGCUGGUUGCUGGGUUCGCUUCGAUGUGCCUUUUAAGUUCUUUUGCAGUACCCAUCGUGUAAAAGCAUUUCGAUGUCCCUACCCAGAAUCGUUUAUCACAUUCAAGCUGGAAAGUUUUGAAGAGAAACGAUACGAUUGUUAUACUUGAAUCGUUGUGAAUGACAUUGUGAACAAUGGUGGAUUUAUUGCGUUAAACCUAUUCUUUGAAGAAGUUGCUGAACAAGCUCCCGUUAUCUCAUCUUUACAGCUUCUAGGGAAAGAGUAUUAUGAUAUUGAUAUUGCACUUGAUGACAUGUUGGGUAGUACAUUCGUGGAUAGGGUUACCCAAUAUUUGGCAUCAACUGGGGAAGAGGCGCGAGGUCUAGCUGUAAUCCCAAGGUGCAUUGAGUUUUGUGCUGACCUUUUGCCUUCAAAUAUUGGCUUUCCAUAUUUUAAUGUGUGAAUGUAUGAUUUGACUUGAAGUUUAUGUGCGAGUGUUGGUCAUUUGUUUAUUCUGCACCGGAAGUUUAUAAUGUGAGCAGUGGUUAUUUGUUUAUUGUGCACUCCAUUUCGUGGAUUGUGAUUCCCUUGUCACUGAUAAAAAGAAGAAAGACUGGAAAGGAGUGUUCACUAGAGUAUAAUAUAAAAGGGAAUAGGUCCACAGUACCUAGUCAAAUAAGUAAGACCUCGGGAUCAAUCAAUGCUAGCUUAGUGCAAUGGAAGAGGAUUAAAAGAGUGUUUUUAAGAUAUGGAGAUUGCUGUUUUGAAGAUGCAAGACUCUUGAUUCUUCAUGAUUAACUGUUUCUUUUACUUCACAAAUUUUGAAGUGCUAGACAUUUAAUAGACAGUGGAUUCUAUAUCUUGAAUGUGAUCUAUGUGUUAGGGUGGCAUGCAUGUGGUUUGGGUUGUGCCAGACCCUUGUAGCUUUUAGAAAGUUUCACUGGAAACAAUCCAUUUCUAUCCCUGUGGUCACACUGCUUUUCACUGACCUCAAAGCACAACCCAAAAACUAUGAAGUAAAUCAAAUAAGUUAAAGAUGGGUUCCAAUUGCAUAUCCCGUCCAUAUCUUACGAUCUCUACAUCCCUCCAAAGAAAAACUGUCAUCAGAAAUUCAUCAUCUCAUGAUUAUCUAAGCGGCCUCCCAAGAGAUAAAGCCACUCUGGAGGGAAUCGACACUAGCAAAAUCUUUUUCAUACUGAGAUUAAUUAGCCCUCUUACGUUUAUUUCUCCAAGGGCUUUGAAAUAUGAUUAAGUGAAGAACAAAUGGUUCACUUUUAAGUGGAAUAAGGAGUGUGUGCAGGGUAAGUAUGUACUUUUGAGAAUACCCCUUUUCUGCUCCAUCUUUUGCCCCUUGAUUUUUCUUUCUUGGGUCUUAUUAUCUGGUAGGUCUAUUGUCGUCAUGAGCUCUGUAGAAGGGCUUUUCUUUUUCUUCUCCUGCAAUUCUCUCUUAACUUGUUUUUGUACAUUAGUCAUGAAAUAUGGUCUUGUCGGCAUAGUUGAAUUUGGAACUUCUUAUUGCAUGAACAUUUGCCCAUAUUUUCUGAUUGAAUUAGGUUGUGGUACGUUAUUGUGGCAGAUGCUGUCUCCAUUCUGAUUGGGUAUUUGAAGACAUUUUUACAUAAAUUUAGUUUUGCUGCAACCCAGACCAGUCAAAACAUCUGGAAACGGCGAGGACGCGUCUCUAUGAUAUAUGAAUAGAUUUUGUGAACUCAAGUUGUGAAAAGUACAGUGACAAUAGCCACAUUCCCACGCAGAUGGUAUGCAGUAGUACAGCUGUUAAUUGAUCUGUCAUAUGUUUUCUUUCCACCUGUAUCUUAUUAUCUUGUUUAGGUGGGGCUUACUAGACAGUAUCAUUUCCAGUAAAUAGCAAAAAUAGUUUUUAGCUCUUUCGUGAACUUUCUUUUCUAGGGAAAGAAAGACAAGCAAAUUAGUUAGGUGGUAUCAAUGGGGCGGCCGCUUGCAUGCUCUGUGGUGGUCCUUGUACUUAAGGAAUGCAAGUGUACAAAUGACAAUUAUGUAGCUCACAAUCAACAGUAAAGUGACUUGAAUUCUGAUAAUCACAUGUCUCUUCUUGAACAGCCUUGGUCCAGGGACUUUCUUCUAAACUAUUUUUCUUUCUUUUGCUAAUUGAGAGACUUGUUGAACGGACAUUAUUUUCUUAUAAGUGUCAAGUAUAUCAUCAUAGAUAAGAGGGCCUAAGAAUCAUCAUGAGAGCUAAAUGCAAUGAGCUCAAAGCCUUUUACAUUUUAUGUCCAUGGCCAUUCAUUUGCAACAUUAACACAGUAUUUUCUCCUAGAUUGUUAAUGCUUGGAGCAAAUUUUUGUUUAUUUAUUGCUUUGUCCUCUCUCUCCAUGCACUGGUGCGUCCAAUGUGAUUGCGCUGUUGUUCAACUAUCUAUCACCCAAAAAUCUUGCUAUUUUUUUGGUAGUUACUUUUGUGAAUGGUCGUCCAAUUUGACUUCUCUUAUAGGAUUUUGGCACUACAGAAGAGGAUGCUUACAAAAGGGAUUUAACUAUAAACAGGUAUCUGUUCUGCCUUAUGUAUCUGAUAAAUUGUUCUCAAACAAUUCAUUGCUUUGUUUUGGGUGGUAUUUGAUCUAACACCCAUUAGUUAAAUAUAUUUUGAAUGAAUCAAAUCAUUCUAUUACUCUAUAAUUGAUACAUAACAAAUUAUUCUGUUGCCUUAUCUAACCUUAUUUCCAGUUACUAACAGUGGACAUAGUCUGCUCUUCUACGAAGCAUAUGUAGCUCGAAACUUACUGCCUGUUGAUCAUUUAAUGCCAAUUAACUAGAUGACAAUUAAAGAGGAAUUGGUGGUUGUUUUGAUUUUCGGUCAGCUGGCAAGAAGUCAUGGAAUGUAUAGUCUUACAAAUCUUUAUUUGGAUAUUGCUCUCUCUCUCUCUCUCUCUCUCUCUCUCUCUCUCUCUCUCUCUCUCUCUCUCAGCUAAUGAAGUGGUUUAGCACCACAUGACUUUCAUUAAUUUGUGAAAUUUGUAUGUUAAUCGAGGUAGGAUUCUGAAGACUAUAGUCCACUCUCUAUUUUAGACAUGACUGGAAAUCCACAUAACAGUUGCUUCUUUAUAUGUUUAAAAUAUGAAGUUUGUUUACUUCAGUCUGUUACUUCAAACAGCUUGCUACUCUUAUUCGUAUCGUUCCUCCCUACAUUGGUCCAUUUGUUUGAUGACCUAAAUUUUUAUCCGAAAGCAUGUUUUACAAUAUCAACACCAACUUAGUUGAAGAUUUAACUGAGAGGUUAGAAUAGAUCUUUUGACUUGAUUUUCUUUUCGUGAGACUUUUUGGGGAAUUACACUAUAUUAAUUCUUCUGCUUUUUGACCCAACCACGGGUAGCACAGUUGGUGUGUGUUCUCCUUUCCACUGCAGAGGUCAGGGUUCGAACCCUCUUGUUGCUAAAGUGUCUUAAGCAGGGGAUCCUGGUGUUGGGGUCCUAGGCUAGCCUCCCCCAGGGUAUUGACGCUUGGUCUGAGGUGCACCAUGCACUGUAAGGGCCGUGGGUUGCCGAUUAGCGUAAGUGAAAAGCAGGCCCGGCGGAUCCUCGGUUACCAAAAAAAAAAAAAAAAUCUUCUGCUUUUUGAAUUUUGCUCACUGUACAGGGAUUGAUGAUCUUAAAUCAGAAAAAAAAAUUGUGACACCUUUAGCCCCAAAGGAAAUGUUUUGGGAUGAUCCUGUUCGUGCUCUUUGUGCUGUUUGCUUUGGUGCUGUUUUAUUGGAUUUUUUGCUGAGCUUUUGUUUCUUAUGUAUCUUUAGUUCUGGAUAUUCUUAUUCAGUGUGCCUGAGAUCAUCUAUAAUGCGACCCAUUGCUAUUCGUUUGUUAGUAGAAUAAAUGGAUGUGUUAUGUAUGUAAACAUGGGAAGUUUUAUUGUAUCUCCAUCAAUCCAUCAAUGCCAUAGCUUAUUGCCUUGGGACUAGUUGCAUGAAAUUGUGUUAAGAGUUGCGUGUGACAGUUUGAAUACACAUGCAUGCACCAAAUACUGUCUUCCUUCCAUUCUCAUCAUUGCCAUAGCUUGUUGCCUUUGGACUAGUUGCAUGAAAUUGUGUUAAGAGUUGCACGUGACAGUCUAAAUACACAUGCAUGCACCAAAUGCUGUCCUCCUUCUAUUCGCAUCCUUUUUCUGUACAAAUGGAUGUAUUAUGUGGGUAAAUGCGUGACUGCAUAGGUAGGUAAAAGGUUUUAAUCAAGAAAGUAAUGAUAGCAUGAAAGACAUACUUACAAUAGAGUGAGCUAGAACCAUGAGCCUACCUUUGUACUUUAUGUAUGAUUCUUUUCUUUCGAAGACUCUUGGAUGCUCUUGCAUCCUCACAAUCCCUGAAUUGGGAAUGCUUAAUGAUUAUAUUCUUAGAUGAGCUUUGUAAACCUUGCGUUUUCGCAGCUCAUCCUACAAAGAAGCUUUCUUUUUUCAAAAUCUCUUGCCUUGUAAUGUGGAUGCUCAUUUUUAUUUAAUUUGUACAAGAGUUUUGAGAGAUCAAGAAGGAGCUUUCUGCUAUUUUAUCUAUUGUCUGGUCAUUUUUGUGCCUCCAUGUUCAUAAUCUCGUGUUCAUUUCAGGCGCACUGUUCACAUUUUACGUUGGAUGUUGGAUGAAGAGCUGACGAGAGCUGCUGCAUUCAAUGAUGUCAAAGAUGCACUUGCAGCUAAAAUCUGUAGAGAGCACAUCGAAACAGAAGCAUGUGCCUAUAACAUUCCUCUUUUGGCUGCUUUAUCUCAUAUAAAUGUUUUUUGGUGAUAGUCUUGUAUAUGUGGGCUUUGUCUUUUCUCUUAACGUUUAUAUAUGAUUUGAAUCUUUCGUUUGAAUGUUACUUCUCAUUGAUGAGAUGGGAUCAAUGUUUUCCCCCUUGUUCA
RNAcentral lists this long non-coding RNA (154779 nucleotides) under Eucalyptus grandis. Its description in RNAcentral is "long non-coding RNA (EGRA_LNC003776)". The record is from RNAcentral. Lineage: Eukaryota; Viridiplantae; Streptophyta; Magnoliopsida; Myrtales; Myrtaceae.